CGGGGGGAACUAAUAGGCAACGGGGCGGGGGACGGGGGAGGGGUCCCCCGCCCCAACCCCACCCCGUUGCCAUCCCUACUACUAUCUUCUAGUCUCCGUCCCCGAAGCAUAGUGUCGGCGUCGACCGAUUGUUUUGUUGGUCUCCAAUUAAGUAAUGCUGCCACAUAACAUAUGUAUCCCAUAUUACUCGCAACGGAUCUUCUGUCUCACACUCUGUGCCACUCUCUGUGCCACUUUUUAUUAUAUUGCUAUUUCUUCAACAUAAACAUCACGUUUUAGUUCUUUUUUGUUUCCUUAAGAUCCAAUAACUAUUAAUUGAGUAAUACACAAAAUUUAACAAACUCAAAAAAUCAAAAUGCAUAAAAAAUGAGAUUUUUUAUGAAUUUUCUACUAUAUUUUUUAAUUUUCUAUUAUAUAUUGCUUUUUUUAAGCUGUUGUAUUUAUUUUUUACUCAAUUAAUAGUUAUUGGAUCUUAAGGAAACAAAAAAGAACUAAAACGUGAUGUUUAUGUUGAAAAAAUAGCAAUAUAAUAAAAGUGGCACAGAGAGUGGCACAGAGUGUGAGACAGAAGAUCCGUUGCGCAUAUUACUCCACUUGUCCAGUAGAAUACGUGGCUUGGGGGAAACGAAUAACUGCUCCGUCGACACUGCAUUUUGCAUCGAAAUGCUGAAUAAAUCCUAAAUGCGCAUGCACCUCUGUCCUCGCAGGACAUUCUCCCACUAGUCAUUAAUUUCGCAUACUUAUUUCUUACUGUUUCACUGAAAGUGUUACAUAUUUCAUUUUGAUAUGUUCUAAAAUAUUUAUUAUUUUAUUAAAAUCAAAGUUAUUCUUAAACUCUUUUUUCAAUAUUAUUCAUAACUUUAUAUAUAUAUAUAAAUAUGUAUGUAUAUAUUUAUUAAAUUUAAAUUCAAAAUUUUGAGGACAACUUUGCAAAUAAAUCUACUAAUAUUACCAUCAAACUAUUAUUUUUAAAAAGUUGAAAAUGCAAAAUGUGAUGAACAAUUUAGAACGGAGAGAGUAUUAUGCUGGGAGCUUUAAUUGUCAAACGGUCAUGUUGAAUUAUAUACUAAUUCUUCUGACAAGAUUACUGACAACCAGACUCUUAGCUUUGAAAAGCGUGAGAGCUUUAUUGCAAAAUGCAAUUUCAAUGGUAAAACCAAUUGAUUAUUGCUGUUUUUUACGGAUAAAAAAGAUUUGAUGACUUCUUUGUUUUUUUUUAAUGGGUAUGUUUCCACCUUAAAUUUUUGUACUUGUGUUAUUAUUUCUUCCGUCCCAAAUUUUUUUCUCACACUUUGGAGGUUGUGCUUUUUUUUUCAACAGUAGUAUGGAAAGCACUUAUUUUGUUUUAGUUUGCUUUUGGGAUAGUAUUGGAACCUCCCUUGAGAUUUCUUUUAAAAUAUUGGAAAGCACUUGUUUUAUCAUAUAGGACCUCUAAUUAGAUUUUAAAAUUAUCACUUACCUUCAUUACUUUUCUUAUUUGUAUAACAAAAUUUUGAAAACCCUAAACUACUCUUUUUCUUAUUUUGUUAAAUAAAAAUACUCCUAAAAUACUUUAUUUACUCCAAAAAUCACCACCUAAAAAGCAAUCUCUAAUAGUAUCACCACGUCACAAAGUCAUGCUUCAUAAAAAUAUAAAUUUGAAAAAUAAAAAGAUAUUUCUAAAUAAAUACACUAGCACUAAUUUAAUUUUAUAUCUUUAAGAUUGACUUCUUAUGAACCUUAUAUUUUUUCCCAACUUCUUAUCAACCUCUAGUCCAAGCCUUUAAGUUGUACUACUAACCAUUACAAAAAUCAACUCAAAAUGAACAAAUAAAUCACAUCCUACUCUAUCACAAUCACAAAUAGUAAAAAUAAAUAAACUUCAAUUAAAUAUAAUUUAUAAAUAAAAAAUUGUGUAGUCAUCCAAAAAAAUGAGUAAGAGAGAAUGUUGGAAAAAAGGAAAAGAGAAGAAAGCGAUUUUUGUUUCUUUUUCUUUUUUAAUUUUUUUGAACUUUAUUUAUUUAAUAUGUGAAUUAUGCAUUAAGUGAAAGUUAAUAUACUUUUUUUAUAAUUAUUAGAAGAAGUAAGUGAUAUUUUUAAAAUUUUAAAAGCGUUCGAUGAUAUUAACAGAGACCUCCACCGAGCUUUCUGAUACUAUCCCUCUCCUUUAGUAUCCGCGUUGGCUGUAGCUUCAUUGGUGGAAAUAAGAAAAGAAACAUGUUCUCAUUGGGCUGUGGGGUCAAAUCUUGUAGUGACUCUCAAAUUGUUCUCCUGGAUGCCAAUAAUGUCACGUCCACUUUCUUCAAAAUUCUUUGUAAAAAAGUUAAGCAUGGCACUAUGGGUCUCACAAGCUUUUCUCAACAUGUUGAAGGGCAAAUGUGAAAAGUAGACAAGAUAAUAUUUAUCAUUCAAGGUAAAUAACAAUAUAAUAAUUUUAGGAUAGAUCAAAAUAGAAAUAAAAAAUAUGACAGUUUCAAUAGAACAAAAAAUGUAUCAUAUAAAUAUUACAUCAUCGAGCCGUACCACUUUGAUUACCAUGACUACCAAAACAUUAAAAUAAACAUUAUACUAAGAAUCCCUCAAAAUAAAAAGCAUUAUACUAAGAAUAAAAACCAUAAAAAUUUGCAUUAACCAUGGCCGCCCAAAUGUUAUUCAUUCCUUAGUUGGUGUACCAAAGGGAAAAAGUAGUUCAGUAAAAGCCAUGGGACCAUGCAAUCAUGCACAUCAAACCAUAACCGUCAAUGGAGUCGGCCAGCUCGAGCUCUGCCUGUUAGGCGCAAAAAUGUUCAUUGAACCUCAACUUUAGUUGGAUCAAUAGAGUUUAGACUUAAAUAUUAGGUUGGAACUAAAUAUGAGUCAAGUUUAAAUCAUACUAAGAUCAAAUCCGAUUAAAGUGUAACACAUAUAUGAGUAUAUUGUUAUAUAUGUAAAACAUAUAUAAUAAUAUCUAUUCAUAAAGGGAGAGGAGGGGGUUUGUGGUAAAUAAAAAUGUUACUUUAUUAUAUACUCCCUAAAUUACCCUUGAUGAUGAAGGAACUUUUGGUAUAAAUAAAAAUAUAUCUAUCUUUGAUAACUACUUACUACCAAUAUGAUUUUUUUACCAAGUACUACGUAUAUUUUCAUGUUCUAUUUUUCAACUUAUUUAGUAAAUCUUAAUUUUAAUUAGCAACUAUCAAUUAUGGUUAUGAAUAACUACCAAAUAACUACUUUGUAUAACUUUUAUUUUAGUGAAAAUUUACAUAUGUAUUUUCAAAAUAUAAAACCAAUUGUUUUGAAAAUGAUUUCAAUAAAUAUACUAAAAAAUUUCACAAAUAUUUUUAUUAGUUGCACACAUAUUAGUGUAUGCCUUGAAUAUUAGUACAUGUUAUGAUAUAAAAUGUUAAUAAUUUAUAUGUAAAUUUAUAUUAAUUCAUAAUUAUAAAAUAUAUUAUAUAUAAUUAUGUAUUUAAUUAGGAUAAAAUACAAAAAACUCCCUGUGGUUUGUCAAAUGUUCAAUUUAACUCACUCUGGUUCGGAAACCUACACUAUAACUCCCUGUGGUUUCGACUAAAUUAAAAAUUAGACAGAAAACAUCCAAUUUAACGAUUGUAUGUGAAAUAUCAAUAUUGCCCUUGCUAUACAUGAAGUGCUUUCCGUUCAAUUUUCAACUUAGUCAAAAUCACAAGGAGUUAUAGUGCAGUUUUUUAAACUAAAGGAAGUUAAAUUGAGCAUUCAACAAACUGUAAGGAGUUCAUUUAUAUAAGGGCAAUAUUGACAUUUCACAUAAAACCGUUAGAUUAAAUGCUUUCUGUUCAAUUUUAAUUAAAUUGAAACCAUAGGAAAUUAUAGUGCGGUUUUCAAAUCAGAGGGAGUUAAAUUAUACAUUUGACAAAUUAUAGAGAGUUUUUUGAUAUUUUACCCAUUUAAUUAUGAGUUUGGGCCAAAGUCGAUUUAAAUCUAAAACUCAUAUAAUAAUGUGAGUUGAAUUUGAAUCAUUUUAAAAUGAGCCCAAAACCUAAAAAUUCAUAUAACUUGUAAGUCAAGUUUGACCUUAUUGAAACCCAACUCAAAAAACCCGCUUGACAUCCCUACAUCAAACAAAUGAUUCUGUUUUUUAACGGGAAGGAAAAUAGUGUACUUUUUUGAGGAGUUACUUGUUGCGUCACUCUUGAUUUGUGGUGACAAAAAUGAAACAUAAGAUUUGAACUGGGUAGAGUUGUUAUAUCGUUUAACGAAUUCUAUCAGUUAAAUUUUUAACUCACCUUGAAGUGGCAUAGAAACAUUGGUUCGAUUCCUUCUGAAGAUCAUAUGAGAUAGUAUUAGACUCUGCAGUCUUUUCAUUAGGAGUUAGAAAGUAAAGAAAAGAAAUGGUAAGAUAGGUUGUGGGGGGGGGGGGGGAAGAGGGGGUGGAGAAGUUGGUGAGACUUUUCUCCUCUCUUGUUUGGGAGUUUGGAUAUUAAAAAAGAAAUAUUGUGACUUACGUCUAUUAAAUUUUGUCCUUAGCCUUGAAUAAGUAUUUUGACAUCUUUUUCUAGUGUUAGUUGAUGUUUCUCUCCAUCUGCUCUCCAACUUUGGAGAGAAAUUUUAAGUUACAAUCAUCCCAAAUCAUCCACUUUUUUGUUUUGUUCCUUUCUUCAUUUAACAAAAAAAAGAAAAAAAAAACACACACACUUUCUCUACCAAACGCUUUCUUUUCUCUCAAUUUCUCUUUCGACAAACGAGCUAUAGUUGUUGUAGGAAGGGGCCCUUUUAUGCUUUCUUAUUUUCUUGUUUGGGCAUCCUUUUGCGGCAUCUCCGAGGAUUACCGGCGCCAUUCACUCUAGCCUAAAGAGCUGGAUCUGGGGGUCCGUGUACUUCAAACAUGGACCCUCAGAUACUCUGUCAACAUUUUCAAAUUUCAAAUGUCAAUUUUCUUAAUUUUCAAAAUGUGUUUAAGGUAGAACUGCAGAAGUAGGGCCGAUUUGUCGCAAAAUGCGUCUAGUAGAAUCUCAUGAGCGUCAAACCCGGAUAGUUUCUUGGAGCUAGUCUAGCCUCCCUUGUUUUCUUGGCAUUUUUUUUUUGGGUUCUAUGUCUCUCAUUUCUGUUUCCAGUUCCAAUUGUGAGACACAGAAUUCAAUGGAGAUUUCUAAAAUCCAUCCCCUGACCGUUAGGUUAACUAUCAUGAUAUAUGCUUUAAGAAAAGCAUUGUAAUGUUGUCUUAUCACAAGAUAAUGAUUUAAAAUAUGAGGCACAAAUGUGUCAUAAUCUUGUAAUCAUAAUAAUGCUAUUGUUUUCUUUCUCUUUUAUUUUUUUAAUAAUUUGUCUUCCACCUUCCUUACUUUCUCUUUCACCACUUUACUAAAUUAUAGGUGGCACAAGUAUUUUGUAAUUUUUUUCUAAUGCAUCUUCCAUUGUUACGGUGCCAUUCAUAUCCAUGUCUUCAUUGAAAACAUACAACCUUGUUUCUAUAGUUCCCAUCUUGAAGUAGGAGGGUGCAACCUUUCCACAGCAAUUGCAAACUUUUUACCUUGUUCAUCAGAAAUUAUACAUAGAAUUUUAUAAAAGAGAUCGAACAAUGAUUUAUCUUCCACGUAUCAGUGGCUUCAAUAGAACCUUAGACUUAAGGUUUGAGAGUCUGUUUAAAUUAGGAGUUUUUCACAUACAAUGCGCUGUUAUACAAUGUUAUAGUAGCACACUUCAAAAAGCACUUCAAAUAUAAUCUAAAAUAAUACCUAAAAAAACACUCAAAAAAUAAAAAUUCUACCACCUCUUUCUCUCUCCACCUACUACUACUAUUAUCUCUCCUCUCCUCCUUCCCCGCUACCAACUCUAUCAUCUAUCUUAAGCAGCGGCAUUGCUUGCUGGUGGUGGCUUGGGAGGGGGUGGAGAGAGGGCGAUAGAUGGUUGUGGUAGGGAAGAAAAAAAUCUCAAAAAUAUACCAAUCAAAUUUUAAGUUGUAAGAAUAUUUCCAAUAUAUAUCUUCUGUGAAAGUUUUUAAUAUAUACUUGUAAAAACACCUAAUCCAUGCAAAUCCUAAAUUUUUUGCCUUAGUGGGAAAACCAACUUAAUUAUGACAGCAGACCCCGCCCUUAGUUGCACGUGGAUAUCCCAUUUACUUAGGCUUCUCAUGUUGGGAUCCUCUUGAAUUAAGUAACUCGAAGAGUAUUUGUUCUUUUCUUGAGGCAACUCCAACUCAAGCUCUGGGAAUCUCAUAUUGGAAUGAGUUCAAGAGAUAUACAGUGACCUACAGAUCAAACAGUGGCCAAAGGUUGUGCGUGUACUAUAGAUGUUCGCCUCCUCGAUGUCCAUGUCCCUUAACUUCCCUUAUGUUAAAUUUGGAGACAUCUGGGACUUCCACCUUGUGAACUAGUCCACAUUAUCAAGCCAAGGUCUCAUCAGCAAUUUUACCGAACAAUUCACUGAUCUGCUUAUCUGAAAAUUUGCAGCUGUGGUGGGAGAUGGAUUCAUUGCCAGAGGGAUCACCGUUGAAAACUACGCUGGACCUAGCCAACACCAAGCAGUGGCCCUGAGGAGUGGCUCAGAUCUCUCAGCAUUCUACCAAUGCAGCUUCAUCGGCUACCAGGACACGCUCUACGUGCAUUCCCUUCGACAAUUUUAUAGGGAAUGCGAUGUGUAUGGUACAGUCGACUUCAUCUUCGGGAAUGCCGCUGUUGUGUUCCAACUUUGCAACCUUUAUGCCCGGAGACCAAACCCAAACCAGCAAAACUUAUUCACUGCCCAAGGAAGAGAGGAUCCUAACCAAAAUACUGGGAUUUCGAUCUUGAACUGCAAAGUUGCUGCAGCGGCAGAUUUGCUUCCCGUCCUAUCCUCAUUUAGAAGCUAUCUUGGUCGUCCGUGGAAAGAAUAUUCAAGAACUGUUUACCUUCUGUCAAACAUGGAAAGCUUGAUAGACCCUGCUGGAUGGUUGCCGUGGAACGGUAGUUUUGCAUUGUCAACCCUUUUCUAUGGGGAGUAUAAGAAUAGAGGACCCGGUUCAAACACCACUGCCAGAGUAAAAUGGCCUGGUUACAGGGUCAUCACCAAUACCACCGUUGCCAGUCAGUUUACGGUCGGAAAUUUCAUCCAGGGAACUGCAUGGCUGCUUAAUACUGGAAUCCCAUUUUAUCCCAAUUUGACACCCUCCUGAAUUGGUUGUCAUUGUAAUACUCUCCAGUUAGAUUCUUCAGCUAGCUAGGGUCCCCUCCACGCACCUCCCCUCCACCAACCCCCCCACCCCCCCCCCCCCCCCCCCCCAAAAAAAAAAUCCCACAAAACAACCCUUCACCAUUCUAGGCAUGCAGUUCUGGAGAAAUUGAUCCUAUUGUUUUAGUAAACUGGGGAAUCAAUAAGUGAGAACAUAUGCUCACAUAAUCGGUUUCGCUCUCUCUUGCAAAUUUUUAUUUAUGAUUGAAUUUUGGGAGUAACCUGAAACUGAAAUAUUUAUCUGCUAGCGAGCCUUGUAGCAGGUACCAGCAACGCUGGAAGAUCGCCCAAGGGUUGGCACAUCAAUUUAAGGUGAAAACCUCGAAAUGUCUGAAACAUUACUUACUCAAUCUUAAGGCAUCGUUUACACAAUUAAAUAAGACAACAGAACCACGCUGAACCCAAACAAACACCUUUUUUCCUUUUUAAACUUUUUUCCACUUCAUCUUUUGCUAUUGGGAUUGCUAUGGAAAGCAUUGGCCAGUUGCUACAUUUUCGAGUGCCCAAAACGUUCAAUUAUAUAUCAUCUAAAGGUUGAAAUUGUCAUACGCUGAGCAAAAGAGCCCUAUAGCUAGUUGAUUUUACGCGGCCUUUAACAGAAAGCAGUCAUCCACAACCGAGUUUCUAAAGCAAAAGCUACCGGGUUUAUUGGACUUUGUACAUCCAAGUGAUCGGGCACAUUGCAAGUUGCCACGCAUUUUGAGUUUUAAAUAUACUGCAUGGGACUUUAAUUAACGUACACAUUUGACAUGUAUAUAUAAUUAUUGUGUAUAUCCCUGAAUGAUUAGAUUUCAAAUAGUAAAACGAACACUCGGUGACUUUUGCUGUACAUUUUUAAUACAUUCCGAUAAAAAUGAAAUGCAAAUUGUUCACUGUUCCUUUCAAAUAGAGGUGGCAAAAUGAGUGGGAUGGGUGAGAUCUGCUUAGAUUUGAAAUGAGAUCGAAUAAUAUGGAUUUAGACCUAACCUUAUCUAUAUGUGUUUUGGGACUAAUUUGGGUAAGAUCACUUUGAAAUGGGUUUAGAUUGAUUCCACCCAAUAUCCAAAAUCUAUUUUUUAUUCUUUUUUUUAAAUUAUUUUUUAUUUUUAUAUAACUUUAAUACUUUUUAUUUAUUAAAUUUCUUUUGUUCCUACUAUGAAUUUAUAUUUUUCUGAAUUCCUUUUGUUACUCAAAUUUUCUUUUUUUUUUAAUUUUCUAUGUAUAUAUACUUUUUAAUCUUUGAUUUCCACUGUUGCUAAAUUUUAGUUAGGAAAAAAUAAGUCCUCUAAAAACUUUAAAAGAUUUAUAUUUAUGAUUAUAAAGAAAUGCCAUUGUAUGGACUUGUACUUAUACUACUAGAGCUUGUGGAAAAGCAUAACUAGUGAAAUUAGUUGUAGCACAACAAUAAGGUGCAAGGAUGAAAGUUUAGUCAUAUUAAAACUUUUCACAUAGCUAGUGAAAUUAGUUGUAGCCCAACAAUAAGGUGCAAAGAUGAAAGUCUCAUUGCAUUAAAACUUUUCAUAUAUAUAUAUAUAUAUAUAUAUAUAUAUCAGAGGCACAUCAACCUAUAUGCUUUAGUUUCAACAAGUAAAAGAUAACACAGUUUCCUAUAUUUUAUUUCACUUAACGGUCAACAAAUUUUAGAAUCAUUUUACCCAGAUAACUAGAUGGUCUAAUUUAAAAUUUAAUCUGGAAUUACUAUCUUAAUCUUUUCGUUGCAAUAUAGAAGAGAAAGGAGAACAGAAUUUGAUGACGAAAGAAUUUCUAACCACAUGACCUGCUUUAUUCUCCAUAUUGUUAGUAACAACAACAAAGUAUAUUUGUUUGGGAGAGAGGAGUUCUUGGGUGAAUUAAAUUUUUGGUGAGAUGUUUAGACCCCAAUGGGCACCCCAGUAUUUUCCAAGAAUUUGCAUCAAUUGACGGGCAUAAAUGGAAUUAAUCCCAUUUCAAACCCAAAAUCAAAAUUAGAAUAUGCAUCCCACCAAAAAUCUCUUUGGACAUGGGUAGCCUAUUGCAACUUGAGAUAGAUUCCUAUCCCUAAUUUUGAAGUCUUAUGCCAAAAAGAUGACAUGCAAGAGAUUAGCUAAGACGCUUGAAGUUCGCAAAUGACAUGCAAAAAUUUGUUGAGGAUAACGGAUACAAGAGAUUAGCUAAGACGCUUGAAGUUCACAAAUGACAUGCAAAAAUUUGUUGGGAAUAACAGAAAAGCUAUCUUUAGCAUUGCAUAGAAAAGAUCAGAUAUUUUGAAUGCAAUGAGUCUAGUUAAAAUUGCUAAAUAGCGAUUGCAAUUAAUGAAAGAUGUUGGAUGGGAUAUAUUGUUAGAUGAGGUUACUGCAUUUUGCAGCCAAUAUGAAGUUGAGGUUCCCAAUAUGGAUGCUAUAUAUGUUCUUAAAGGAAAGUCAAAGCGAAAAAUUCCAAAUAUUUCACACUUACACCACUGUAAAGUAGAUUUAUUUUAUAGUGUGGUUUCACGAGUUGAAUGAGGAUUUGACUAAGGCAAAUGCUGAAUUGCUUGUUUGUAUGUAAUAUCCUGCUCCAAAUAAUGAUUUUUCAUCUUUUGACAAGGAAAAGUUGAUUCACUUUGCAAAAUUCUAUCCAUUUGAGUAUUUUUUUUUUUUUGCAAUUGAUCUGAUGGUUCAUGACAAUCAGAUUGAUACUUAUAUCCUUGAUAUGCACCCUAUCAAUGAAUUUGCAGAAUUAAAAGGAAUUGCUAGCCUUACAGUUGAGUAAGUUAAGACUAAAAGGGAUAUUGUAUAUUCAUCAGUCUAUUUGCUUAUAAAAUUAGCAGUUACUUUACCUAUUACUACAGCAGCCGUGGAAAUGACCUUUUUAGCAGUGAAGAUUGUCAAAAAUCGAUUGCAUGUCUUAUGGUGAUUGAUGGAUGAAUGAUUGUUUCGUUACUUACAUUAAAAAAUAUAUAUUUAAUAAAAUUGACAAUGAGCUGAUUUUGCAGUAUUUUCAGAAGUUGAGUAUUCAUAGAGGACAAUUACAAUACAUAUCUAAUAUUAUAGUUUUGCUUUUUUUUUUGGAUUAAUAUUUCCUAUACUGAUAGUAUAUACAUCAUCAGCGUUGGAUGAAUGACAACUAUACAAAAUUUGAAUUUGAAAUUCAACUUUUACACAUAUGUCAUGAAUCUAACGAUGAUAUUGUAGGAAAUAUUUACUUUUUUUUUUCUUUUUAUAUUACAUUUUUUACUUUGUAGAAGUUUUAUUGCAUUAAACUUUGACCUUACCUACUCUCAGAUCUUGGCUCCACCACUAAUGCCAAUGCCAUCCUUUUGACAUUUGUCUAAAAUACUUAUUUUUUAGAUUAAUAUGCCUAAAUGUAACAUUAUACACAUAGUUCAAAACUUUAGACAUUGUAGUUACACUGCCACGGUAUAAAGACAUCGGAGGCAUAGGUUAUGGCCAUAACUAGGGCUGUGCAUCGAAAUCGAAUGCGGUAAUUCGGAAGUUUGAAAUCGGAAAUUUUCGAAAUUUUGACUUGAAGUUCUCCGACCGAAUUCAAUUUCGAAAUGGCCAAUUCCGAUUUCGAAUUCGACACCGAAUUGGCUUUUUUUUUUUUUUGCUUUCGUUUCAGUCUUCCAGACUUGGUUCUCACUUUUUAUCUUCUCAGCUAACGGUCGUUAAGGGAAGCAAUAAAAAGAAGAGAGUAAGCUGAGUCGAGCCAGAGGAAGAAAUAAAAAGAAGAAUAGCCCUGAUAAAACCAAAGUACUUGCUGCCGUUAUGCCUACUGCAGCAGCUCCAACUGUCUUCUUGGAUGUUGAUGGUGAGCUUGAUGGCGUUGCUGGUAGAGGCUGUGGAAGCAGCGGCGGCGGUGAUACCGGGCUGGUCCAGACUGGGUGGUAGCAAAACUGGCUGAUUUUGCGGGGGAUUGGAGGGGGAAGCUGGUGGUGUAAGAGGAGGUGGAAAGAAAGUCUCUAAGUUCUGAGGAGAAGCAGAUUGGGAUGAAGAUUGAGGGAUGGAAGAAAGGAUGAUGAGCAAGAAUGAAUAAAGAAGUUUUGAUGGACAAAGAUUUGCGGCCAUGAAUGUGAUGUCUUGAACCAAAUUGAACAGAGCUCGAAUGAGUUCGAAUGUAGAUUUUGGUUAUAUUUGUGGACCGUGUGGCUUUUUGGUUUAGAUGAGGAAGAGGCGGCGGAAGAGUGAGGUGAGUUAAGUUAACAGGUUAGGGUUUUUGCAAUAUCAUGUAUCAGGUAUUAAUUUAUUAUUUUAAUUUCAAUUUCAAUUAUUAACUUAUUAUGUUAUAUAAUAUAUAUUAUAUAUGUAUUGUUAAAAAGUAAAAACUAUUAUAUUAUAUAUAAAUAUUAUUAUUCGAAUUCGGUAUAAAAUUUCCGAUUUCAAAAAUUAUACUUUCGAAUUCCGAUUUCAAAAAUUAUACUUUCGAAUUCGACCCGAUUUCGACCAAUUCGAAAUCGGAAUUACCGAAUUCCAUUUUGAAUUACCGAAAUUCCGAAUUCGAAAUUCCGAAUUCAAUUCGAAAUCGGUCGGUAAAUCGGAAUUUUUCGAAUUUGCACACCCCUAGCCAUAACUUAUCAACAAAUAACAAAUCCUAAACUAAUUCACCUUUUUAUGCAGCCAGUAACCAAAGUUAUGACUUCAACUUGUAUGAUGAAAUGUGCGGUUACCGUUUGCUUCUUAGAAGUCGAUAUAAUUACACUACCAUCCAAAAUGAAUAUCCACCCACUUGUAGAAUUCCUUGCACUAGUGGACCAACUAGCAUAAGAGUAAACAAUUACUCUCCCAAUAGACCUCUAAUAGUCUAUACCGAGAUUUUGGUAGACCUUGCAAAUCUACAAACUAAGCAUGAAAUAUUUGGUCUUGUAGAGUGUGCAAUGCAUACAUCAAGUUUCCAAUGGCAUUUGUAUAUGUGAAUUGAGCAAUUGAACUACCAAAAUUUUAUGAAAUUUCAAGUUAGAACUAAAGAUAGUACUCACCUUUUUUAUCUUUAGAUGUUGAAACUAAUUUAAUGUCUUGUUAAUAUAUGAGAUUGACACAAAACAUAACCUCUACUAUUUUCCUGAUUUUGAUAUUUAAGAUAGUAUCAAUCUUUCCAGGAUCCUUUAUUUUGAAGAAUUAGUAUCUUCAACACCUUUCAUAGUAUCAACCAUUAGUAUCUUAUGUACAUAUAGAAAAAUGAUCAUACUAUUCACUGAAUUUAGAAUGAGUGGUAUUUUUUUUAUCCUAUUUUGCUCAUUUUUUGUUUCAAGUGUAGAUUUAUAGUGUAUGGAGUUGGUUCCAUUAGGAUUUUUUAAAAUUACAUUGACUUUAUUUUGUAAAAAUGAUAAUUUAAAUUGUUGAAAGGACAAAUUUGAAAACAAACCUAAAGAUAUUUGAUCAAGAUGGUCAUUUUUAACAAGGCACAUUCCAUAGAUGGAUUAAUGUUAGAGGUCCUAAAUUUUUUUUUUGGUAAAAAUAAAGAAAUAAAAUGGUCACAAUAAUAGAUAAAAGAUUAAAUUGGCCAAAAUUUCAAAUAUGAGGUACCAAAAUGACCAUUUUCCCCUUGAUCUCGCUAUGCAUGGUUUAAAUUAGCACAAAUCAACAUCCAUUUUAUGUGCUUGAGGCAUCAUAUGAAAGUCCAUUGACAAAGCAGGACUUUGUUUCCCAACUAGAGGUGAGCAUUCAAUGUAAAUUUGAUAAUUAGGUUAGUUGAAUUCAGUUAUUUCGGAAAUCUAAAUCGCUUUCAAUUUCGAAUUGGAGAUAUCCGAAUUAAUUGCAUUUCCAAAUUUGAAUUUGAAAAUGGUAAUGAAUUCAAGUUAAACAUUUUCAUUAAAGAAAAAAAGUAAAUUUGUUACUUAAGACUUCAUUUCAAAAUUUGCAAUAUCCAGCCUAAUUAAACUCCUAUAAUCAAGUCUAAUAGCCACUGUAAUUAGUCGAGUUAUAGGCUUAUAGCACGAAGUCAAAGGAAAUCAACACACACAUUAGAAGUGCCAGAAUUCAUCAAUUCAAAUACAAUACAAGUCAUAAAAGACUAAAGUCACAAGUCACAACUGAAGUCAGAAAUAAAAAACCGUUCAAAUUCAAUAGAAUCCAUAAUGCCAAAUUGUCUUGAAAGUUCAAAUAGUUAGGUAAGAGAAACUUAGUAAACAAGUAAAUAUGCUGCCUGCAACAAACUCAAAGCCCCGGUAUCUUCUGAUCUUCUCCAACUAAAAAGUGAUUGAAGUUUCAACACCUCCCUUGAUCAAACCUGCAACAAAACAUAAAAAUGAGAAACAUUAGUUACUUUAAAACAAUAGAGAAAUGGAAUUUUACAAGAAUCAGCAUAUGCAUUAGAUAAGAAAUAUCUUACGAGAUUCUAAAGUUUCAAGAUCCUCCAAUUCUUCUUCCACAUUUAGUUUAGAGUCUGAUGGCUGAAGUCAAUCUUGAGUGCAAAUCAAAGUUUGCACUAUUUUAGGUGUUAAAGAACUCCUAAAUGGAUCAAGGACUCUUCCACCUAUGUUAAAAGUAGCUUCAGAAGUAACCAUAGAUAUAGGCACAACCAACACAUCAUGAGCUAAUUAAAAAAGAACAGGGAAUCUAGGACUAACUUUAGUUAUAAUAAUAACUAACAGAAUUGGCAACCAUUCUGUUAGGUUUUGUGCAUUCCAUAAAAAAUUGGACUAAGGUGGGACGAAUUUUGUAAUUUAAGGAUUUAAGUGUCCCAUUUUGAAAUUUAGGGAUUGAAGUGGAAUUUCGAAUAUAGUUUGAAGGGACAAAGUGGAAUUAAUCCUUAAAAUAAUACUAAGCUGCACAAGCUAUACUCUGACCAUGUUUGACCAUCUCUUGCAGGAUUUGAAAAGACACUUGUUAAAUAUGAACGUCAAAUUUUAUAAGGGGAAGGGAAUUAGGAACAUCAUUCUCGCUUGACUAAUGUUUUUAUGAGCUAAACUAAAAUUCAAAUGUCCUGCCUCUUUAUUUUAUUUUUGUUAGUGGUAAGAGAAUAUUGCUAGAUCGCUAAGAUGAGGUAGGUUUAAAUAUUUUGAGCUUGCUUGCUACUAUCUUACGGUAGUCUUUUAGUAGUUAUAUUUAAAUCAAAGGAGUGAUGAGGUGUAAGGAAUUGUAAAUAAGAGAUUUUAAAUUCAAAUUAUUUUACUUAAAAAAAAAGUUGUUUUAAUACCCAACUCCUAAACCAAGGGUGCAUACAAGUAAUGCAGAUGCGUUCACCUUAAAUUCUUCAAAAGGAAUAACAAGGAUCAAAUGGUUUAGUAGUGGGCAAUCUAUUAGUACUAAUCUUUCUCAUCCAAGUUUGCAGUAGGCAUGCAGUCCUAUUUUACUUCAUUAAAUUCUCCACCUUUGGAUUUGGUUGGAUACAACUAGGCAUGUGGGUUUUUUGGGCUUUGAAAUUAGCCAUGGAUGCUUAGAAUCUCGUUUGGGCACAUAGGCCCCAAAAUAGCCUACUGGGGAGCUGGGUCCAUAGAUGGUUGUGGAAAGCCCAACUGGCUGGCAUGAAUUUAACAAACAACAACCGAUGAUGAUGUGGCUAACUUUUUUUUUUUUGGCCUUCUGUUUUCUUUCUUUCGAUAAUAUUGGUGGCAUAACCCAAAUUUUUAUUUAACAAUAAAUAUAGGUAGUCAAUCCUAAGAGCACUAUUUUUUUUGGAGUGAAGAUAAUAAUAUUUGUAUUGAAUAAGAUAUAUUGCAAAGUAGAAUUCAAGGUGACUACAAUGUGUAGAUACCAAAUUUUUCUAUAUCCCAACUCUAUUCUUAUUUUCAAAAGAAAAUUAAAAAUUACGUAACCAUUUUAUUUCUUUUUUUUUGUUUUAUAGACUUGUGCAAGAAAGUCAAAAAGAGAAGGAAAAGAAAAAUGGAAAUUAAAAAAAUGAAAAAUAACCCAUUUUCCUUCAAACCACAAAAUCCAAUUCUUAAACACAAUAGAAAUAAGAACAAACCCAGCAAUCUCGUAAGAAAGCCUGAAGAAAGAGGCCCAUUUCUUUUCCUUCCGAAAAAAAGGAAGCACAAGUGUUUUUCUUCAUCUUCAUCUUUACAACAAAAGAACUAGUAUGAAACUUGUACCAAAAAAAUUUUUUUGGGGCACGCUGUCUUUUUUUUUUCUUUCUUCUUUGUUUUUUCCCAAGCCUUGUUCAUACAAAGAAAACUCACCCCAUUGAAAUCUUAUUCUUUUACACCAAACAAAUUUCAUCAAAGGACAAGAAAAGAACACAUUAUACUAGUUCAAAAAACUUUCAUCGCUACCCUUCUUUUAGGGUUUACUUUGUGUCUAAUCCAUAUAUGUAUAUAUAUAUAUAUAUAUAUUCAAUUUUUAGAAAGCUUUAGGGUUGAGAGAUGUUGGGAAAGGGGUACCGGUAUAAACACACAAUAUCAAAGUUAGCCCAGGACAAAUUUCUCUUUUCUCAAGUACCAGAUAAAAUAAGAAUAAACCAAAUCAUCAAACAAAAAUGCCAACACUAAUAAUAGUAUGCAAGAAAAAUAAAAAGCACAGGACACUAAGAUUUUUACGUAAAAAACCCAAAUUGAAAAAAACCAUGAGACCUAGUCCAAUCAACAAUCUCCACUAUCACAAUAUGAGAAUACACAGGUCUACCCGAAAUAUUCGGAUGACAAUAAUAUCGUCAAUACCAACCAAGCGAAAUUACUACAAAAUUAUCCCCAAAAACUACAACUGUCAAAGAAGUAGGUUUGGAAAGGUAUUAUCAAACAAAGAGAAAAUCCGAAAUCUGAGCCAGUAGAUGAGUAGAGCUUGGUAAGAAAAUUGCAUAUGUAAAAUUUUGUCUCAAUCGAAAUUCAAAUCACCCUCCAAUCAAGUUCUUGGAAUUAUUUCUCUCUCUUCGUUCUUUACCGAGCCAAAGAAAGAUGACGGCUGGAAAAAAUUUUCUCGCUUAAGGUCAUAAUUCUACAUAUGGCUGCACCAUUUUCUUUGUAAGUCAAAUUUUGACUUAAACCUAAAAGGGUUUGGUUUUGUGGUUUUGGCCCACAAAUGAGUUGGCCCACACUCAACAAUCUCCCCCUCCAGCUUAUUUGGGAGGUAUAGUCAAACCUGCUUCCUGCCUGCAAAACAAAAGUUUUUCUUUAAGUAAUGCCUUAGUCAACAUGUCAGCACCAUUAUUAUUUGUAUACACCUUCUCCAGUGUCAACAACUUGGAAUCUAGUAUUUCCUGAAUCAAAUGAUAUCUCACAUCAAUGUGUUUGGAUCGAGAACGAAAUGUAGAGUUGUUACACAAAUAAAUAGUACUCUGACUGUCACAGUAAAAACUAUACUUCUCUUGUUUCAAACCCAACUUCUGAAGAAAUUUCUACAACCAAAAAGUCUCCUUGCAUGCUUUAGUAGUUGCGAUAUAAAGGGUGAUACACUUCUGUAACUUACUUUGGCAUGACACUGCUCUCCCUGAAAAAAUCAUCAAGCACCCAAAUGUGGACUUCCUAUUAUCAAGAUCACCUGUCAUAUCUGCAUCGAUAUACCCAUCUAGCAUAGUUUUACCAUUACCGAAACACAAACACAAUUUAGAAAUUCUCUUGAGAUACUUGAGAAUCCAUGAUAGCAUUCCAAUGCUCCUUACCAGGAUUAGAAAGAUACUGACUGACUACUCCAACAGCAUGAGGAAUAUCUGGUCUGGUGCAAACCAUGGCAUAUAUCAAACUACCAACAGCCAAGGCAUAAGGAACCUUCUUCAUGUUUUCUUUAUCUUUCUCACUUGUAGGACACUGCUGCUGUUUAGUUUAAAGUGACUCGCAAGUGGAAUUGAGACUUCCUUAGCCUUGCUCAUGUUAAACCUGUUAAGCACUUUUUCAAUGUAUUUUUCUUGAGAUAACUAAAGUUUUCCAUUUUGUCUGUCUCGUGAGAUUUUUAUCCCCAAUAUCUGUCUAGUUGGACCCAAAUCAUUCAUUGCAAAGGAUUUACUUAACUCCUUUUUCAACCUGUCAAGUUUUAUAGUAUCACGACCAACAAUCAAUAUGUCAUCAAUAUACAGCAAGAGAAUAACAAAAUCACUAUCUGAAAAUUUUUUCACAUAAAUACAAUGAUCUAAUGUAGUCCUGUGGUACUCGUGGUGUGUCAUGAAAGAGUCAAACUUCUUGUAUUACUGUCUCAGUGCCUGUUUCAACUCAUAUAAACUCUUCUUAAGACGGCAUACAAGAUUUUCCUUGCCACUUUCUUUGAACCCCUCCAAUUGCUUCAUGUAGAUCUCUUCUUUCAGGUCACCAUGCAAGACGGCUAUUUUCACAUCAAGUUGUUCUAUCUUCAAAUUUAAACUGGCUACAAUACCCAGAAUAACUCAGUUUGACGACAUCUUUACAAUGGGAGAGAAAAUUUCUUCAAAUUUGACACCCUUUUUUGACUAAAUCCCUUCACAACCAAUCUCGAUUUGUAUUUUGGUUGUGAGUUGUGCUCCUGAAUUUUUAACUUGUAAACCCAUUUAUUUUGCAGAACUCUCUCGCCUUUAGACAGUUUCACUAAGUUAUAAGUGUGAUUCUCAUGCAGGGACACCAUUUUCUCUUGCAUAGUUCGCAACCAAUCUUCUUUAUUCUUGUGCUCUAGAGUCUCACUGUAGGACUCUGGCUCUCCUCCAUCUGUAAACAACACAUAUUCAUGAGGAUUAUAUCUACUAGAAGGUCUCUUCUCUUUGGUAGAUCUCUUAAUCUCAUUUUGUGGUAGUGGUGGUGGAGUAGGUGGUGCCUUAUGCUCAAGUUCAUCAGCAGUAGGAUUGUUACCAUCAUCAACAUCUUCUCUCUGCUCUGUCUCAGCUUUCCCUUGAUUAAAAUCAACAUGUAUUAGAAUUGAAUCUGAAUCUAAAUUUGAACUAGUAGAAAUGUCAUCUGAAGAUUUUGGGUUGUCGUCUUUAACAAUGUCUUCAAUGGUCUAAUCUUCAAAGAAGACAACAUCUCUGCUCUUGAUCACCUUCUUAUCAAUAGCGUCAUGCAACCUAUAGUUAAAAUUUUCAUAUCCAUAAUCCAAGAAAAUACACUGCUUUGAUUUUACAUCAAAUUUUGACUUCUCAUAUUUGGAAAUAUGAACAAAUGCCCGAUAACCAAAAACUCUCAACUGUUUAAAAGAUAUAUCUUUUUCCAUCCAUACUUUCUCUGGGAUAUCACCAUCUAGAGGAACUAACGGAGAAAGAUUAAUCAAAUCGACUGCAGUCCUCAUUGCCUCACUCCAAAAGAAUUUUGGCAACUUAGCAUUAGAGAACAUACAUCUAACCCACUUAGUGAUAGAUCUAUUCAUUCUCUCUGCUACUCCAUUCUCUUGAGGAGUUUUUAGUAUAGUUUUCUCCAAUUUGAUCCGACGGGACUUGCAAUAGAUUUCAAAUGGUCCUCUGUACUCACCACCAUUAUCAGCACAUAUACACUUUAACUGCUUACCAGUUUCUCUUUCAAUUUUGUUAUGAAAAUCUUUAAAUACAUCCAAAACCUAAUCUUUGGAUUUCAAAAUAAAAGACCAAACCUUUCUAACAAAGUCAUCAAUAAAAGUUACAAAAUAAACAACACCACUAAGAGACUUAUCUUUCAUAUAGCAAACAUCAGUGUGCACCAAUUUUAACGGAUUCAAUUUUCUAGACAGAGGAGAAUUUUGAAAUGCAACUCUAUGUUGUUUCCCAUAAAUGCAGUUAACACAAGGUUUAAGUGCAUUACCUCUAACUUCAGAUAAGAGUUGUUUGUGAACAAGUGUCUAAAUCCCCUUUUCACCCAUGUAUCCAAGUCGCCUAUACCAAAGGUCAAUUGAUGAAUCACGAACUACAUUCACUUUUCUCUUCCCCAACUUGGCUUGCAUCAACUAGAUGGUACUUUGCUUCUUUCCUCUAGCAAUAACGAGAUUUCCUUUGCUGAGUUUCCAUUUGUCUCCACCUUGCAAGUUAUGGUAACUUUCAUCGUCAAAUUUUCCUAUAGAAAGAAGAUUAAGGUAAAUAUCAGGGACAUGUCGAGCAUUUCUUAAUAUCAACUGGUACCCGGUAUCUGUAUCUAAAUAUAUGUCUCCCAUACCAACAACUUUGCAUGAGGUCUUAUUUCUCAUUCUAACGUAUCCAAAAUCUCUUUUGGUGUAGAUUGGGAAGAAAUUUCUGUGAGGAGUAACAUGGUAGGAUGCACCCGAAUCAACUACCUAAUCAUUGUUAUAAUUAAUAAUAUUCACCUGACCAUUAUCACAGAACACAAACAUAUCAUCAUGAACUGCCACAACUGUUGUAGUCUCUUUAUCAUCUUUUUCCUUUGCCUUACCCUUUUUCUCAGCUUGUUCUUGUUUUAAAGUUUUGCAUUCCUUCAUAUAAUGCCUAUUCUUUUUACAAUAAUAGAAUGUAUUAUUUUUUCACGACUCAGACCUGCCUCUGGAUUUGUCAUUUCUGUUGUAAGGUCCUCUACUUUUGCUUAUCCCUUUUGUUUCUUUCUUUUCUGUCACCAAGGCCUGGGACUCAUAGAUAAUUCCUUAUUUUUUCUUCCUAAAUUCUUCAUUCAUCAUGGCCUCUUUUGCAAUAGCCAUGAUUAACACACCAUUUAGAGUUGAAUUGCUGACAGAGACCACCAUGGUUUCCCAACUAUCCGGUAGUGAACUAAAUAAUAAUAGAGCUUGUAUUUCAUCAUCUAAAUUCAAAUUUAACGUAGUUGCCUGGUUUAUCAAUUCCUGAAAAUUAUUCAAAUGUUCAGUUAUAUUUUUCCCAUCUUUAUAUCUCAUACGAGUAAUCUGGUUCAGAUAACUAGUCUUGUUUAAAUCGGUCUUCCAUUCAUACAUAUUCUCAAGUUUUUUUUUAUAAUACAUCAGCUCUGGUGUCAAUGUUGAAAAAUAUUUUGACCAAUCCAUUUUCUAAUAUUACCAACAGUUUUUCUGUGCAUAAUAGCCCAUUUUUCAUUACUCAUAUCACUUGGUCUACUCUUAUCCCCUAAAAUAGGUUCAAAUAAAUUUCUACAAUACAGGUAGACUUCCAUUCUAGGCUUCCAAAUCAAAUAAUUAUUAGCAUUCAAUUUUAUCAUACAAUCACUAUCCGAAUCAUCCAUUUUUUAACCAGUACAAAUGAGCAGCCUAACUUGACUGCUCUGAUACCACUUGUUGGGAAAGGGUACCGGUAUAGACACACAAUAUCAAAGUUAGCCCAGGACAAAUUUCUCUUUCCUCAGGUAUCAGUUAAAAUAGGAAUAAACCAAAUCAUCAAACAACGAUGCCAACAGUAAUAAUAAAAUGCAACACUUGUUGGGAAAGGGUACCGGUAUAGACACACAAUAUCAAAGUUAGCCUAGGACAAAUUUCUCUUUCCUCAGGUAUCAGUUAAAAUAGGAAUAAACCAAAUCAUCAAACAACGAUGCCAACAGUAAUAAUAAAAUGCAAGAAAAAUAAAAGGCACAAGACCUUAAGAUUUUUACGUGAAAAAUCUAAAUUGGGAAAAACCAUGGGAUCUAUUCUAGUAAAAAAUCUCCACUAUUACAAUAAUGGGAAUCCACAGGUCUACCCAAAAUAUUCGGAUGACAAUAAUAUCACCAAUACCAACCAAGCAAAAUUACUACAAAAUCACCCUCAAAAACUACAACUGUCAAAGAAGUGGGUUUGAAAAGGUGUUACCAAAUGAAAAGGAAAUCCGAAAUCUGAACCAGUAGAUGAGUAGAGCUUGGUGAGAAGAUCGCAUAUGUAAAAUUUUGUCUCAAUCGGGAUUCAAAUCACCAUCCAAUCAAAUUCUUGAAGUUAUUUCUCUCUCUUUGUUCUUCAUCGAGCCAAAGAAAGAUGACGGCUGGAAAAAUUUUUCUCGUGUAAGGACAGAAUUCUGCAUGCAGCUACACCCUUUUUCUUUUUAAGUCAAAUUUUGACUUAAAUUUAAAAGCCUUUGGGUUGGUAGCCACCUCCUAAGUGGUUUGUUUCUAAAAAAUCCAGGUGGGUGUGCUGUGCACCCGUCUGGUCCGGUGGUGGUUCAGUCCCCUCCGGGUUACCCCUGAAUCUCCUUAAGUCCGCCCCCUCUCCCAUAGUGUAGGAUAGAAUAGGUUUAUCAUCUCCGAAAAAAAAUUAAAAGGGUUUGGUUUUGUGGUUUGGCCACAAAUGGGCUGGCCCACACCCAACAAGAGAGAGAGAGAGAGGAUACUUUCUGGUUAUCAGCCGCAAGGGAGAGAUCUAGGGAGAGAAAAGAACAAAAGAAAUUUCUAGCAACUAGAAAAAUAGGGCUGCCCAACCAGCCCUGUUCGGACAUGCUUUUCUCUUUCAUUUUAGCUCCGUUUUGAUUGAUUCUUUUUCCUGCAUACUAUACAGUUGUAGUAGAAGAAAUGUGUCACUAAUAUUUUAUGAGAUAGCCGCUUUGAAGUCACCAAAUUUGACACCAAAUUUGGGAAGAAAUCAGCCCUGGUGCCUGAAGUUCUGGGAGCUUGGAGUUGAAUCUACAUGUUCAAAAUCCAUUUGUUUUGGACCAUUUUUCAUCAAUACAUCCAGGCAGAUGCUCUUAAACUUUGGUUUUUCUAUUCUUUUCUAUUUGGAUGCACCUUGGGGGAUUUUCUUUUCAUGUUUUGCUACUUCAAGGGUCAAGAAUGGUGAAAACUCUUUUGGAUGAUUGAGACCUUAAUUUUUUCUUGAUGUUUUGGCCUUUGAGCAUAAGUAGAAGCUGUAGAUAUUUUGUUUAUAUGCUUGCUUAGAAUUCUAAGAAUGAAACACGGGUUGUAUGAAGGUUUUGUCUUAAAACUUGAUGUGAGUAUAAGUGAAGUUUGGGGUUUUGUUCUUAGAUUUGAAAUUUAGAUUUGAUUGGUUUUGCAUUGAUUGGGACCUUGUUUGAUGCCUUAAAUAUAGUCUUAAUGUUGUGGAGAUCAUUUUUAUGUAAAAAAAUAUAUAUAUGUCAAGAGUCAUUGGAAAAUUUUGCUGAUGGAGUUUUGGUUGUUUUUGCCCAAAUAUUUCCAGAACUUGGUGCUUUGCCCAUCAAGGUUGCUAGACAAAGCUCUGUUUCUUUUUCUUUCUUCUACUUGAGUUGAUUGAUCUAUUUUUUUUUAUUUGGGAUUUGUUUUGCUUUGAAUCAGACCCGUUUGUGCUCUUUUAAAAGGUGGAUUGUUCAAUCAUGAUUAGAUAGAUGAAAUACACUAGUAUAUUAUUUGCCUCACAAUAAAUGAGAAUUUGUGUCAUAUAUGUUUCAUUGUUAAUCAGCUCUUGUUUUAAUGAUACAUUUGAUAGGUUGCAUUUUUAUUAUUAAAUUUAUGAUCGUUUUUCCCUAGAUUUUUAUUAAAUAUUGUGUUAAUUGGUAGAUUCUACUCAUAUUUGGUAAUUAGUGUUAGUUGUAGGGACUCAAAGCGAAAAGGAAUUAAAGACAUACUUUUUUACUGGACUUUUAUAUUGUUUAGUGUGGCCGCAUCAAAAUAUUAUUUUGCAUGUUUGGAAAGUUAGGUAUUUGGCGAGUGAUCUCCAGUCUUGAAUUGAAGUCGUGCAAAUCAGAUUAUUCACCGAACGGUUAGUCUCCUACUUUUGGUAGGAUAUUAGUCUAUGUAUCUAUUAGGAUUUCUCUUUUUUCGGAUAAGAGUUGUUGACUUAGUAAGAGUAGUUUAUUAGGUGUAGGAAACAAAGAAAGAAAUGUUGAUGUCUAUCUUUUCUUUCUCACAGGGGAUAGGAAACAAAACGGAAAGAAACAUCAUAUUAGUUAUCUUUUUCUUUUUCGCAAGGAGGAGGGACGAAAUUUUCCUUUCCCUUUUCCUUUUGACUUCAUCUAAUAAUCGGAGAAUGGUUUUGGCAAUGACUUCUACUAUUUUCCGUGGGAUUUCUACAAUAGAGAUAAACUAAGCUCUUUAUUCUAGUCAAAAAACAACAGAGGAUUUGGUUCAACUAAAAUUAUGAGAUCGAAUUGAUUAUAUUUAUUUCUUUUAUUUAUUGGUAUUUGUAUGUUCCCUGAUUUAAUUUCUUAUGAUUACUAUAUUAUUUGAAUAUCCAGGGCUCGAUAUUUAAAUUGAAUUAAUAACUUAGAAUUAGUUAGAGCAGUUUAAUCCAUAAAUGUUUAAUUGCUUUAAAAUAGUGAUAACUGACAUGAUUGGAUUUGUGUCGAGGAGACAUACGGGCUAAUUUAAAAUAACCUUCAUAACUUGUUAUUUUAUUCGAAUAGGACUUCUCUAAUUCUUAAGGCAAUUAAAAAAUUGAACUCUAAGGUUGUACCUAGGAUUAUAUCUUGAUUAGGACAAUGAUUAAUGUUCGUACCAUAAUCACCAAUAGAGUAAGCAGAAGUUGUUGUCAUUGCUUAUUUGGCAAUUAUAACUUGUUUAUCAAUGAGUAAGGGAAAUUAUUUUUGUAUCAAUGAUCAAUUGAGUAAACCAUUUUCGAAGUUAUUUCUUGGCUAGAGAUUAUUUAUUCUUAAUUCAAUUUUAAUAAGUUGUCAUUUAGUAUUUUAUUUAUUUAUUUGAGUUGUUUAAUUAUUCCCAUUUUUAUAAAAACCCACCUUACUCUGGGCUCUAAAAAAAUGAAUUUUUUUCUAAUCCCUGUGGAUUCAACUCUACUCACUACUAUAUAUAAAAUUUAUAUUUUAUUUGAGUAGGUAUUUAUCAUUGCACAAAUUCAAUACCUAUCAACUUUUAUGAACUCCUUGGUAUUUAUUCAUACAUGUCGCAAAAAAAAAAACUAUAGAAAGAAUUAGCUAUCUUUUACAUGAAUUCCCUCAUAUCUACUUUAGUAAAUGUCUUUGAAGGGACGAAAAUUAUAAACUUGAUUUAUCUCUUUGUACUUACUUGACCUACAUGUAUAUUUUAAGGGAUAUAUAUUUGAUGAGAAAUAAUUUUGAUUUUGCCUUAAUUACAAGGGGGAGUUCAAUGCUUUAUCAGACAAGAAAUUAUUUUGUUAUGGCACUAGAAUAAACAAUAUGCUUAAUCUUGGAAGAAGUUACUUAUAAUUCUUUCUUCACGAUCAAUUUCUCUUCAUUCUUACAUACUUUAUUUUUGUUGAUAUCAAAAGGGGGAGAAAAUUAUAUGAUAUUACUUUGAAUGCUAAGUUUGUACUUAGGGCGAGUUUACUUGAAUUCUAUUUGCUGAUCUUUGAAAUACCAUAGAGUAAGAAAGAGUCUAUUUGAGUUUAUUUGAUCAAAGAAAUUAUCAGUUUAGUUAUCAUUAUCAAAAAGAGGAAAAUUGAAGAUUUAGAUCGAUCAAUCCUUAAUUUUGAUGAUUAACGAAUCAAAAUAAUGAUUUGAACUAAUGUUUUUAGUGGGAAUUUUGCUAGAGCAGAUGCUCAAACAUUUUCAAAAAAGGACAAAAUUUAAGAAGGAAUGAAAAUUGUUGCUCAGUAUCGGACGCGCAAUUACUUGAUCAAAUGUUCGAAGUACAGAUAUCCCUUAACAUCGGACACAACAUCAGACGCAUAAUGAAGGGUCAUUGUCCCGAACAUUAAAGCGAAUAACAUUGGGCAAAGUGUCAUCUGCUUACUCACUCUUUCAGUUGUUUGAAAAUUAAAUGUAAAACUUAGGAAGCUAUUGACCUCUUUUGAAUGCGUCGGUUGGACGGUAAAUAUUUGGAUCGGUUGUUCGAUCAAAUAUCGGGCGCAUGGUUCGGAUGCAGAGCAUUUGGUUCGAAAGUCCAAUAGUUCGAAUGGUUAGUUUUUAAUAGUUAUUUUUUUGACUGUUGGAGAGCUUCUUGGACUUUCAUCUUUCAUAAAUACCCCAAGACCUGAGCUAUUAUAGUAACUUUUGCCUAUAUUGAAUAUAAGUUCGUAAGACUGAUUUUAUCUUGAAAAACUCUCAUUUAUUCUCUUGUACUCUUUGUGAAGUUGUAAAGAAGAGUAGGUCUUAGUUGGUUGGCAAACAUUCAAUUAUUGUACGGUGAGCAUUGACUAGAGAGAAGAUGCAAAAUUCUUUGCCUCAACUAAAUAGUGCUUAGAAUAAGUAAACAGCGAACCUCAGCAAAUUCCCCCAAUAGUUCUUCAACUAAUUCAUUAAUCCACAUUUGAUCCUCCAUCUUAAAAAUGGGGCAAAAUUGUCCUCCAAUAAAUUUUUUGAACCACAUUGAUCCCUAUGUGGCGGAGCCAUCAAGAAAUAGUUGGACAAAAAUGGUGGUGAAAUUUGAAUUCUCUAACUGCUCAACCACAUAGGGUCCAAUUUGGCCCAAAAAUUUUUGUUGGAGGACUAUUUUAUCCCAUUUUUAAGAUGAAGGACCAAACGUGGAAUAGUAAAAUACUUGAAGAACUAUUUGGGGGAUUUGUUCAAUAACCUUUUUAUGUAUAAAGUGGUUUGCUUCACAAUUAAUUGAAGAAACUAAAAAUGGAAUUAACUUCAAAUUUAGAAGAAAUUUGGGAGUUUAUUUGGUUUGCAAUCCUCGUUACUUUUGUUGGUCUUUUUAACUACUUGAUUGUGUGGAUUAAAUUGUCUUAUCUUUUCUAUCUUCACUACUACUUUUGUUUGCUUAAAUGUGUGAUCAGUUAAAUAAUUUUGGCUAGUUAAAAUUGUAAUUUGUUUGUUUCUGUAUAACAUAAUGCACCCCUUUUAGAUUACACUCUCUUACAUUGACAAUAAAAUUCAAACAAAUAAUCUUUUAUGAAAAAAUUUUUACCAAUGGAAUGAAUUUGUGUUUGCAUUUCCUAGCAUAUCCUUGAAUAUAUGUAUUUGUCUCGUUGUGAAUCACCUAAGAUACUGUUCCCAGUAAACUAUUCCAGCAGCCCUCCGUAAAGGAAGGGAAGGGGGGACUCCACUCCUGGUACCGGUAACGGGGACUGCACAGCACCGAUAGUUGUAGAGGUACAAUGUGUUGUCCUUUAAUUCUCAACUCAGCAAACAAAACCACCAAAACACAAGAAAUCUGCGACUGCUAUUUGACUUUUAGUAGUACGAUAAGUAUGUCAUGUCUUUGCUUAUUCUGAUAGUGGGGACUAGAGCCAGAGGUUUCUAAAGCCCCUUUCUCUCUGUCUUUUUUCAUCGUGUCCUCUGUCCUACGGCAGAUUUUUUUUUAUUGAAGGAGUCCUACUGCAGAUCUAUUUCAUCAAUGUGAUAUUAAAAUCUAAUUCUUUAUUGCUAUCAUAUGUGUUGUGGGAUUGUCCCUUUUUAUCAUAAACUGUUUAUUUUUGAAGGACCCUAUCAUGUACUGCAGCAAUUAUUGCAAUAUUAAUCUAGUGUACUGGUCUUGUGAAAAAGCAUGAUUGACAGUCUGGAUUUGAUUUGAUCAGUCGGUAUCCUUGCACGAAUGCUACCUCUGGCAUGAAUUUAAUUAACAAUGACCGAUGAUCAAUGCAGCUAUCCUUUUUUCUUCGGCCUUCUAUUUGCUUUCUUUCAAUUCAUUUGGUGGCCCUGAUCAAUCGAUCCUAUCGAUAAUCACAAAAAUACCAAGAAAUUAGACAAAGAAAGGAUCAGCAUUGCAAUAUGGAAAUCAAGGGGAAAAAAAAUUGCAAUAAUAUUUCGCUUGCAUCACAAAUACAUUUCUCAACCUAUCUUUUUAUAUUUCCAAUCAUCUUUUUAUCUCACAUACAUCAUAUCACAAAAAGUACUGCAGUAAUUAUUCCAAAUAAUACACUAUCCAAACAAACCCAUUUGUUAGUUGAAUCAAAACCUUAAGGGGCUAAUGUGCAGGUUUCAUUUAUGUCAAAAAUUGAAUAAAUUCAAUUUUUAAAAAUUCAAUAAUUCAACUUGUGACACACUACUUAAUGACAUGAUGUGAUACAAUUUGAGUCAUUUAGAUCUUUUGAAAAGGGGUUUACUCAAGUGUAAGCCUUCCAUCUACAAGCACUUGCAAGCAAAUGUUAGCUUCUACACUUGCUCAAUUACAAGGAGUUACUUGGUAUUUCGCCCAUAUGAUAUUGUCCAUUGCUGGUCCAGUAUCCAGACGCGGCAACUGUACUUGUGUCGUUUGUGGCAGGAUAACCUCAACUUUUCAGCAUGCAUUUGGGACCUGUUAUAAUUGUUUUCAGCAUGCAUUUGGGACUUUACAUGUGCAUUCCUGGAAUGAAAUGGAUUGAUUUGGCAGUGCACUAUAGACCAAAUCGGUUCUAAGAAAUAUUGUCGGUGGCUAGCUAUAUGGUUUCAGGUUAGCAUAAUCCGUAGUGGUUAUAUGGUCAGGCAAUUGAAAUUAUGAGUAUGUAAUGGUGGAAAACAUACAUUUUGUUAUAUUAGCAAAAUUUUCAUCAUAGAAUAAAUACCAAGAUCGACACUAUAUAUUCCCGAAUUUGAGUGAGUAUCAAACGAAUCAUAUGUUAUACCUUCCGAUACCUUUUGUAAUGGAUCCUAAAGGAUACAAAUAACUCUAAACUUUCUUCCAAAGGUGUUGGUCAAGUUCGAAUCCUGCCAACAUCAAUUCCGUCAAAGAGUAGCAGCAGUAGACAGACACAUCACAAAAACAGUAGCAGGAGUCGUCUUCCCCUAUCAUUCUCUUCUUCAAGACUCCUACUUAUAAUAGAAUAGAAUAUCAAAAACAAAAAUUGAAAGUUGCCUUUGUUUUUUUUUUUUUUUUUCUUUUGUAUAGACACCGGCUUCUUGUAUAACAUUAACCAACGAACUGAUGCAAAACCUGGUUCCACCAACUCCAAUUAAUACAAGCGUGAAGCAUGUAUAAAUUGUAGCUGCUUUGCAUCUUUUGUGAAUCUGUUAUUCAAUUGGAUAAUUUCAAAAACCUCUCUUCAAGUUUCUACAACUUUUCUGUCAUUCCCUAAGAUUUUGAAAAUAUGAAUAAUUCGUUGAAACCUACAUCUUUUUAAUAAUUUAUUCCAAUUAAAAAAAGCAAUAAUAAAAAUAAUUUUAGGUGUGAGAAGUUCAUUUAAUUCCAAAAGUUUCCCUCACAUAUAAUAAUCGUUCAUUUAACGAUUCACUCUAGCUUUUUAUUUCAAUUAUGGGGCCAUUAUUACACAUGAUUAACAAAAAAGUUUCAUCAUCUACAAGCAAAAAAUAACAACUUUUAAAUUUUAACAAAAUAAAUAUCUUUUUUCUUACCCUAAGAUUCUUAUUAGCACUAUGUUAAUAAGAAGAAACAACAGAAUCGAAGUUUCCUCAUACCCAAUUCCUUUUAAUCAUCAAGUACAUAAAAAAGUUAGUCUACUAUUGGAGCCCUUUUUAACAUAAUCAAAUUAUGAUUAAUUUAGUUUUUAAAUAACUUAAUUAUUUUUCAUGUCUAAAUCCUUCUAUUUAUCACGUACAUCAUAUAUGACUCCUUUUAUCUAUCAAAUACAUUAAUAGAAAAAGUGAACCUAGUAUCGAUUCCCUUUUUAUAUAGCAAGUUAGUUGUUUUUUAAUUCUAAAUUAUGGUUAAUUUAUUUAGCAAACGUUUUAAUUGUUUCUCUCCACAAGUAUGUACCUUAAGUUGUAAGGAUAUAAUUUAUUCUAAAUAUGUACCUUGAGUGUCAAAUUGAUGAUAGGAAAUUAUCAAAACUCAAGAAGAGUACAAUACAUUUCCCAGACAGUCAAGAGGAAAACAAGAUACGGGGCCUCACAAGUUACAGCUUCCUCUAUUUGAGGGAUUUAAAAUUAGUCAUUUUAAAUUUUUUUCCAUCGCACCUCAACAUAUUUAUACCUUAUCUACCAAGGUUUUAAAACCAAGAUCGUUCAUUGAAUCGGAAAAGUCAUUGGGCCACAAGUCACUAGUUCAAAUAUUGGACUGACUGUUUUUGGCUAGUGUCGUCAUAUUUAAAUAAAAAUAAAUUAUAUAUUGCUAAUUUUAUCAUAUCUGCAAUUUACAUCCCACUAUAAAGGUUUAGACACAUGAUCAUAAGUAUAGUCCUUUUGCUAAUAAGUUUAUAAUAAAAUAAACUAAAAGACAAGCAAAGAGACAAAGCAAAAUAAAAGAAAAGCAAGAAAAAUAGAGCUAUAAUUAUAUCAAUAUGACAAGCUUGACACCAAAACAAUAAGAAUCUUACUUUAGAAAAUUAGUAAAUUACAAAGUAAAACAAAAAAAAAAAUCAUAGAUUAGGAAAUCAAACCUACACAUACAGUUUAGGCACAAAAUUGAACUUUAUUGAAGGAAUUUGAGAGAUUAAUGAUGAGAUGAUGAAGAGAGGGAUAAUUAGGAAGAGAAGAAAUUGAAGAAAAUUAGGUGAAAAAUAAGAAAUAAAAGAAAGGAAGAUGAUUGGAGUCUUGAUUUUGACUUGAAUCGACUAUAAGUUGCGGCUAUUUAAUUAGUUUCUAGGAUUUUUUUUACUUUUGCUUUUUUAUAAAAUUUUGACCAAUUGAAUUAACCGGACUGAUUUAAAAAAAAUUGUUCCGAUUUGACGGUUCACUAGUUGGACCCUCCCAAUCAACUGGGCUUCACUAAAUGAAGCGAUUUGUUAGCCCUACUGGAUUUGAAGCAUAACUGGACUCGGACAAUCACCCGAUCAACUGUUCAAUUGGUUCGACCGGACGGUCCGAGCUGAGUUUUAAAAUACAAAACAACAGCAUCUAAUAUUCUAAUCUAUAUAUCCUCCCAACGGAUUGGGGGAACCUCCUCACAGUCACAGAUUCUCAAACACCGCCGACACUCAAAACUCUAACCUGCUAACCAGCUUAGCUGCGGAAUGCCACCACUCAAAAUGGGCGGCAUCAAAAACAAGACAAAGCUACUCCAGCUCACUUUCGCCGCUCUGCUGGCACUUCUUGUUCUGCUGGCCCUCUUCUCCCUUGUCACAAAUACCAACGCAGUGCUACAACAUCCAUCACCAUCACAUAAUACUACUACUACUACUACUAGCACCACCACCACCAGUAAAAGUAGUAUUCACGUCCACCAACACCUUCAAAUUGCUCACUCAACAUGCCAGGACACCUUCUACCCAGACCUCUGCGUCUCCACUCUGGCCACAUUCCCGGAUCUUCGCCAGAGGACGCUCCCGGAGAUCAUUUCAGGCAUGGUUAACUCCACCGUGUUCGAGGUCAGGGACUCCAAACAAAAUUGCACCCGCAUUCGCAGAAAGUUACAGAAUCUGGACCCGCUGGACCGUCGAGCUCUGGAAGACUGCCUGCAGCUCCUGGACGACACCGUGGCUCAGCUGAAGGCCGCCAUCUCCGAUCUUUCCUCCAACAAAUCUGCUCUCCAGCACUACAUGGACCUGCAGACGCUCUUCAGCGCCGCAAUGACCAAUCAGGACACAUGUCUAGAUGGUUUCGCUUUCUCGAGGAGGAAGUACAUCAGGGAGUUCAUCGAGGGAAGGCUUCGCAAGAUUUCCCACCACGUCAGCAAUUCGCUAGCCAUGCUUAAGAGAGUCAAGAAGCAGCAAGCAGCGGCAGGUGCAGUGUUCCAGGAGGAGGAGGGAGAGUUUGGGACGCCGGUGAAGAGUGGAGCUGGGUUCCCGACUUGGUUGAAGAAGAAGGACAGGGCAUUGCUACAGGCGCCCCUGAACCAAACUAAAGUCAAUCUGACAGUGGCCAAGGACGGCAGCGGCAACUUCACCACUAUCAAUGACGCGUUACAGGCGGCUCCAAACUCUAGCACCACCAGAUUCGUGAUUUACAUAAAGGCCGGGGCCUACUACGAGUACAUUGAGGUGGAAAGCAGGAAGAAAAUGAUCAUGUUUUUGGGAGACGGCAUCGGAAAGACAGUGAUAAAGGGCAACCGGAGCGUGGGGGCAGGAUGGACUACGUUCCGCUCUUCCACAGUCGGUAAUUACAACUCCCAUCUUCUCCGUCUCUUUUUAUUUAUUUCUUUUUCUUUAUGUGUGUUGUAGGAGUAGAAAGAUGGUUAAUUCUUUAAUAUGCUUUCGGAUUGGAAAAGAGAUUAUUUGGGAUAAUUUUUUGAGUAAAAGAAUACUAUUAUUUUUUUUUAAUGUAAUGUAUGUGAAAUGUUAAAAAUAAUAAAAAAAUAUAUUUAAGACGUAAAUAGAUAAAUUUUUAUAAAGUAAUUUUUUAUCCAAGCACACCGUACGUGAAAAAUACUAUACACUCUUCUAAUACUGUCCAUGCUCACUAAUUCCUACCCCAUAUGGCAUUUUCAUUUUUAUAGGAGCAUGUUUGGAUACUAAAUUUUGUUGAUAUUUUCAUAUGGCAUUUUUUGUCUAAAUAUUAUUUUUCUUGCGUUAUAAAUAAUUAUUUUUAAAUAAAUAAAUUUUUUUAUAUUUUAAAUUAUUUUUAUUUUAUAUAUAUUAUAUUAAAAAAUAAUUAUUUUAAAUAAUACUCCGUACAGAACACACACAAAGUCUCAUCAUAUGUUUUGUGUAAUAAUACUACUAUCUACUAGUCUCCGUUCCCCAAGCAUAGUGUCGGCGUCGACCGAUUGUUGGUCUCCAACUAAGUAAUGCUGCCACAUAACAUAUUACUCCACUGGUCCGGUCCAGUACAGUAGGUGGCUUGGAGGAAAGGAAUAAUUGCUCCGUCAACACAGACGGUUGACUGGAUAGGGCGGGAGGUUAUUUAAAAUAUUUAUUUAAAAUAAUUAUUAUAAUAAUUUUUUUAUAUAAUAUAUGUGAGAUAAAAAAGUGAUUGAAAAUUGUGUGUAUGAUUUAAGUAAAAUAAAAUUUAAAAUUUUUAUUUGAAACUCUUGCAAUCCAAACAAACCACAUUCGCAUCGAAUGCUGAUUGAAUCCUAAAUGCACAUGCACCUCUGCUCUCGCAGGACCUUGGCUCUAUUUGGAUCCUUCAGUUUUUUAAAAAUUAGUUUUUCAAAUAUUAUAAAAAUUUUUAAAAAAUACUCGGAAAUGUACUCUAAAAAGUAGUCUAAAUUUUUUUUAUAUUUAAAAAGUAUUUAUUCGCAUACUUAUUUCUUCCUGUUUCACUGAAAGUGUUACAUAUUUCAUUUUGAUAUGUUUUAAAAUAUUUAUUAUUUUAUUAAAAUCAAUGUUGCUCUUGAACUCUUUUUUCAAUAUUAUUCAUAAUUUUUUAUAUAUUUUUAAUAAAUUUAAAUUUAAAAUUCAAAAUUUUGAGGACAACUUUGCAAAUAAAUCUACUAAUAUUACCGUCAAACUAUUAUUUUUAGAAAGUUGAAAGUGAGAAAUGUGACAGACAAUUUGGAACGCAGAGAGUAUGUUAUGCUGGGAGCUUUAAUUGUCAAACGGUCUGGUUGAAUUAUGUACUAACUAGUAUAAAUACCCGUGCUACGCACAGUAGUUUAUAUUUUUGAAAAAAAUUACAAUUUAUGGAGAAAUUUAAAAAAAAAAUAAAAUAUUAUAAUCACGGGCACAUGAAAGUAUAUUUAAAAAAAUGAAACUUUGUAACAAUAGUUCAAUAUAUGACAAAAAUAUCUCCAUUAUUUAUAAACUAUCACUUUGAUGAAUGUUGGAUCCUGAAAAAAAAAAUAGAAAUCUAUAUCAUAAAUUGAGAGACAUAAGGGUCCAAUUAAAUAUAAUUGAAUAUUUAAUUUGAUAAGUAAAUGAAAUACUUACAAACAUUUUGCCUUUGAUUUGAUAAUCUUCUACGAAGGUGUGAACAUUCUUCACACCAAUUAACUCUGAGUACGAACGCCAGUGUUGGGGGUUUAAUUAAUUCAAUUGAUUUUUGUGGAGUUCGCACUAUAAAUGAGAAUGCACGAUUUUUGCAUGAACUAAUGUGUUGGUCGAACAAUGUACAUCCAUUUUCCUGACAAUUAAAAGCAUACAUAAUUCAAAAUUAUAUUUUGUUUUAGACAGUUUGCAAAUAAUAUUAUAUAAAACUAUAUACAUAUAAAUAAUGUAUACCUUUGUUUUUAAAUCUUUAAGAUAAGAAUCAUCAUAACGAAACAUGAAUCGUGCAUGCCUGUCUUGAAAAGUGAGGUAUAGGUUACCACUGGAAUCUCUAACUUCUAUGUUAACAUUGUAUCUGUUAAGAAGAAAUUGUAAUGUAUCAUGCAAAAAAUUAUAUUAAAAUUCAAAAUAUAUGAAAAUAAUUACCUGACAAUAGUGUCGACUACGUCAUUACAAUGGAUAUACACCAUUUUUGUAAAAUGAGAUUGACAUGAUUAUCCACAAUUUUUGCAUAAUUCAUGGAACAUAUUGUUUAUGUUGAUACUUUGAAUGUAAGCAAGUAUCCAAAAAUAUUUAACCUAAAACCAUCCAAAGAAUGUAUAAAUUACAAUUAUUAAUUCGAAACUACAUGUAGAUACUUGUUCAUUACUUAAUUAAUUGAGAGGAAUUGUAUCGUAGGUAGAACUGCAUAUUUGGAUAUCCAUAUUCUCUUAGCAUUUGAUAUCAACAAUGCUUGAGACAUUGUAAAAUUGUAUGACCGCAACUACGUCACUAGUUUCUGAGCACAUUUAUCAUUCUCAAACCUGCAAAAUUUUCAAAUAUAUAUUCGUGAGGGUAUGAAAUAUUAUUAAUAAUUUAAUAUUUUGGUAUUUGUAAAACUUACCAAUUGUGUAGGUAUUGAUCAAAAUCCAAGUAGUAAUUGACAUACAAUUUGUUUGCUUGAAUAGUAUAAAGUGAUGGUCCUGCACAAUGUGCUAUAUUUAUUGAUAAACUACAAAAAUAAAAGAAAAUAAAGUGAAAAUAAAUUUAAUUACCUUUAUAAUUUCUCACACAAAUACCACAGGCUAGCAAAACAUUAUUUUUUGUAACAGUUUGACGCAAGUGUUCACCAUCAUCAGUUGCAAAUUUAUCACAUAAAGUCAACCGAACUACUGUCAAACUUCAUUUAGAGAAUUUUGGUAAGUAUAAAUCAAAAUUUGCAGAAUAUAAAAUAUUUUAAAGAUAUUGAAUCUAUUAACUAACCUAAUGUCAAGUAAAAGUAUGUCACACUUAAUUUUAUCAUUGAUAGAUGUUUGACAGUGUGAACCAAUAGAUACAACUAAACCAAUUGCAUCUACAAAAGAUCAAAAAGUAUAAGUAAUAGCAGUUCAAAUAUACAACUUAAUAGAAGUAUGGUUAAUUAAGAACGAAAUACCUAUCAAUUGCAAAUAAUUGUCCAUGUGUUGUUUGACCAGAUUAAACUUGAAACGGGGUAUGGUUCCACAAUCAUCUAAAAUAUUCACUAUUUUCGUAUUGUUUCCAAAUGAUAAUUGGUACUGAUGUGAAAAUAAAAUAAAAUAAAGUGAAAAUAAAUUGAAUUACCUUUAUAAUUUCUCACUCGAAUACCACAGGCUAGCAAAACAUUAUUUUUUUGUAACAGUUUGACGCAAGUGUUCACCAUCAUCAGUUGCAAAUUUAUCACAUAAAAUCAACCGAACUACUGUCAAACUUCAUUUAGAGAAUUUUGGUAAGUAUAAAUCAAAAUUUGCAGAAUAUAAAAUAUUUUAAAGAUAUUGAAUCUAUUAACUAACCUAAUGUCAAGUAAAAGUAUGUCACACUUAGUUUUAUCAUUGAUAGAUGUUUGACAGUGUGAACCAAUAGAUACAACUAAACCAAUUACAUCUACAAAAGAUCAAAAAGUAUAAGUAAUAGCAGUUCAAAUAUACAACUUAAUAGAAGUAUGGUUAAUUAAGAAUGAAAUACCUAUCAAUUGCAAAUAAUUGUCCAUGUGUUGUUUGACCAGAUUAAACUUGAAACGGGGUAUGGUUCCACAAUCAUCUAAAAUAUUCACUAUUUUCGUAUUGUUUCCAAAUGAUAAUUGGUACUGAUGUGGUGCAAGUCGAUAUUUAAGAUCUGCCGGAAUUACAUAUAUAUUUUGAAACCAGUGUACCUUGCCUUCAUGGAGAUGAUCUGCGAAAAUGUUUAUUGUAGUGGGAAGAUGGGUGAGAAGUGUUAGUUGGAGUAAGGUGUGUAAGGGGUGUUAGUGGGAGUUAAUUUCUUGUUUGAGGGAAACGUGGGAGUGUUAGUUGGAGUUAACUUCUUGUUUGAAGGAAACGUGGGGGAGGGGGGUGUAAUGUGCCCAUGAUAUUUUUUACGAAAUAAAUUAAAUGUAAAAUGUUAGAAAAAUAGAGUUGAGAGAGGGAAAGUUUGUGAAGGUUUGUUACUAAAAAUCCCUUCUCAAAUUUAUAUAGAUAUAUAUUCCUCUAACACGACUACUGACAACCAGACUCUUAGCUUUGAAAAGCGUGAUAGCUUUAUUGCAAAAUGCAAUUUCAAUGGUAAAACCAAUUGAUUGUUGCUGUUUUUUAUGGAUAAAAAAGAUUUGAUGACUUUUUUUUUUUCUUCUAAUGGAUAUGUUUCCACCUCAAAUUUUUGUAGCUUGUGUUGUUAUUUCUUCUGUCCCAAAUUUUUUAUCACACUUUAGAGGUUGUGCUUUUUAUUUUUCAAUAGUAGUAUGGAAAACACUAGUUUUGUUUUAGUUUCCUUUUGGGAUAAUAUUGGAACAUUGUCCUCAUGAGGGUGGUCCAACGGUAAGCGGACUCUUGUGGUUCUGAGUUCGAAUCUUACCCUGAAUUUGAACCUCAGUGACUCGCCUGGGAUCGCUGCGUGGGACCAUGGAGCACUCCUCUGGUUUGCUGUGCCAACAGGGUCCUAAGAGUUCGAGUCCGGGAAUGUUCUGGAUUACCAAAAAAUAUAUAUAUAUAUAUUGGAACCUUCCUUGAGAUUUCUUUUAAAAUAUUGGAAAGCACUUGUUUUAUCAUCUAGGACUUCUAAGAUUUUAAAAUUAUCACUUACCUUCCUUACUUUUCUUAUUUGUAUAACAAAAUUUUGAAAACCCUAAACUACUCUUUUUCUUGUUUUGUUAAAUAAAAAUACUCCUAAAAUACUUUAUUUACUCCAAAAAUCACCACCUAAAAAGCAAUCUCUAGUAGUAUCACCACGUCACAAAGUCAUGCUUCAUAACAAUAUCCAUGUGAAAAAUAAAAAAGAUAUUUGUAAAUAAAUACACUAGCACCAAUUUAAUUUUAUAUCUUUAAAAUUGACUUCUUAUCUCAUCAACCUCUAGUCCAAGCCUUUAAGUUGUACUACUAAUUAUUACAAAAAUCAACUCAAAAUGAACAAAGAAAUCACAUCCUACUCUAUCACAAUCACAAAUAGUAAAAAUAAAUAAAAUUCAAUUAACUAUAAUUUAUAAAUAAAAAAUUGUAUAGUCAUCCAAAGAGAUGAGUAAGAGAGAACGUUGGAAAAAAGGGAAAGAGAAGAAAGCGAUUUUUGUUUCUUUUUCUCUUUUUUAAUUUUUUUGAACUCUAUUUAUUUGAUAUGUGAAUUAUGUAUCAAGUGAAGAUUAAUAUAAUUUUUUUAUAAUUCUACUUAUUAUAUAAGAAGAAAGUGGAGUUACUAUAGCAACUUCAAUGAUUGCCAAGUAGAUCCCUCUCAUUUUGACACGUGGCCCAUUCCUUUUCUUUUCUUCAUUUUUUUUUUAUUUUGUUCAUUUUAUUUCCUUUCUCCUUUUUGAUUAAAGAUAAUUAAACAAAUCCUCAUGUACACUGCAAGUUUGUUAUUUAGUUUCCACUUUGUACUCCGUUUUUUUCCCCUAUAAUCCUAAUCAUUUAUUCUAUUUUUUCUCUAUUGGAUUAGUUGAUGCAUUUUCUUUCAUUUUUGUCCAUAAUUAACUAAAUGAAUGAUUUCAUUAUCGGAGAUCAAGAAUGGGUUUGAUAUUUCCUUUCUUCCAUAGUCCAAUAAUUAUGAUUCAUGAUCUUCUACUUUUAAUGUCUCUUUUUGGUAUAUACUAUUUGAUUUUUUUUUUGUCAUUUUUUGCGUCUUGAUCAGCAACCUUUGCUUAUUGCUUUUCUCACCUGUUUCUUCUUCAUCUGACUUUCUUUUUUGUCCAAAAGAGGUAUGUGAUGCUGUGAAUAUUUUCCCCAAAUCUAAAGAAACAAUUUUUUUAGUUUUUUAUAUUUUAUUUAUUCUAAAACUACUUUUUGAUCUUUUUAUUUUUGGAAAAAAAUUCCCUAAGGCUGACAACAAGACGGUUGGUGAUUACAUGAAGAAUUUUUAGGCCAACAAUGAAAGAAUUGUAACUACUUUUCCCUCAUAAAAUAAAUAACACCAUUAUGCAGAUUCAUUCUAAUUUUAAUUUUUUAUUUAUUAAAAUUGUUAUUUGAUAAUAGGGUGAUAGUACUACAGUAGAGGAGAAAAAAAUCUAAUAAAUGAAAAUCCAAGGUAAAUGAUGAUCAGGAAGAAAAAAAAUGAUGCCUAUUAAAUUAAAAAUUAAUCAGAAUCUCUUAAUUUAUGGAUAGGUAAUUAUAUUUUAAUUUAUAUAAAGUUUAUUAAUUGUGAAAAGUGCUUAUAAAUUGGAUAAGGUGGAUGACGUGUAAAAUAAUUGUUGGGGCUAGCAAUUUAGAAUGUGAAGAUAAUAUUUUAUAUCUCUUCAUUCAACAUUUUGAAUGACUAGCUUGUAUCCAUGAUAGAUAGUUUAUUUUCAUGGUUUUAAUUUUAGCAAAUGAUAGCUUGGAAAUAAAAGAAGUGCAAAAUUAGAUUUCAGAAUCUUUAUUUAAGCUGGUUCUAUAUGACUUUGUACUCUUAUCCUCUUUUAUUGCCCAUAAUGAUAGAUAAUGUAAUUAGAGUUUGAGAUGAUUGUUAGGCAUAGAACUGGACAUAUCAUUACUAUUUGGCUAAAGAAGUUAAUAAUAUUUUGUCGAUUUGACUAGCUAAAACAAUUGCAGUUUUCAAGGGAAUGCAUUUGGUGGUGGAAGUUAGUAUUGAGGCUUUUAGCUUAGAGUAGCUUAGAGUGUCACUCUACAAAAUAUUAUUAGAAAAUUCUAUUUUGAUUAAGAAGACAUAUUUGCAAUCAAACAAAUUGUUGGAUUUGAAUUUGCAUAUGUAUAUUUAGAAAUAUGGCAAUUUAUGUUUUUAUUUCAACUUGCUAUACGUAUUCUAUAACUAUUUGGUUAGAUAAUGUUUUCAUCUAUUUGUAAUGCUAUUAGAAAUGAUUUAAAUGGAUAGAUUAACUCGCUCUUUCUCUCAAAAAAGAAAGAAAAAUAUGCAAGUUUGUAUUUUUUUUUUAUUGAUGUUGAAGAUAGUGACAGGUUUUUGUGGCUUUCUAUAUUUUUUCUAAUUAUUAAAAUGUUAGAAACAUUAUGACUACUCUUUAUUUAAUUACAACUAAAACUAUGCUGCUAUUAAACCGAUAAUACACUCAUAAUGGAUUUGCUUUUUUUUUUUCUUUUUUGGUAUCAUUACGUACACAUAAUAUUGGUUAAAAAUUCUUUUUCCAAAUCACAAUAAAUUAGGGUUAACUUUAUAUAUGAAAUUUCUUUUCAUAGCAAAUUUUAAUUAUUUUUAUAUUUAAUUUUUUUCCUAUAUUUCUAUUCAUUAUGUACUAAAACAUUUGUUAUUAUGUAUUUAACUAAUGUUCUAGAGGGCCCUGGCUGUGCGUUGCACAGCCGAGGUACCUCUAGUAUUAGAAGAAGUAACUAAUACUUUCAAAACUUUAAAAGUAUUAGGUGAUAUUAAAAGAAAUCUCCACCGAGCUUUCUGAUAUUAUCCCUCUCCUUUUCUAUCCGCGUAGGCUGUAGCUUCAUUGGUGGAAAUAAGAAAAGAAACAUGUGGGCUGUGGGGUCAAGUCUUGCAGUGACUCUCUAAUUGUUCUCGUCCACUUUCUUCAAAAUUCUUUGUAAAAAAGUUAAAGCAUGACACUGGGUCUCACAAGCUUUUCUCAACAUGUUGAAGGGUAAAUGUGAAAAGUAGACAAGCUAAGUCUUAGUGGGAAAACCAACUUAAUUAUGAUAGCAGUCCCAUUUACUUAGACUUCUCAUGUUGGGAUCCUCUUGAAUUAAGUAACACGAAGAGUGUUUGUUCUUUUCUUGAGGCAACUCCAACUCAAGCUCUGGGAAUCUCAUAUUGGAAUGAGUUCAAGAGAUAUACAGUGACCUACAGAUCAAACAGUGGUCAAAGGUUGUGCGUGUACUAUAGAUGUUCGCCUCCUCGAUGUCCAUGCCCCUUAACUUCCCUUGUGUACACCUUUAAAUUUGGAGACAUCUGGGACUUCCACCUUGGGAACUAGUCCACAUUAUCAAGCCACGGUCUCAUCAGCAAUUUUACCGCACAAUUCACUGAUCUGCUUAUCUGAAAAUUUGCAGCUGUGGUGGGAGAUGGAUUCAUUGCCAGAGGGAUCACCGUUGAAAACUACGCUGGACCUAGCCAACACCAAGCAGUGGCCCUGAGGAGUGGCUCAGAUCUCUCAGCAUUCUACCAAUGCAGCUUCAUCGGCUACCAGGACACGCUCUACGUGCAUUCCCUUCGACAAUUUUAUAGGGAAUGCGAUGUGUAUGGUACAGUCGACUUCAUCUUCGGGAAUGCCGCUGUUGUAUUCCAACUUUGCAACCUUUAUGCCCGGAGACCAAACCCAAACCAGCAAAACUUAUUCACUGCCCAAGGAAGAGAGGAUCCUAACCAAAAUACUGGGAUUUCGAUCUUGAACUGCAAAGUUGCUGCAGCAGCAGAUUUGCUUCCCGUCCUAUCCUCAUUUAGAAGCUAUCUUGGUCGUCCGUGGAGAGAAUAUUCAAGAACUGUUUACCUUCUGUCAAACAUGGAAAGCUUGAUAGACCCUGCUGGAUGGUUGCCGUGGAACGGUAGUUUUGCAUUGUCAACCCUUUUCUAUGGGGAGUAUAAGAAUAGAGGACCCGGUUCAAACACCACUGCCAGAGUAAAAUGGCCUGGUUACAGGGUCAUCACCAAUACCACCGUUGCCAGUCAGUUUACGGUCGGAAAUUUCAUCCAGGGAACUGCAUGGCUGCCUAAUACUGGAAUCCCAUUUUAUCCCAAUUUGACACCCUCCUGAAUUGGUUGUCAUUGUAAUACUCUCCAGUUAGAUUCUUCAGCUAGCUAGGGUCCCCUAGGGUCCCCUCCACACCUCCCCCCCCCCCCCCCCCCACAAAACAACCCUUCACCAUUCUAGGCAUGCAGUUCUGGAGAAAUUGAUCCUAUUGUUUUAGUAAACUGGGGAAUCAAUAAGUGAGAACGUAUGCUCACAUAAUCGGUUUGGCUCUCUCUUGCAAAUUUUUAUUUAUGAUUGAAUUUUGGGAGUAACCUGAAACUGAAAUUUUUAUCUGCUAGCGAGCCUUUUAGCAGGUACCAGCAACGCUGGAAGAUCGCCCAAGGGUUGGCACAUCAAUUUAAGGUGAAAACCUCGAAAUGUCUGAAACAUUACUUAAUCUUAAGGCAUCGUUUACACAAUUAAGUAAGACAACAGAACCACGCUGAACCCAAACAAACACCUUUUCUUCUUUUUAAACUUUUUUCCACUUUCUCUUUUGCUAUUGGGAUUGCUAUGGAAAGCAUUGGCCAGUUGCUACAUUUCGAGUGCCCAAAACGUUCAAUUAUAUAUCAUCUAAAGGUUGAAAUAGUCAUACGCUGUGCAAAAGAGCCCUAUCGCUAGUUGAUUUUACACGGCCUUUAACAGAAAGCAGUCAUCCACAACCGAGUUUAUUGGUCUUUGUAGUUUCUAAAGCAAAAACUACCGGGUUUAUUGGUCUUUGUACAUCCUACUGAUCGGGCACAUUGCAAGUUGCCACGCAUUUUGAGUUUUAAAUAUACUGCAUGGGACUUUAUUAACGUACACAUUUGACAUGUAUAUAUAAGUAUUGUGUGUAUCCCUGAAUGAUUCAAUUUCAAAUAAUACAAUCCGAUAAAAAUGAAAUGCAAAUUGUUGACUGUUCCUUUUAAAUAGAGGUGGCAAAAUGAGUGGGAUGAGUGGGAUCUACUUGGAUUUUAAAUGAGAUCGAAGAAUAUGGAUUUAGAUCUAACCUUACCUAUAUGUGUUUUGGGACUAAUUUGGGUAAGAUCACUUUGAAAUGGGUUUAGAUUGAUUCCGCCUAAUAUCCAAAAUCUAUUUUUGUAUUCUUUUUUUCUUCAAUUAUUUUUUAUUUUUAUAUAACUUUAAUAUUUUUAAUUUAUUAAAUUUCUUUUGUUCCUACUAUGAAUUUAUAUUUUUUUGAAUUCCUUUUGUUACUCAAAUUUUCUUUUAUUUAUUUUCUACGUAUAUAUAUUUUUUAAUCUUUGAUUUCCACUGUUGCUAAAUUUUAGUUGAGAAAAAAAUAAGUCCUAUAAAAACUUUAAAAGAUUUAUAUUUAUGAUUAUAAAGAAAUGCCAUUGUAUGGACUUGUAUUUAUGCUACUGGAGCUUGUGGAAAAGUAUGGCUAGUGAAUUAGUUGUAGUACAACAAUAGGUGCAAGGAUGAAAGUUUAGUCGUAUUAAAACUUUUCACAUAGCUAGUGAAAUUAGUUGUAGCCCAACAAUAAGGUACAAAGAUGAAAGUUUCAUUGCAUUAGAACUUUUCACAUAUAUACCAGAGGCACAUCAACCUAAAUGCUUUAGUUUGAUCAAGUAAAAAAUAACACAGUUUCCUAUAUUUUAUUUCACUUAACGGCCAACAAAUUUUAGAAUCAUUUUACCUAGAUAACUAGAUGGUCUAAUUUAAAAUUUAAUCUAGAAUUACUAUCUUAAUCUUAUCGUUGCAAUAUAGAAGAGAAAGGAGAACAAAAUUUGAGGACGAAAGAAUUUCUAACCACAUGACCUGCUUUAUUCUCCAUAUUUUUAGUAACAACAACAAAGUAUAUUUGUUUGGGAGAGAGGAGUUCAUGGGUGAAUUAAAUUUUUGGUGAGAUGUUUAGACCCCAAUGGGCACCCCAGUAUUUUCCAAGAAUUUGCAUCAAUUGACGGGCAUAAAUGGAAUUAAUCCCAUUUCAAACCCAAAAUCAAAAUUAGAAUAUGCAUCCCACCAAAAAUCUCUUUGGACAUGGGUAGCCUAUUGCAACUUGAGAUAGAUUCCUAUCCCUAAUUUUGAAGUCUUAUGCCAAAGAGAUGACAUGCAAGAGAUUAGCUAAGACGCUUGAAGUUCGCAAAUGACAUGCAAAAAUUUGUUGAGGAUAACAGAUACAAGAGAUUAGCUAAGACGCUUGAAGUUCACAAAUGACAUGCAAAAAUUUGUUGGGAAUAACAGAUAAGCUAUCUUUAGCAUUGCAUAGAAAAGAUCAGAUAUUUUGAAUGCAACGAGUCUAGUUAAAAUUGCUAAAUAGCGAUUGCAAUUAAUGAAAGAUGUUGGAUGGGAUAUAUUGUUCGAUGAGGUUACUGCAUUUUGCAGCCAAUGUGAAGUUGAGGUUCCCAAUAUGGAUGCUAUAUAUGUUCUUAAAGGAAAGUCAAAGCGAAAAAUUCCAAAUAUUUCACACUUACACCACUGUAAAGUAGAUUUAUUUUAUAGUGUGGUUUCACGAGUUGAAUGAGGAUUUGACUAAGGCAAAUGCUGAAUUGCUUGUUUGUAUGUAAUAUCCUGCUCCAAAUAAUGAUUUUUCAUCUUUUGACAAGGAAAAGUUGAUUCACUUUGCAAAAUUCUAUCCAUUUGAGUAUUUUUUCAAUUGAUCUGAGGGCUCAUGACAAUCAGAUUGAUACUUAUAUCCUUGAUAUGCACUCUAUAAGAAUUUGCAGAAUUAAAAGGAAUUGCUAGCCUUGCAGUAGAGUAAGUUAAGACUAAAAGGGAUAUUGUAUAUCCAUUAGUCUAUUUGCUUAUAAAAUUAGCACUUACUUUACCUAUUACUAUAGCGGCUGUAGAAACGACCUUUUUAGCAGUGGAGAUUGUCAAAAAUCGAUUGCAUGUCUUAUGGUAAUUGAUGGAUGAAUGAUUGUUUCAUUACUUACAUUAAAAAAUAUAUAUUUAAUAAAAUUGACAAUGAGCUGAUUUUGCAAUAUUUUCAGAAGAUGAGUACUCAUAGAGGACAAUUAUAAUACAUAUCUAAUAUUAUAGUUUUGCUUUUUUUUUUUUUGUUCUUUUUAUAUUACACUUUUUACUUUGUAGAAGUUUUAUUGCAUUAAACUUUGACCUUACCUACUCUCGGAUCUUGGUUCCAUCACUGAUGCCAAUGCCAUCCUUUUGACAAUUGUCUUAAAUACUUAUUUUUUAGAUUAAUAUGUCUAAAUUUAACAUUAUACACAUUGUUCAAAACUUUAGACAUUGUAGUUACACUGCCACAGUAUAAAGACGUUGGAGGCAUAGGUUAUAACCAUAGCUGGUCAAUAAAUAACAAAUCCUAAACUAUUUCACCUUUUUAUGCAGCCAGUAACCAAAGUUAUGACUUCAACUUGUAUGAUGAAAUGAGCGGUUACGGUUUGCUUCUUAGAAGUCGAUAUAAUUACACUACCAUCCAAAAUGAAUAUCCACUCACUUGUAGAAUUCCUCGCACUAGUGGACCAACUAGCAUAAGAGUAAACAAUUACUCUCCCAAUAGACCUCUAAUGGUCUAUACCGGGAUUUUGGUAAACCUUGCAAAUCUACAAACUAAGCAUGAAAUAUUUGGUCUUGUAGAGUGUGCAAUGCAUACAUCAAGUUUCCAAUGGCAUUUGUAUAUGUAAAUUGAGCAAUUGAACUACCAAAAUUUUAUGAAAUUUCAAGUUAGAACUAAAGAUAGUACUCACCUUUUUUAUCUUUAGAUGUUGAAACUAAUUUAAUGUCUUGUUAAUAUAUGAGAUUGACACAAAACAUAACCUCUACUAUUUUCCUGAUUUUGAUAUUUAAGAUAGUAUCAAUCUUUCCAGGAUCCUUUUUUUUGAAGAAUUAGUAUCUUCAACACCUUUCAUAGUAUCAACCAUUAGUAUCUUAUGUACAUAUAGAAAAAUGAUCAUACUAUUCACUGAAUUUAGAAUGAGUGGUAUUUUUUUUAUCCUAUUUUGCUCAUUUUUUGUUUCAAGUGUAGAUUUAUAGUGUAUGCAGUCGGUUCCAUUAGGAUUUUUUAAAAUUACAUUGACUUUAUUUUGUAAAAAUGAUAAUUUAAAUUGUUGAAAGGACAAAUUUGAAAACAAACCUAAAGAUAUUUGAUCAAGAUGGUCAUUUUUAACAAGGCACAUUCCAUAGAUGGAUUAAUGCUAGAGGUCCUAAAUUGUUUUUUUUUUUGUAAAAAUAAAGAAAUAAAAUGGUCACAAUAAUAGAUAAAAGAUUAAAUUGGCCAAAACUUCAAAUAUGAGGUACCAAAAUGACCAUUUUCCCCUUGAUCUCGCUAUGCAUGGUUUAAAUUAGCACGAAUCAACAUCCAUUUUAUGUGCUUGAGGCAUCAUAUGAAAGUCCAUUGACAAAGCAGGACUUUGUUUCCCAACUAGGGGUGAGCAUUCAAUGUAAAUUUGAUAAUUAGGUUAGUUGAAUUCAUUUAUUUCGGAAAUCUAAACCGCUUUCAAUUUCGAAUUGGAGAUAUCCGAAUUAAUUGCAUUUCCAAAUUUGAAUUUGAAAAUGGUAAUGAAUUCAAGUUAAACAUUUUCAUUAAAGAAAAAAAGUAAAUUUGUUACUUAAGACUUCAUUUCAAAAUUUGCAAUAUCCAGCCUAAUUAAACUCCUAUAAUCAAGUCUAAUAGCCACUGUAAUUAGUCGAGUUAUAGGCUUAUAGCACGAAGUCAAAGGAAAUCAACAUCCAAAUCAACACACACAUUAGAAGUGCCAGAAUUCAUCAAUUCAAAUACAAUACAAGUCAUAAAAGACUAAAGUCACAAGUCCACAUUCCACAAGUCACAACUGAAGUCAGAAAUCAAAAACCGUUCAAAUUCAAUAGAAUCCAUAAUGCCAAAUUGUCUUGAAAGUUCAAAUAGUUAGGUAAGAGAAACUUAGUAAACAAGUAAAUAUGCUGCCUGCAACAAACUCAAAGCCCCGGUAUCUUCUGAUCUUCUCCAACUAAAAAGUGAUUGAAGUUUCAACACCUCCCUUGAUCAAACCUGCAACAAAACAUAAAAAUGAGAAACAUUAGUUACUUUAAAACAAUAGAGAAAUGGAAUUUUACAAGAAUCAGCAUAUGCAUUAGAUAAGAAAUAUCUUACGAGAUUCUAAAGUUUCAAGAUCCUCCAAUUCUUCUUCCACAUUUAGUUUAGAGUCUGAUGGCUGAAGUCAAUCUUGAGUGCAAAUCAAAGUUUGCACUAUUUUAGGUGUUAAAGAACUCCUAAAUGGAUCAAGGACUCUUCCACCUAUGUUAAAAGUAGCUUCAGAAGUAACCAUAGAUGCAGGCACAACCAACACAUCAUGGGCUAAUUUAGAAAGAACAGGGAAUCUAGGACUAUUCACCUUCCACCAUGUCAAAAUAUUAAAGUCAUCUUCUUCAUCUUCACAAUCCUUACCAAAAUAUUUAUCCAAUUCAGUUUUUGAACCAUUGAAACCAGUUUCUAUCUUUCUUUUUUUAAACCCCUCUUUAGACAUGUCUUGAAUGCGUUUCCCAGCAUGCAUAUCACUAGACAUUGUACCUUUAUCAAUUACUCCAAAUUUACUUGAAAAAGCUGGGGAGUUCACUUCAAAAGGGAAGAUGAGUUUUAUGUACUUAGAAAAUAGUUGCACCAAAGCUUCUUUUGCAAGUGAACCUAUGUUUGCACCAUCAUGCAGACGAUACAUUUUUAUAAGCACAAACUCUGCAUACUCAAAUUUAAUACGUGGAUCAAGAAUGGAGGCAACAAAAAUAAGCAUGUUCAUUUUUUCUAUUUUUCCCCAAUGCUUAUCACAUUUUUCUUCCAUUGUGAAUGCCAUGACAGCCUCUUCUUGGUUAUCACGUUCUAUCAUAUUGUUCAAGACUACAUUCAUGCUACUAAUGUCUCGAAAAAAAGUAUUGCAAGUGACAUACUUAGACCUAGAAACCUUCAAAGUUAAUUCAUAUAAGUUUUACAAAAAUUGAUUUAGAUAUCUAGCUUUUUUCCAAUUAGUUGCUGUUGGUAUAGAAUCAAGUUCUUGAAUCAUGUAAGGGUCUUCUAGUUCGAACCUAUCAAAAACUUGCUCAUAUAUUUGGGCUACAUCCAACAUCAAGUAGGUGGAAUUCCACCUAGUGGGACAAUCCAAACACACUCUCUAAACUUUUUCAACUUAGUGGGUGACUCUCUUACAUACCUUACAGCUGCACUAAUAGAAUCAAUAGAAUUGCCAAACUUUUUCAAACCAUCAUUAACUACCAAAUUUAUUAUAAGAGCAACAUACCUAACAUGAAACCACCUUUCCUCCAAAACAGAUUUUCCCCAAUUAAUAAAUUUUCCUCUCAAAUAAGAAACUAUAGUGUCAUUCGAGCUAGCAAUAUCUACAGUAAUGGUAAAAAUAUCAUCAAUUCUGCAUUCAAGCAGAUAUUUCUCUACAGCUUGUCCAACAUCAACACCCUUAUAACUAGAAAUUGGAACAAAACUUAUAACCUUUUUGUUUAAAUUCUAGUCAUUGUCAAUAAAAUGAGUUGUAAGACACAUAUAAUGCCAAAAAGUAUAUCUUUCGUAUGAUUGAACGGGUAUGUGCUAAUUUCUUGAGGGGGACAACUGAAGAGUCUAAAAGUUUUCAUUGGGUUCGGUGGAAAGACUUAUGCUUCCCCAUAGAGAAGGGUGGUGUUGGGUUUUGAUCGAUUGAUGACACUUGUAUGGAUUUCUCUUGCAAGUUGUGGUGGACCUAGGCAGAAUCUCUCACUAUGGGCUGUGUUCAUGCGAGCCAAAUAUUGUCACGAUACUCACCCUUGUCAGGUUGCCAUGAGAUCUCCUAGUUCAGCAACAUGGCGCCGUAUGUUAAACAUUAGGUGGUUUGCGGAGUUAUUUAUACUUUGGAGACCUUAUAGUGGCAUUUGCCACUUCUGAUAUGAUAACUAGACGGGUUCAAGUGCAUUAUAUCUUCGAGCGGAGGUGCAAGAACAUUUGUCCUUCCACAACUUUAUUGUGGGCGGGGCGUGGGAUAGCCGCUUGUUGUCUCAUGUCCUUCUGCCUAAUUUAGACCAGGCUAUGAUGGGCAUGCCGAUCCCCUGUACUCUUUUGGUGCACAGGAUGGUGUGGACGGCGUCAUCUUUUGGGAGUUUCUCAUUAUCCUCGGCCUUCCUUAAGGUGCGGGAGGCUAAACCCUCGUCCUUCAUAUUUAGACAGGUUUAGCAUCCGCACAUCCCUCUAAAGAUUUCCUUCUUUAUGAUGCGAUUGUUGCAGGGACGGUUGCCUUUGGAUGAUAUUUUAACCCGAUUUUGGGUGCACUUACCGUCUAAAUGCGUUUGCUGUGUGGAGCCUACUGUUGAAAUGCUACAGCACGUAUUCAUGUUAGGUGAUGUCGCAAAGGCGGUUUGGAAGUAUUUCGGGUCUCUCUCUGGUCUUAAUUGGGCUCAAGAGCAUUUAAGCAUACAGUUAGUGAAUUGCUAGUACAAGCCUGCUAAGUCCACGAGGCUCAAAUUUGUCUUUCGACUUCUUCCCGUUUUUGUGUGUUGGAAUUUGUGGAAGGUGAGGAAUUCAAUAGUGUUUGAAGGGGUUAUCAAGGAUGUCCGAUCCGUGUGUCGAGCUAUUUUUCAAAACUUGAAGGCCGCUUACUGGAUGAAGUUUGGUGAAUUACAACAGGUCACAUCUUGGCCCCGAUCUUGGGAUUGGUGGAGCAGCGCCCUGAUGUGUUUAAGAUUCGUCUGGUUCAUUGGCAGUCGCCAGUGAUGGCAAUGUUUAAACUUAACAUAGAUGAGUACUCUAAGGGAAAUCCGGGGUUGAGUGGUGGCAGGGGGAUUGUUAGGGAUGGCUCAAGGAAGUUCAUCUUCGCUUUUGCUGGUUGCUUUGAUAUUGGUACUAGCUUGUAGGCCGAGGCUGAAGCAUUAGUGAUAUGAACGGCACCAACCUUGUGAUGCAACCCGUAUAGACAGGAAAGGAUCUAGAAGGUAGGACUCACGUUGAUGAACACAAAUGCAGUGGAAUCACAUAAACCCGUUGAUCACGUGGUCAACGAACCUCGGUAUUAGUAGAAGACGCCACAAUCUAGCGCGGUCCUAGAUUGAUAAGUCGAAUUGAAUACCUAAGAACGAUGCUAAGAUAUUCAAUGGUGCUUCAAUGAUGCUUUGAGAGAACUCUCAAAAUGUAUUUUAUUAAUCAUCAAAAACUGUCUAAUACAACCAACAAUGCUUCCUUAAAUACUAAACUAGUAAUAAAGACUAAUGGGCCAAGCUACUUACUAAGGUGGCCCACAUGGUCUAAACCAUUGACCCAAGGACUGAACGACUACUAAGGUCCAAACCACAAGUUAGUUGGACCUCUAUAUUACACUCUACUAAAGCUAAUAAUGGGCCAUGGCCCUUGGUCGAAUUUGACACCUCUAAACCUCAUGGAUGGCCGAAAGUAGGAUAAUAUCUCUAGCUUCGUUGAGGCCCUCAAUGGCCUUUGGCUCUCCACUUGACUCUCGGGCCGCACGAACCAAUAUUUGUAAUGUUUCAUUCAACCUCUUCGCACGAGCUCGUGUCAUAGGCCCCAAUGGCACCUUCACUUGCUCCACUUGGAUAAUACUCUCGACCUUCUCAUCAUAUCGGCUGAUACGAAUGGCACCAAUCUUGUGUACAACCCGUACAGACAAGAAAAUAUCUAGAAGGUAGAACUCACGUUAAUGAACACAAACGCAGCGGAAUCACCUAAACCCGUUGAUCACGUGAUCAAUGAACCUCGGUAUUGGUAGAAAACGUCACAAUCUAGUGCGGUGCUAAAUUGAUAAGUCGAAUUGAAUACCUAAGAACGAUUCUAAGAUAUUCAAUGGCGCUUCAAUGAUGCUUUGAGAGAACUCUCAAAAUGUAUUUUAUUAAUUAUCAAAAACUGUCUAAUAAAACCAACAAUGCUUCCUUAAAUACUAAACUAAUAAUAAAGACUAAUGGGCCAAACUACUUACUAAGGUGGCCCACAUGGCCUAGACCAUUGACCCAAGGACUGAACGACUACUAAGGUCCAAACUACAAGUUAGUUGGACCUCUUUAUUACACUCCACUAAAGCUAGUGAUGGGCCAUGACCCUUGGUCGAAUUUGACACUUCUAAACCUCAUGGAUGGUCGAAAGUAGGAUAAUAUCUCUAGCUUUGUUGAGGCCAUUGUCUUCGUUGAGGCCCUCAAUGGCCUUUGGCUCUCCACUUUGACUCUUGGGCCGCACGAAUCAAUGUCUGUAAUAUUUCAUUCAACCUUUUUGUUCGAGCUCAUGUCAUAGGCCCCAAUAGCACCUUCACUUGCUCCACUUGGAUAGUAUUCUCGACCUCCUCAUCAUUCCUCUCAUUUUGUGAAAGAUUUGUCCUCAAAUCGACCUCAUCAUCUGCAAAAAAGGGACUUAGGUCAGCAACAUUAAAGGUAGCCGAGACAUUAUACUCAUCUGGUAGAUCGAGCUUGUAGGCGUUGUCAUUGAUGCGUGCCACAACUUGGAAUGGUCCAUCUCCACGUGGUAGCAGUUUGUUAGGACGCUGGACGGGGAAACGCUCUUUGCGCAAGUAUAACCAAACCCAGUUAUCUGGUUCAAAUACCACGCGACGCCGACCCUUGUUGGCAUGCUUGAGGUACUGUUGGGUGCGAGCUUCAAUGUUGGCCCUCACCUGUUGGUGUAAAGCCUGGACAAACUCGGCUUUCUUCUUGCCAUCAAGGUUAGUACGCUCAGACAAAGGCAAAGGCAUCAAAUUCAAGGGAGUCAAAGGAUUAAAACCGUAAACAAUUUCAAAUGGAGAAAACUGUGUAGCACUGUGAACUAUACGGUUAUAAGUAAACUCGACAUGUGAUAAACACUCCUCCCAAGUCUUGAGAUUCUUUUUAAUGAUGGCCCUGAAUAGGGUAGACAAGGUGCGGUUAACAACCUCAGUUUGACCAUCAGUCUGGGGGUGACUGGAUGUAGAGAAUAACAACUUAGUCCCCAACUUCCCCCACAAAGUCUUCCAGAAAUAAGAGAGAAACUUUACAUCUCUAUCAGACACAAUAGUUCUAGGCACGCCAUACAAAUGGACAACUUCCUUAAAGAAGAGAUCAGCUAUAUGAGUAGCAUCGUCCGUCGUAUGAUAUGGAAUGAAAUGAGUCAUUUUUUAAAAUCUAUCAACGAUGACAAAGAUGCUAUCAUAACCUUUUUUACUCCUAGGCAAACCAAGCACAAAAUUCAUGGAAAUGUCAACCUAUGGUUCCGAAGAAAUAGGUACGGGUGUAUACAAACAAAAGGGCUAGAGUUUGGACUUGGCACGGUGACAGGUGAUGUAGCGUGACACUUCUCGCUCCACAUCUUGUCUCAUGCGUGGCUAAUAGAAAUGUUCCUAUAAAGCACUCAAAGUCUUGGUGACACCAAAGUGUCAUAUUAAAUCACCUCCGUGAGUCUCACUGGUUAGUAACUCACGAACAUAGCAUGAUGGAAUGCAUAAUUUAUCAUUAUAAUAUAGAAAUCCAUCAUGUAUGAAGAACUUACCCUGAUCCGGCUUAGCACAAGACUUGUAGAUAUCAGAAAAAUCAGAAUCAGUAUCAUAAAAUUCUUUAAUAAGGUCAAAUCCAAGGAGUUUAGUAUCAAGUAAAGCAAUCAAGGCAUACCUCCUGGACAGUGCAUCAGUAACGACGUUGGUCUUGCCAACUUUGUACUUGAUCACAUAGGGAAAGAACUCCACAAAAUUGACCCACCGUACGUGUCUCUUACUUAACUUAUGUUGAGACUUGAGAUGCUUGAGUGCUUUGUGGUCAGUAUGGAUGACGAACUCCUUAGGUCGCAGGUAAUAUUGCCAUGUCUCCAGUGUGCGAAUCAAAGCAUAGUGCUCCUUAUCGUAGGUGGAGUAGGUCAAGGCUGCACCAUUCAAUUUCUCACUAAAGUAUGCGAGCGGCCUACCCUCUUGGAUCAAUACGGCUCCAAUUCCUACACCAAAAGCAUCACACUCAAUCUCAAAUGUUUUAUCAAAGUUAGGUAAGGACAAUAAGGGUGCGUGUGUGAGCUUGUGUUUAAGGAGUUGGAACGCCUUCUCCUGAACUUCCCCUCACUCGAAUUUCACAUCCUUCUUGAUAAUGGCGGUCAGAGGAUUAGUUAUAGUGCUGAAAUCCAUCAUGAACCGGCGAUAGAAACUCGCAAGGCCGUGGAAACUCCGAACUUCACUCAUGGUCUUGGGCGCGGGCCACUCAUUGAUAGCCUGGACCUUGCUCCCGUCCACUUUAAUGCCCUGUGCACCAACCUUAUAACCAAGGAAAACAAACUCAUUAGUGCAGAAAGUACAUUUGCUAAGAUUAGCGAAUAAUCUCUCCCUGCGCAAUACAUCAAGAACAGCUCGUACAUGUGUUACAUGUUCCUCAGGACUCUUGCUGUAUAUCAGAAUGUCGUCAAAAUAAACAACAACAAAUUUACCUAAGAACGGGUGAAGCACAUGAUUCAUAAGGCGCAUAAAUGUACUAGGAACGUUAGUCAAACCAAAGGGCAUAACUAACCACUCAUACAGACCAUGCUUAGUCUUGAAGGCCGUCUUCCCCUCGUCUCCUUCCUUCAUUCGAAUUUGAUGGUAGCCACUCUUAAGAUCAAUCUUGGUGAAAAUGACUGUACCAUACAAUUCGUCAAGCAUGUCAUCUAAACGAGGUAUAGGGUGACGAUACUUAACUGUGAUAGUGUUGAUGGCGCGGCAGUCUACACACAUCCUCCAAGUGCCUUUUUUCUUUGGGACGAGGAUGACUGGAACUGCACAUGAGCUCAUGCUCUCUCGAGCCCAACCCCUCUCUAAGAGCUCAUCGAUUUGCCGUUGGAUCUCUUUAGUCUACUCAGGGCCCAUCUUGUAGGCCGAUCUGUUUGGCAAGGAUGCUCCAGGGACGAAGUUGAUCUGGUGUUCGAUCCCUCGGAGUGGUGGUAAGCCGCUUUGGAUCUCAUCUAGGAAAACGUUCUCAAAUUUCUGUAACAAAGAAGAGAUUUCAGGAGGUAAGUCAUCGAGUGCCUCAUGAGAGAGUAAAAUCACUUCUUUGCACUAUAAGACAUAAACAAUUUGUUUGGAUAAAAGUAAUUUAUGAAUUUCCCUGUUCUUUGCAAGCAAGUUAGGGUGUUUGUCUAAUCGAACUAGAUGUACCAGGGGUAGAUGUCCUCUCGACUGGUGCUUUAAUGAUUGCCUUAGAAUCGGGCGACUUUUUAGCCACCUCUCAUUCAUGCUCCUGGUGCAAUCGCAGUUGGUCUUCAUGCACCUGUUGAGGUGUGAGAGGAACAAGUGUCAUCUUCUUGUUAUGGUGCAAGAAGGAGUACUUGUUGGUAAAGCCAUCAUGAGUGGUCUUCUUGUCAUAUUGUCAUGGCCGUCCCAACAAAAUAUGAGAAGCUUGCAUGGGAAUGAUGUCGCAAAGGAUCUCAUCUUCAUACUUCCCAAUCCGAAAAGGCACCACCACUUGCUUGGUGACUUUGAUAUUGCCACUCUCAUUGAUCCAUUGCAAGCGGUAUGGGCUAGGAUGUCUCAACAUGGGCAAAGAAAGAUGAUUCAUCAUAAAAGUACUUGUCACGUUGGUACAACUACUCACGUCGAUGAUGAGGCUACACACCCUCCCUUUGACGUGACAUCGUGUGUAGAAAAUGUUGUCACGUUGGGUCUCAUCCACUCUCUUGACAUGGGUCGCAAGAGCCCGACGAGUGACUAGAGCAACGCUUACUUGCUCACUAGUAGUCUCGACCUUAACCUCAAAAUCUUCACAUUCAUCAAUCAAUGGAGGCAUCUCAGCGGAUUCGUCCUCGUCGUUAGAUAUGACAUCUCCACUCGGUAGGACAACCAUGGUACGCCUAUUGGGACAUUGAGAAGCAAUGUACCCAAAUUCUUAGCAUUUGAAACACUUGUCACGGCUUUGUGGCUUGGAGGAGUCGAAUGGAGGCUUGAUGGUUGCCUUGGUGUCUGCUUUGGUGGCUUAUAUUUGGGCAUGAAUGGUCACCCCUGUACUAGAUCGCUCCCACUCAAUGUCGCGCCCCACUUUUUGAAAUGGUGUGAAAGUAGUGUGUAAGAUAUGUACGUGAACGUGUGUGUAAGAUAUGUACGUGAACGUAUGUGAAAGUGAAAAUAAAAGGCCGUGGGAUUGUGAAAUGAGACGGUUUGGCCAAACAAAGGGUUUUAUAUAAAAUGGAGUCGCCACUUAAUAUAGAAUUAGGGUGUACCAAGUCACCCAAAAAGUGAUUUUUGGAAAGAAAAGUAAACAAACCCUUUGUAAAGAAAUUUUAGGUCUACGUAACCAAAGAAAGGGAUCGGGGGUCACAUUUGAUAAGGGAGAAGGCAAAGGCAAAGCCUAAGGCACUCCCUUACCCUAGCCAAAGCUAGUUGCAUGACUUAGCCCCACUUUUCCUAAUUCUUCUACCCAAAAUAUGCAUUGCAUGUUGGAUGUAACUAAUGAAUAUGAAAAAGAUGCAAUCCUAAAUCUAAAAUGUCUCUUAUGAGGCUUUUUAGUCCCAACCACAUGAAUUGUGAUGGCCAGUAAGGAAAGCCCUCAUAGAGAUCAUGAAUAAUGCAAAUGAGGACUCAAGUAUGAGUGUAAGUAUGCAAAUGUAAGAAAAGUGCAUGUGUGCCAAUUGAGAAAAUAAAGGUAUUUGUGUGCAAGUGGAUGAAAAUAUGGUAUAAUGAUAGUAAAUACAUAUGUGUAAUGGGGUGCAAUUUGUGAGGCAUGGCAUGUGGAUUGAGAAAAAAUAUAAGUAGUGAGAAAAUGUGAAUAAAGAAAGUGAAGAAGUGAUAUGAUAAAAUGAGAGUGUAUGAAUCUAGAGGAAUGCAUCAAGUCGGGUACGGGAAUGACUCCUAACUUCACGACUUUAAUUUUCCCUUUGAUUAGAAGGAAGAACUAGCGUGCUAAGGCUAUUUUGUAGCCACACUCGCUCGUUUCCCUUACCAAAAGGGGACUCUCAAGCAAAUGUACCUUAUAACUAGCAUGAGCAUGCAAAAACCUAAAAUGAAGGGGAAAGGAUUGGAGGAGCAUGCCAAAUACUAGAAAACUAAGAAAAAUGCAUGAAAUGUAGUGAGACAUGCAAGUAUGUACUAGCGAGAGGGGGCCCUAUUGGGUCUAGCAUUGGACUAGCCCACAUCUACACUCUCUCACAAGCAUUGGACUUGUAAGAGCUCGAGAGGACAACCAUGACUAGCAUUGGACUAGCCACGGUUACGUGCAUUUGCAUCCAUCAUACACAUAUAUAAGUAAUGUACAUAAUUAAAGCAAGUAGACAUGUGAGCACGUAAUUCACUUAACACAUAAGCAUGCAUAUCUAGAGGCCAAAACCUAAGAAAGCGAUUAAACACAUAGCACCUAAGCAUGCAAAACACAUAAGGCGAUUAAGAAAGCGAAUAAAAUCCUAGCUAUUACACUUGAGGGGGGCCUACUACAAUCUAAAGGGGGAAAAGCUUGGAAAAGAAAAUGCCAAAGACUAACUAUUACAAUUUGGGGCUCGAAUACCCUCAAAUGUCUUGCUUAAUUAAAGAAAGCGAAACCAGCAAUUAAACUAUAAAAUUGAAAAGCGAAUUAAAGCAUGCAUAUUCACACAAAACAUAUAGGAGCACGUAGGAAAAAUAAAAUCAAGGAGAUAGAGAUUACCCCUUUUUUGCAAUGGUAGUCGAGUGAAGCGAAAUUACUUUAAAUCUCCAAAAACAAAGAAAUGUCAAGGCAUCUCAAAUAAUCACAUAAGUACGAAAUGGAAUCAUAAAAAACAUUUAAAUGACUAGAACUGUCCAUAUUCACUAGAUAAUGGCCCAAUUGGAAGGAAAAAGAAAGUUUGAGGGAUCAAUCUUGAUUAGUCGUUCCAAUUAUUCGAGCCAUAGUGAGAUAAAGGAAUACUUAGGGGGUCAAAGUGCAAUUUUUAGAAAACCAUUUCAUGCAUGCAACGGAACUUUCUUUGUUUCUGCUGAUUUCUUCUUUCUGCAAUUUCGCAGCUCAUUGACAAUCAAAGAAACUCAACCAAGGCUUCAACAUCCCAGCUUUAAAGUAAGCAAUACAACCCAUAACUUCGACACCCCAACUGACAAGAAAACUUAGAGAGAAAUCAUGCAAAUUCAAUGCAAACAACUUUCGCAACUUCAAAACCAUUCUUAUGCAAUUUCUCUAUCCAUUUCAGAUGCACUCACGCGAACAGACCAAGAAGAGCUAACUGAGUUGCUAACUAAAACAGAAAAUACUGGAGCUUAGCCGAAAAGGAAAAAGAAAAAAAAACAGAUAGAACAAGACUAUCGAACGCAGCAUGCAUCCUAACAAAGACUUUCGGCAGGCUGAUAUCCAUUUUCCAACAACCAUUUCUGCUGCAACUUUCCAUGUUCAGUUCUUUACCAUGGCUAUGUCUAGUUCCAUGUAAAUUUCCAUCCCAACACAACUAACAUUCUACCAAACAUCAAACUUCGAUCAAGCAAAGAAACACAACAUUCAACACUCCAACUUGCAAAUUUCAAUUCCAGAAACUCCAUUCCUUCUCGGCAGCUUUAUUGUCAAAACAGCCAUGAAAGAAUAGAAUACCAGACAAAAUGUGCAUGAUCAAAUAACACCCAAACAAAUCUAAUUUCUCCGAAAACCCACCUCUAAAAUUUCAGUUCAAACUUCCAAAAAGCAAAACCCAGAGCAUCAAAACAAGAUAAGCACAUCGUAUCAAAAACAUGUCAAACCUGCUGCAACUUUCUACUGUGGGCUUGCGGUUCAUCUCAUGCAUAUAUUUUCGUACAAAAACUCUGAUAAAACCUUCUUUUCAUUAGCCCCAAACCCAUAUAACCCCCAAGUCAUCAGUUUUAACAUAACCCAAACACAACGGCUUAUCUUUAGCAGAUACACUCGAGGAGAAUCCGGACAAAUGAUAACAACAAAGAACAAAUUAAAGAUCAUGCAAGUCUGAUGAAAAAAGAAGAAAUAUACAAUCUGCUGGGCUUGCUUGAAGCUAUGAGGCCAAAGGGAUUACCUUUAGUACCUUAUGGAGUCCAGUGAACAGAGAAGAAUUGAAGAGAUUGCGUCUAAACGCCGACUUCAAAGAUGCAAACUUUUUGGUGAAGAGAUUUCUAGAGCACCGUAUGAAUGCAGAAACAAAAGUUUCUUCUUGUUCAGCCGCUGCCCCUUUUCUUUUCUUCCCCUUUCUGGUUUUUUCCUUUUUCCGUCACCUCCCCCAGCUCUCUUUCCGUUGCUCUCUCCCUCGGUUUUCUGGUUCCUUCCUCUCACUCGAUCUCUCCCUCAGCCUUUUUUUUCACUCAGCCGUCAACAGGUUCCUCCCAGCUCUCCAUUUUUCCUCAGCUUUUACCUCUCUCAAAACCCUAACCUUUUUCCCACAGCCGACCUUCCCUCUGUUUUCUCUUCCAGCCGUCAAAAACCUACCCCUUCUCUCAGCCCUCAAGACCUUUUUACUUCUAGCCGUCAACUAUCCUCAGACUUCCGCUCUUAGCCCCCCCUUCUUGGCUGCGGCUGUUUUUGCUUUUAUAUAGCUACCCAGAUUCCUAAACCUAACAUCUAAUGGUGCCGCUGAAUUGAACCUCGAUGGUGAAUUGUAUACCAUCGGAUGAGCCUUUGUACUAUCCUCCUCUUGAGGACCCGAGGAAAAAAAAGAAAACCACCCAAAAAAUGAGUUGAAAAUGGAGGUCAAAAAUGGCCUCUGCAAUUUUUCUGUGUUGUCCGAAACUUGUAAAAUGAAGAAAUAGCGCGCGUUCCUUAGUUAGUUUUUUUUCUUUUUUUUCUUUUCACUUGGAACAAGCCCGAUUUGAUUUUUGUUGUUUUUCUUUUCCCUUUUUCUUUUUAUUUCCAGAUGAACCAGUUAAUUAAUAAACACAAUGACGAAAAAUAACAAAUUAAGUAAAAUUGAAUGAAAUAGACAAAUACUAAAAAAUAAAACAAAAUUGCUAACUUUUGUUCGAUUGAUGAUCUUCUUUGUUUUUUUUUUCAGUGGAUUAAUUAACAAAAAUAAUUUUCUUAACAAAAAUGAGAAUGAGAUAAAUUAAACAAAGAAAUAAUAGUAAAAUAAAUAAAUAAACAAACAAAAAUCACCUAGAAUAAAUAAAUAAAUAAAUAAAAAGAAAGGCUAAAAAUUUGGUGUCUACAGUUUGCCCCUCUUUGUCUGAGUUUUGGAAAAACUUGAGACAAAGAAAUAGACACCAAAUACUUACCUGUGUUGUUUGGCCGCAAAAUGAUUCCAACGAACAGGAAUUUUAAAAGAAACGGGACUGACCCGAACAGAAAUUUAAAACGGGACUGACCCGAACAAGGAAUUUAAAACGGGACUGACUCGAACAGAAAUUUAAAAUGGGACUGACCCGAACAAGAAAUUUAAAACGGGACUGACCCGAACAGGAAUUUAAAACGGGACUGACCAGAAUAGAAAUUUAAAACGGGACGCACACUAGUGGGACUGACCCACGGCUAUUGACAGUGCUAAUGAAAUGCCUUGACAAUCGGUCAGUGGGAUCAAACUCGAGCCUGCCGUGACAAAAUUUGAUUGAUUUUUUUUUUAGAAACUUUCCAAAGAUAAUUUGCCCCAGUAUGAUGAAUUGGUCAGUGGGAUUAAACCUGAACCUGCCUCAGUUGCACAGAAUCCAAGCCCAAUCGGGAUGUUGGCGGCAUAAAAUCCAGGCCCAACGGGAUCUUUGAGAUGUUGGCGGCACGAAAUCCAGGCCCAACGUGAUGUUGUGGUGUUUGGGAUGUAGGCGGCACGAAAUUCAGGCCCAACGUGAUUUUUGGAAUGUUGGCGGCACAAAGGCCAGACCCAACGUGAUUUUUUGAAUGUUGGCGGCACAACGUCCAGGCCCAACGUGAUCUUUGUGAUGUUGGCGGCACGAAAUCCAGGCCCAACGUGAUGCUGUGAUGUUUGGGAUGUUGGCGGCACAAAGUCCAGGCCCAACGGGAUCUUUGGGAUGUUGUCGGCACAAAAUUCAGACCCAACGUGAUGUUGGAAUGUUUGGGAUGUUGGCGGCACAAAGUCCAGGCCCAACGGGAUCUUUGCGGUUAGCGGGAUAGAACCCAGUUCUGCCGAGGUUGGUGAGAUAAAAUCCAGUUCCAACGUGAUAUAAGCGGUCAGCGGGACAGAACCCAGUUCUGCCGAGGUUGGCGGGAUAAAACCCAGCUCCAACGUGAUAUAUGCGGUCAGCGGGAUAGAAUCCAGUUCUGCCGAGGUUGGCGGGAUGAAAUCCAGUUCCAACGUGAUAUAAGCGGUCAGCGGGAUAGAACUCGGUUCUGUCGAGAUUGGCGGGAUGAAACCCAGUUCCAACGUGAUAUAAGCGGUCAGCGGGACAGAACCCGGUUCUGCCGAGGUUGGCGGGAUAAAACCCAGUUCCAACGUGAUAUAUGCGGUCAGCGGGAUAGAAUCCAGUUCUGCCGAGGUUGGCGGGAUAAAACCCAAUUCCAACGUGAUAUAAGCGGUCAGCGGGAUAGAACCCUGUUCUGCCGAGGUUGGCGGGAUGAAAUCCAGUUCCAACGUGAUAUAAGCGGUCAGCGGGAUAGAACCCGGUUCUGUCGAGAUUGGCGGGAUGAAACCCAGUUCCAACGUGAUAUAAGCGGUUAGCGGGAUAGAACCCGGUUCUGCCGAGGUUGGCGGGAUAAAACCCAGUUCCAACGUGAUAUAAGCGGUCAGCGGGAUAGAACCCAGUUCUGCCAUCCAAUUGGUCAAGAAAUUGAAUUUGAUUUGUCAAAAAAACCAGAAAUUAAAUUUGAUUUUCCAAGAAAUAAGAAUUUGAACUUGAUUUUUGAUUUUUGACUUUUGAAUUUUUCUGAUUUUUCGAGAGAAUCUUUUCAAAAUAAUUUGCCCCAUUUCCACCAAUUAUUGUGCAACCGAUCAAUUGAUUUGCAUUACGGCGUGGUUGCUCCUCCUUGAGGCCUUGAUUCGUAAGAUUUUGACUUACGCUCCUUCGUCGAUUUCAGCCAUGGAUACCUGCACAGGGGCUUGCCAAAGUAUAACAUGCCCUUAAAUUAUUUUAAAAAUUAAUGCAACUACUACUCGUGGAAAGAGUAGCAUGAUUGAUUUGAAAGUCUUGCUUGAAUCUUUGACGAAAUUCUCAAAUGGACUAUAAAAAAUUUGCCCUAGUAUGGGCUCAUUUGAUUGCAAAAAUUGGCUUGGAUGUCUCUCCAUCUAUUUGAACAUUAUGCUUUCUAACAGAAAAUUUCAUGAUGAAUUUCUCAAAAUAAUGUCAAAUUACAAAUGAUUCUUCCUCACUUUAGCAUCGAUGCAUUGAGUAAUGGGUCACCAUUUCUUGUUGGCUCAUCUUUCAGGACCAAUCAAAUGUGCAUUAUUUCUGAUUUGGAAAUGGCUAAAGAAAAUGAGAAAUCGAGAUUUGUCUUGUUCUUGUGCCCAAAAUUGUAUGUAAUCGAUUCAAUAUCACAUCUUAGUGAAAGCAAAGAGUUGGUCACCCUUAUUUCUCAAGAAAACUUAGUCAACAAACAAGCUUUAAACUUGCAACAUAUGGGUAGAAACGACAGCCAAACAUGUGAAGCAGGUUAUACCCUUAUAAUCACAAAUGAUUGAUGGAUUUCUUAUGAGCAUAAUCCUCACUUUGGGUUGUCAUGAAGGAUAAGUCAGCGAUGGACUUUAUGACCUUGUAAUGUGGCUUGAAAAUAAUAGUUAAAGAAUAAGACUUUCAAGGACAUUGCACCGAAGAUCGCAUUUCCUCUCAAACAUUGCCCCAAUUUUGAACUCAAAGAUCUUGGAUUUUGUUUGACCACUCAACAGGGACUUCACCAUCGAAUCUUUUGUAUUUCACUUAUUUUCUUGCUUUGCUUUUGCUUUUUUUCCCUUUUCCUCGACCUGGUGGGUUUUCACAUGGUAAGUAGCGUCAAUCCCCAUACCCAAACAAUUCAGAAAUACAGCUAAAAUUUACCGGCAUCAGAAAUUUUCUUGACAGGGCCAUUGCAAAAAACAGAAGUCAGGACUUCCGGCUUUCGUAAUGGGGUCAGGUGGGGUGUUUAGAAAAGUUAAGGCUUGAAAGUAGAUUUCAAAAGCGGUUUGAAGAAUCCGAGAUCGCAUUGUUGCGCCAACCCUAUUUUAGGGCUAAAUCAAAAUUUGCCCCAGUUUAUGCUCAAUUGAGGUUUUUUCUCUUUCAUUUUCUUUCUUUCUUUUGAUUUUUCGGCCUUCUGCCCUUCUUUUGAACUUUUCACAAAAUUUGCCCCAAUUUAUUUUUUGAACUGAGGUUCUCUUUUCUUUUGUCUUUUGAUUUUUGUUGCAUUAUCACUUUUCACUUCUUGAGACUUUUCUUUCCUUUUCAACUCAAACUUGCCCCAGUGUGAGGGUUUGCGAUUCUCAGGGGUUGCCAAAUGAAGUAUUUUAUUCUGAAAGUUCAAAAGGGAGAACUAGGGAUAGAAUGUUUGAUUGGAAAAGAAGAGAGCCUGACUUUUAUUCCGUUCCUUACAAUAAUUCUGAAAGGAAACUUUCAUUAAUGCGAAAUUUCUUGCAUGUAUCUGAAUUAAUUGACUGAGGAAGACUCUUGCUCAUUCAUAUCUAUGAAACAUAAGUGAUCCACUGGACAGAACUUGUCCUUUUUCCUCUUUUCUUUUCUUUUCAAAAUUGAAACCUAGGUAGAAUCAAAUUUUUCCAAUUCGCGGUUCCCUCCUUAUUCUAGCAUUUUUGCUUUUUCCCUUUUUGGAAAAUCCUCCAAUCCCCCUCCCCAAUGCGGGGUACGAUCGUAAGUGUUUUGAAAAAAACCACCAAUUUUAGCUCAAAUGAGGAUGCAAGGGAUGAUCAGUGUUUAGGUUGUAGAAACGACGGCCAAAGCAUCAUUCUUACACCUCAUGACAACCAAAGUAACGAAAUGGUUAUUGAAAAUCCAUUCCCCUUUUUGAUAUUUGAAAAUUUUCCAAUAAAGGGUAGUGAUCAUCAAAGCGUUUAUUUGGAACGAAAUUAUUCUUUUAUAGGCUCAAAUGGGAGAGCAAAUGAUAAAAUCUGUAUGGAUAGAGAAACGAACGCUUGGAGUAUCAUUCCAAAUUUUCAAAACAAAUAAGAAUAAUGCACAUUUUUUUUUGCUUUCACUGAGAUGUGAGUUGAAUCUAUUUAGACACAGCGGCCAUUUUCUAGCAAAGAUUGUCCCAAUUUGCAAUUUAUCAAUCAAUGUGACUGAUUUUAUUUUGGGGUUAAGUGAAGGAGAAAAGAUAUUUCAUUGGGUCUUUUGAAUGACAGCUCACCCUUUUUCUUUUCUUUUUUUUUCUUUCUUUUAAACUCUGAGCACUCUUAUUGUAUAGCUCGGAUCACCAAUUGAGUGUACGUAAGGAUUUUAGAAAGCAUACACUCGUAAAAUUUCAGGCUGGAGGUUGAGAAAAUCUCGAUUUAGCUUUAUUUCCCAAAAAUUCAUCAUGAAAUCUCCGAUGAGCAAAAGAAUGAAAUGUACAUGAAUACAAUAUUUAUCCAAAAACUUUAUUGCUGAAAAAGUUUGAAACAAAAUUUCUUGUUCAAUUACAAUACAAAUAAGAAGAGAAAAACUUCUAAAGAGCUACACAUAUACACUCUCUGCCUCCUUUUUUUUUGGAACAAAAAUGCAUUAACCAGUCAAAUAUACAGAAUUUUCUUUGAAAAAUAAUUAUGAAAUCUCUUAAAAAGCUUUAGCCUAACGCUUCCAGAUGGGCCCUUCAUGUUUUCAUUGCAAGACCUGCCCAAGAGUCAAAUAAUACCCGUAAUUUUUUACCCUUUAUUAGAUCAGAAUUGUUAUCAGAUAUAGAAAAAUAUUUUCGCCUUAUUGAAACAUUUUUAUGAAUGUAGGGGAGGGAAAAAAAUAAAAGAAAAAUACCCUGAGUUAGUAAGCAAAUUGUAAAAUCGGUAUGCAUGUCCUAUGGGGGAGCCCUUUUAUGCCAAGGGUAGGUCUAGCAUGAAAAUGCAAUCCUCUAGGGUAGGCACUAUACCAUACCUGAUGAAUCCGAUCAAUUGAUUGAAUGAAAAAUGAUUUGAAAAAUUUGGCCAAUUUGGAGUGAGAAGAAACAUUCGUCCUAAAAAAUGAGGACAAAGUCCGAAUGAAUUGCUUAUUUUGAUCGACACAUGAUGUGUCAAAAUGGGUAAAAUGGUCAAAUUCAUUGAAUGAAAUUUGAUUAUUUAUUGAAAAUUGAAUGGAUAACCCUAAAAAUGAAUUAAACUAAUCAAAUGAAUUGAAUGAAAUCAAUUGAUUAAGCGAAAUGAUUAUUUAUCCAAAAUCGACCGAAUUGCCCUAAAAUAGGUAAACUGGUCAAAUGUAUCGGAUGAUUUAUUCAAAAUUUACAAGAUCACCCUAAAAAGGGUAAACUGGUCAAAUGAAAUUUGAACGAAACUGAUGAUUUAUUCAAAAUUGAUUGAAUUGACCUAAGAAUGGGUAAACUAAUCAAAUGAAUUAAAUGAAAUUGGUGGUCUAUUUAAAAUCGACUAGAUUGCCCUAAAAAUGGACAAAUUGAUAAAAUGGACUAUAUGAAGAAUAAAAUGGUCCAAUGGACCGCUUAUUUGAAAAUCAAUCUAUCCACUGGUAGCAUCAAAAAUUUAUUGCGAUGCAUUAGUCUAUGAGCCUUCUAAAAUCAAAUUUUGGCCUCAAUUUAUUUAUCGUCUCAAUAGUGAGGAAUUACUUGUGAAUUUCUUCAAAUUAAAGUCCUUUAAGCAAGAAAUUUUUACUAAUUUUGAUAAAAUGGCCAAAAGGUGAUUAUUAGACGCUCAUAUUCCAAAGAUCACUCUAUGAAAAUGACCGGAUCCUACCUUACCUUGUGUACUACCCCUUUGGAUGGUACAAAAUGUAAACGUGCAAGUCUCAUUGGAUUAUAUAUCCGAGACACAGGACGGUUUAUUCCUAGUACGGGAUCCCCUAAAUGGCAUUCCCUUCUAAGGCGGAUGCAUGAUGCCAGUUUAUUAAAGCAAUAAAACAUGCGAUUUAAAGAAAAACGUGCCCUAAGGAGCCCUUUAUACGCCAGGGUAGGCCUAAAAAUGACAUGCCAUUAUUAAUUUACGAAUGAAAUAUAUCGAAAUUUCUAAACGUGCAAUAACCUAUCUAUAAGGGUAGGUCCUAAAAGAGGAUCGUGCCAGACCUCUUAUUUCCUAACGUUUGUAAAUGCAAAAGACAAGAGACAAGGAAAGUUAGUUCAACACAUAAUCACAUAACACGUUGGACAAUAAUAUAAAAAGCAACAAAGAUAUAUAAGGAAAGGGGGCGGGAUCCCUCCCCUCGUGAAUGGUGUCCCUAAUAGGGUAACGUCGACUCUACCCUAGGCAAUUCUAAUAUGGAUGCAUGAGGCUGGGGUUUGCUAAUGCGUCUAGACUCGAUAAGCUCAGGUCCCCGAACCUUCAGACUUGGAAACCAAAGGUCAUCACUCCCAAGGUUUCUUGUCGGUGGCUCGAGCGAUUCCCCAGACAUUGCUACGCACACGUCGUGUCACGGCUACAUGUCUGGGUGAAUGUAAAAACAGUCCUCAACUUUCGACUAAAAGCUAAAAGUUAUUAACCCAAAACUUUAAGCGGAAGAUUGAGUGACCCCUCGGAUCGUGCUACGCACACGUCGUGUCGCGAUCACACGUCCAAGUGGGUCACCUAAUCCUAAUAGGGUGGAGUGGCGUGACAAGCCACUAAAGAAAAAUAAACGAGGGAUGAAUAACUAAAGCGUAUGCACGUAUGCUAGUGCUCGUUUGGAGGGGAGGGAUUGAGAACCAACGCGAGGCUCUAAGGAAAUAUCCCCCCACCCAAAUGCAAUGCAAAGUGCGAGAUCACAAAUAAAACAUACAUCCAAUCAACCAAUCAUACAUACGUGAGUGAGAGAGUAGUUUGAUACGCGCGCGAGGCAAAAGGUCCUAAAAUGGAAAAUGCAACCCUAAUAUCCAAAUGCUACGCAUAACAAGGGUAGAAAACGGAAAAGAAUGGCUAAAUCAAAUGCUUGGACCCACUUAGGAUGUCCCCAGUGGAGUCGCCAAUCUGUCGCGCCCCACUUUUUGAAAUGGUGUGAAAGUAGUGUGUAAGAUAUGUACGUGAAUGUGUGUGAAAGUGAAAAUAAAAGGCCGUGGGAUUGUGAAAUGCGACGGUUUGGCCAAACAAAGGGUUUUAUAUAAAAUGGAGUCGCCACUUGGUAUAGAGUUAGGGUGUACCAAGUCACCCAAAAAGUGAUUUUUGGAAAGAAAAGUAAACAAACCCUUUGUAAAGAAAUUUUAGGUAUACGUAACCAAAGAAAGGGAUCGGGGAUCACAUUUGAUAAGGGAGAAGGCAAAGGCAAAGUCUAAGGCACUCCCCUACCCUAACCAAAGCUAGUUGCGUGACUUAGCCCCACUUUUCCUAAUUCUUCUACCCAAAAUAUGCGUUGCAUGUUGGAUGUAACUAAUGGAUAUGAAAAAGAUGCAAUCCUAAAUCUAAAAUGUCUCUUAUGAGGCUUUUUAGUCCCAACCACAUGAAUUGUGAUGGCCAGUAAGGAAAGCCCUCACAGAGGUCAUGAAUAAUGCAAAUGAGAACUCAAGUAUGAGUGUAAGUGUGCAAAUGUAAGAAAAGUGCAUGUGUGCCAAUUGAGAAAAUAAAUGUGUUUGUGUGCAAGUGGAUGAAAAUAUGGUAUAAUGAUAGUAAAUACAUAUGUGUAAUGGGGUGCAAUUUGUGAGGCAUGGCAUGUGGAUUGAGAAAAAAUAUAAGUAGUGAGAAAAUGUGGAUAAAGAAAGUGAAGAAGUGAUAUGAUAAAAUGAGAGUGUAUGAACCUAGAGGAAUGCAUCAAGUCGAGUACGGGAAUGACUCCUAAUUUCACGACUUUAAUUUUCCCUUUGAUUAGAAGGAAGAACUAGCGUGCUGUGGCUAUUUUGUAGCCACACUCACUCGUUUCCCUUAUCAAAAGGGGACUCUCAAGCAAAUGUACCUUAUAACUAGCAUGAAGAUGCAAAAACCUAAAAUGAAGGGGAAAGGAUUGGAGGAGCAUGCCAAAUACUAGAAAACUAAGAAAAAUGCAUGAAAUGUAGUGAGACAUGCAAGUAUGUACUAGCGAGAGGGGGCCCUAUUGGGUUUAGCAUUGGACUAGCCCACAUCUACACUCUCUCACAAGCAUUGGACUUGUAAGAGCUCGAGAGGACAACCAUGACUAGCAUUGGACUAGCCACGGUUACGUGCAUUUGCAUCCAUCAUACACAUAUAUAAGUAAUGUACAUAAUUAAAGCAAGUAGACAUGUGAGCACGUAAUUCACUUAACACAUAAGCAUGCAUAUCUAGAGGCCAAAACCUAAGAAAGCGAUUAAACACAUAGCACCUAAGCAUGCAAAACACAUAAGGCGAUUAAGAAAGCGAAUAAAACCCUAGCUAUUACACUUGAGGGGGGGCCUACUACAAUCUAAAAGGGGGAAAAGCUUGGAAAAGAAAAUGCCAAAGACUAACUAUUACAAUUUGGGGCUCGAAUACCCUCAAAUGUCUUGCUUAAUUAAAGAAAGCGAAACCAGCAAUUAAACUAUAAAAUUGAAAAGCGAAUUAAAGCAUGCAUAUUCACACAAAACAUAUAGGAGCACGUAGGAAAAAUAAAAUCAAGGAGAUAGAGAUUACUCCUUUUUUGCAAUGGUAGUCGAGUGAAGCGAAAUUACUUUAAACCUCCAAAAACAAAGAAAUGUCAAGGCAUCUCAAAUAAUCACAUAAGUACGAAAUGGAAUCAUAAAAAACAUUUAAAUUUCUAGAACUGUCCAUAUUCACUAGAUAAGGGCCCAAUUGGAAGGAAAAAGAAAGUUUGAGGGAUCAAUCUUGAUUAGUCGUUCCAAUUAUUCGAGCCAUAGUGAGAUAAAGAAAUACUUAGGGGGUCAAAGUGCAAUUUUUAGAAAACCAUUUCAUGCAUGCAACGGAACUUUCUUUGUUUCUGCUGAUUUCUUCUUUCUGCAAUUUCGCAGCUCAUUGACAAUCAAAGAAACUCAACCAAGGCUUCAACAUCCCAGCUUUAAAGUAAGCAAUACAACCCAUAACUUCGACACCCCAACUGACAAGAAAACUUAGAGAGAAAUCAUGCAAAUUCAAUGCAAACAACUUUCGCAACUUCAAAACCAUUCUUAUGCAAUUUCUCUAUCCAUUUCAGAUGCACUCACGCGAACAGACCAAGAAGAGCUGACUGAGUUGCUAACUAAAACAGAAAAUACUGGAGCUUAGCCGAAAAGGAAAAAAAAAAAACAGAUAGAACAAGACUAUCGAACGCAGCAUGCAUCCUAACAAAGACUUUCGGCAGGCUGAUAUCCAUUUUCCAGCAACCAUUUCUGCUGCAACUUUCCAGGUUCAGUUCUUUACCAUGGCUAUGUCUAGUUCCAUGUAAAUUUCCAUCCCAACACAACUAACAUUCUACCAAACAUCAAACUUCGAUCAAGCAAAGAAACACAGCAUUCAACACUCCAACUUGCAAAUUUCAAUUCCAGAAACUCCAUUCCUUCUCGGCAGCUUUAUUGUCAAAACAGCCAUGAAAGAAUAGAAUACCAGACAAAAUGUGCAUGAUCAAAUAACACCCAAACAAAUCUAAUUUUUCCGAAAACCCACCUCUAAAAUUUCAGUUCAAACUUCCAAAAAGCAAAACCCAGGGCAUCAAAACAAGAUAAGCACAUCGUAUCAAAAACAUGUCAAACCUGCUGCAACUUUCUACUGUGGGCUUGCGGUUCAUCUCAUGCAUAUAUUUUCGUACAAAAACUCUGAUAAAACCUUCUUUUCAUUAGCCCCAAACCCAUAUAACCCUCAAGUCAUCAGUUUUAACAUAACCCAAACACAACGGCUUAUCUUUAGCAGAUACACUCGAGGAGAAUCCGGACAAAUGAUAACAACAAAGAACAAAUUAAAGAUCAUGCAAGUCUGAUGAAAAAAGAAGAAAUAUACAAUCUGCUGGGCUUGCUUGAAGAUAUGAGGCCAAAGGGAUUACCUUUAGUACCUUAUGGAGUCCAGUGAACAGAGAAGAAUCGAAGAGAUUGCGUCUAAACGCCGACUUCAAAGAUGCAAACUUUUUGGUGAAGAGAUUUCCAGAGCACCGUAUGAAGGCAGAAACAAAAGUUUCUUCUUGUUCAGCCGCUGCCCCUUUUCUUUUCUUCCCCUUGCCCCAGCUCUCUUUCCAUUGCUCUCUCCCUCGGUUUUCUGGUUCCUUCCUCUCACUCGAUCUCUCCCUCAGCCUUUUUUUCCUCAGCCGUCAACAGGUUCCUCCCAACUCUCCAUUUUUCCUCAGCUUUUACCUCUCUCAAAACCCUAGCCUUUUUCCCACAGCCGACCUUCCCUCUGUUUUCUCUUCCAGCCGUCAAAAACCUACCCCUUAUCUCAGCCCUCAAGACCUUUUUGCUCCUAGCCGUCAACUAUCCUCAGACUUCCGCUCUUAGCCCCCCCUUCUUGGCUGCGGCUGUUUUUGCUUUUAUAUAGCUACCCAGAUUCCUAAACCUAACAUCUAAUGGUGCCGCUGAAUUGAACCUCGAUGGUGAAUUGUAAACCAUCGGAUGAGCCUUUGUACUAUCCUCCUCUUGAGGACCCGAGGAAAAAAAAAGAAAACCACCCCAAAAAUGAGUUGAAAAGGGAGGUAAAAAAUGGCCUCUGCAAUUUUUCUGUGUUGUCCGAAACUUGUAAAAUGAAGAAAUAGCGCGCGUUCCUUAGUUAGUUUUUUUUUUCUUUUUUUUUCUUUUCACUUGAAACAAGCCCGAUUUGAUUUUUGUUGUUUUUCUUUUCCCUUUUUCUUUUUAUUUCCAGAUGAACCAGUUAAUUAAUAAACACAAUGACGAAAAAUAACAAAUUAAGUAAAAUUGAAUGAAAUAGACAAAUACUAAAAAAUAAAACAAAAUUGUUAAUUUUUGUUCGAUUGAUGAUCUUCUUUGUUUUUUUUUUUCAGUGGAUUAAUUAACAAAAAUAAUUUUCUUAACAAAAAUGAGAAUGAGAUAAAUUAAACAAAGAAAUAAUAGUAAAAUAAAUAAAUAAAUAAACAAAAAUCACCUAGAAUAAAUAAAUAAAUAAAUAAAAAGAAAGGCUAAAAAUUUGGUGUCUACACUCAAAGGUCGGAUUGCCCCUCCAAAGAGGCGUGGCCGGGAAACUCGGGUUGCGAGGGUUACCCCUCCUCUUAAGCCUUUGCUCAAUCUUGAUGCCUUGUCAAUCAACUCAAGCAUAUCCAAGUAGUUUUGCAAUUCCACUAACUCGGCGAUCUCAGGUCUCAAGCCGUUAAGAAAUCUCGCCAUGGUAGCCUCUCGAUCCUCCAUAAUAUCUGCUCGAAGCAUGGCGAUCUCCAUCUCCUUGUAGCAGUCCUCCACACUACGGCUUCCUUGAACUAAUAUCUAGAGUCUCUGAUAUAAAUCACAGUAAUAAUGGUUGGGUACCAACCGUUUUCUCAUAGUAGUUCAUAACUCCUCCCAAGUACUAAUUGGCCGUUCUCUAUUGCGGUGCCUGCUAGUGCGCUCUUGCUCCCACCAGACAAUAGCGUAAUCAGUGAAUUCGAGGAUUGCUAGUUUGACUUUUUGUUCAUCCGUGUAGUCCUGGCACUCGAAGACCAUCUCGAUUCGCUGUUCGCAUUCCAGGUAAGCCUCAGGACUAGAGUUGCCUUGGAAUGAGGGAAUUUUGAUCUUGACCCCCUUUAAUCCGUCAUCUGUUCUCCGGUAGUCCUGUUUUGGUCGACGGAUGAAGUCAUCUUCCUCGCUAUUAGAAGCCAACUCCUCGCGAGGCGGAGCGUCUCGAUGGCCGGUGUUGGAUCGAGCUUGAGAAAGCUACAACUGGUCCAUCCUUUGAUGUAGGGACUCCAUAGAUUCCCUAAGCAUUUGUUUAAACUCCGCCAUCAAUGCCAUGUUGUUCAAUUUGGGUCAAAUUUGGAAGGUUCGCUUCCAUCUGACAUGAUGUAGGAAACCUGAAAAAAAUCUGUAGCAAAGCAAAUAUAGAUAUGUAUGCCUCACUCACUCCCUCGCGUGUUUAUACUCAGCCCUCGUGUAUGUCACUCAAAGAGCACUCUAAUAAUCUCACUAAUGCUCUCAAAACUCUUUGAUAGCUUACCUUGAAGAAAUUAGAACUCCUCCCAGGCAAACAAUCAACUUCCAAUUUUGGAUCACGAGAAUGUGGCAAUCCUCAAUGGAAUAGGAAUGAUUGACUCAAAUGAGAGAAAUGGAAGACUAAAACACGGACAGAAAUGAAAAACAAGGACACGACCCAAAAAGAGAAAAAUUAUGCCCUUUUUUUUUAGACGCAAGUUUCCUUUGCUUGUUAAGAGGUCCAAAUGGUGGCUAAGAAAAGGAAGUGGGUGGCGGCUAUCAACCUACAAUGUAGGCAAGGUGGCUGAAAAGAAAAGGGUAAGGAAACGACUAAGGAAACUCCUAAAAUGUAGGAAUAAGUAGAGGCUAAAAUGUAGGAAAAGUUCUUUAAAAGUAGGGUAUGGGUGGCGGCUGGAAUGGAGGCUAAAAAGUAGGAGAAAUGUUGCUAAAGUGGUAGGAAGGUAACUCCUAAAAAGUAGGAAGAGAGAUGCCUACAAUGUAGGAAUUGUGUCUUGAUUGGAAAUCAAACACUCUUGGCAACCAAACAAGACUAGGAAACCAAUCAAAGAAGGUAAUCUAAUCAAGAACUUGGAAACCAAUUGUGCUUAGGAAACAUAAGUAAGACCACGGCUGACUUAGGUUAUUAAUACACCAUGCAAGUCACAACUUAGCCUCACAAGACCGCAAACAAGCUCACAAAUUCUGGUCAAAACAAUUUUACAAUUUUGGCUAGGAGCAAGGCAAGAACAACGAACUAUGGACAAUCAAGAUGGUGCAACUAACCCUUUUCAGGCUUCCCUCCAAUGGGUUACCCAAGAUGCUCCCAAGAAAUUUACUCCAAAACCAAGGAAACCCUUUAUCGACGCCAAAGAGUACAAGAAACUUUUCAAGAGACGAGUAAGACCAAUUCCCAAGACUCAAGCGGUUCAAGAAUUUCAAGAAGUAGUGGACCAAAACUUUUGAUUUUGUGUUUGUUUUGCUUUUGAUUAGUAGUUCGGACCACUAUGUAACCUUUCGAAUGGUUGGAAAUAAAAUUUCUGGAAUUUUAGCUUGACCGAAAUAAUUAUUUUGCUUGCUGUCUCUUUUCCGUUUUUUUUGAACGACAAAGCAAAACAAAGGACGGCUAGGUUUUCCUCUCUUUUUGGACUUGGUCAGCCACAAUUAAUUCGUGUAUGGCUAAAAGGAAAUCCAAAUCAAAUUCACUUGCUCCCAAACUCACGAAUUGCAAGGAGAAAAAUUUUUGGACAGCCCACAAUGGUCCUCCACCCGCGACAACAAACCCUAAAUUCGGACAGUCAAGGGUAAACAAGGUAUGGCAGCCGCUCCUUUUUUUUCUUUCUUUUUCUUUCUUUCUUUUUUUUUUUUUGACUCAAACCCUAGAUAAACCUAAUAACUCAUGACUUCACAACAAGGUGCGGCAGCCUUAACAACUCGACAAGCAAGACAAUGACGCAACAACAACACAAAAUAGAAUUUUAUUCCAUGAAAACAAGAGAAAACAAUUGCGGACUGACUUGGACAGAUUGUAUACGCUUGGACAGAUUGUAUACGCUUGGACAGACUUUUUGACUCCAAAAACAGACAAAAUAGAUUGGAACUUAUGUGGAAAAAUUGAAGACACAACGGACAGAAUUUGACACAAAACAAGGCAAAGAAAAUGAUACCAAAAGGAAGAGAAAACAGCGACACAAAAGAACACAAAAUAAGGAAUAUACGUGAUACCUUCAACUAGCUCUGAUGCCAGCUAAUACGAAUGGCACCAAUCUUGUGAUGCAACCCGUACAGACAGGAAAGGAUCUAGAAGGUAGGACUCACGUUGAUGAACACAAACGCAGCGGAAUCACCUAAAUCCGUUGAUCACGUGGUCAACGAACCUCGGUAUUGGUAGAAGACGCCACAAUCUAGCACGGUUCUAGAUUGAUAAGUUGAAUUGAAUACCUAAAAACGAUUAUAAGAUAUUCAAUGGUGCUUCAAUGAAACUUUGAGAGAACUCUCAAAAUGUAUUUUAUUAAUCAUUAAAAACUGUCUAAUACAACCAACAAUGCUUCCUUAAAUACUAAGCUAGUAAUAAAGACUAAUGGGCCAAGCUACUUACUACGGUAGCCCACAUGGCCUAGACCAUUGACCCAAGGACUGAACGACUACUAAGAUCCAAACCACAAGUUAGUUGGACCUCUAUAUUACACUAUACUAAAGCUAGUAAUGGGCCAUGGCCCUUGGUCGAAUUUGACACCUCUAAACCUCAUGGAUGGCUGAAAGUAGGAUAAUAUAUCUAGCUUCGUUGAGGCCCUCAAUGGCUUUUGACUCUCCACUUGACUCUCGGGCCGCAUGAACCAAUGUUUAUAAUGUUUCAUUCAACUUCUUUGCACGAGCUCGUGUCAUAGGCCUUAAUGGCACCUUCACUUGCUCCACUUGGAUAGUACUUUUGACCUCCUCAUCAAUUAGUGCUUGGGCUGCGACUGUGUGCCCAGAGGAAUUUUUUACAGCAGUUGGUUGUUGAGUCGGAUUCGCUAGUGCUAAUACAGAUUCUGAGAAUCGUUUACCAAUGUUCGUGGGCGAUUAGUUGGGAGAUCGAGUAGUGUCGCAGGUUCUCACAGGGGAGUAUACAGUUCAAGUAUUGCUAUCGCGAGGCCAAUAAGGUUGCGGAUGUGCUGGCCAAUGUGGGGUGUGCCUUGGCUGAGUCGGUGUGUAUUUAUGAAUAUUUCAGGGACCUACCAGGUGUAUCUAGAGGCGAAUAUCGGUUGGAUAAACUAUCAUACCCGUCUAUUCGGCGACGUCGAGUUAAGUAAGUAGGUGUCUUGUAGUUGGCUUGUAUCGUUGAGGUCAGGCUUAUGUCCCCCUCAAGAACUAUUCUGAGGGCAAUAAAUUCAACACUUACUAAAAAAAAAUUAAUUCAUUUAAUUAAUGUCCAAGAAUCUGUUGUAAGACAGAUCUUACUAGAAUUGUGCCUAAGCAGAUUUUUCAAUUUUGUUCUUUCAUCCAAAUAAAGUUGAUAACAAUCCCUAGAGAUAGUCCACCUAGAAGACAUUCUAAAUUGAGGACAAGCAACAUGCAUGACUUCUCUAAAUCUAAUGCCUUCAACAUGUUUAAAAGGCAAUUCAUCCACAAUCACCAUAUAAGCAAUUUUCUUUCUAAUUAACUCAGCAUCAAAUUUCCAUGAUAGAAGUACAACCCUGGUUUCCCCAUCCACUGUUUCAUUUUCCCAAGACACCAUGUCACUUGAUUAGUGUUUUUGUAGUUAGGAUUAUUAGGACAUUGGGUUAUAUGAUUUCUCAAGCUAGUUGUACCAUUAGUCCUACCAUCAGUAGCUAUACAUUUCUCACAAUAUUUACAUUCAUCGUGUUUGAUCUUACCCUCAAAAACUUCUUUGAAAUGUGGCCACACUGUAAAUCUUUUCUUGUAUGGACCUCGUUUCUUUGACCCUCCUCCUCCUAAAUCUGUCAAGCUAGGAGCUGGAGUUGGAGCUAGAGAAAAGUGCUAUUGAUCGAGUCGAGUAUUUGAUUGUUGAACUCAACUUGUGCUUCUAUUGAGUCAGGCUCAAUCUCGCUCGACUAAGUGGAUGAGCCUUGAAGUGUGCUUGAGAUCGACUUGCCAAGUGGGAUUUGUGAAUUGAGUACAAGCUCGAGCUCGACUUGUUUAGCACAUACGAGUCGAGCUCGCAUGAGUUCGAAAUAUCUGUCAAACAGCUUUAAUGUCUAUUUUGGUGAUAUUCAUACAAAUGCCACAAUUCAAUCAUGCAAGUUUUAGGAAACAAACGCUACACCCUAUCCAAAAGUCAACAAAACUUGCUAAGUUGCAAUUCACAAUCACAAAUUAAUAUGUCAGGAAUGAAUUCACAAGGGACAAGCUAGCCAGCCAUAACAGGAUUUGAUAAAAUUCUUUUCAAGUAAACAAAUACACAAACUCUAGCCAAAUUCCAUCCGAGGCAACAUCCAUAAGACCAUAACAGGAUUUGAUAAAAUUCUUUUCAACUUAACAAAUACACAAACUCCACCCAAAUAACUACAUAAAACAAUGCUAGAUAACUAAAACUUUGACAAAGUCCUACUUCACUAAUCACAAGAAAGGUCCAGCUUUACUUAAGGAAACAAAUUCAACAAGGUCCAACAUCAUAUAUUCAAGAAAACAACCUUCAGAUGUCAAGAAGAUCAAUUUCUUCAAUUGUAGAUGAUUUGACAACAUUGAGUGGUUCCUACAAACAAAAACAAGAAAGUUACAACUCCUAACAAAGUAAAAUGAGGUAACAAAAUAAACCAAUAGUAGAAGAUAUAUUUUACUUACAUGAGACUUGUUUUUUAAUCCAUGAAGAUUGCAAAUCCAAUCAUUGUCACAAAGUAGCAUUUGCACCGUUUCAAUAGACAUAGAAGCAUGCUGAUGAUUGAUUAUUCUACCACCGGCACUGAAAGUAGAUUCAGGGACGAUAGUUGUAACUGGAAUAGUGAGUACAUCACUUGCUAUCCUUGACAAUAUAGUAAACGUCCACCUUCUUCUUUCCAUCAACCCAAACAUCAAGAUUUGCAUUUGCAUCACAAAUAUACCUGCCCCUUUUCCAAAUAGAUAUCAAAAUCUAAUUUUUUGGGGAAGCCUUAUCAAUUUCACUAACAAUUACCUGAAAUUUUUCUUUCCCAGUUAGGACAUUAACUUCAAGCUUUUUAGCAGCUUCUCGGGUAGAUUUACUUAUAAUUUUUGCAUGUUUUCGUUCCACAGCUUCCCUUUGUGGUUUCUCAUCAUGAGAUAAGAUGUGAGCAUCCACAUAUUCAUUAUAGAGUUCAUAAAGAAUGCAUCUAAUCUCAUCAAUAUACCUAGGAGCCACAUUCUCGCCAUAAAUAACUGAAAAAGUAUGAUUAACAAGGACCAUUUUACACCUUGGAUCAAGAAUGACAUCGAAAGAUAUCAAAAUAUUGCUUUCCCCCUAAUACUUGUGAAAUUUUUGUACCAUACUUUCAGUCAUAGACCCAAUAUGAUUAGACAAGUUGAGAGUUUUUUCAUUUAAUAGCUCCUUAAUCCUAUACAGUUCUACAAGAAAAAGGUUAGUAGUUGGGUAAUCGGAUCCAAAAAUGAUAUUGGUGAUCUCAUAAAAAAAAUACCCAAAAAUUACAUAUUUCUUCGACUUUCAUCCACUCAUACUCACUUGGGACAUAGUGAAACCCAAGAUCAAUGUCCCCAUAUCUUGGAAAUACAUCCCUAAAUUCUAGAGUCAAAACCAACAUCGAAUUGGUGUUGUUCCACCUAGUUGUGCAGUCCAAAAUGAGCUUUUUAGAAGGCAAUUAAAUCUAUUUUUUUUAAUAUUUUGGCAAAGUCAUUGAGGCGAGACUCUGAAAUUUUCAAAUACUUGAUCCCCUCUCGAACAACAUCAAUCACAUCAACAAUUUUAUUAAACCCAUGUUGAACAAGCAAAUUAAGUAUAUGUGCACAACACCUAACAUGACAAAUUUUUCCUCCAAUGUUUAACCUUUGUCUCAGAGAAAAAUUCUCUUUAAGUCUCGUAAUGCAUACAUCAUUCUAAGACGCAUUGUCUACAAUUAUAGUAGAAACCUUAUGCUCAAUCCCCCACUCAAGAAAGCACUUACUUAAGUAUCGACAAUAUUUACUCCUAUAUGAGAAGGUGCGACAUUACAAAAAUUUAGGACCCGUUUUUGCAACACCUAAUCGCUAUCAACAAAAUGCCCUGUCACAACCAUGUAUGGAAUUUUAUGAGUAGAUUUCUACAAAUCUGUAGUUACCCAUUGGCACCUUUGAAUAUAUUUCUCAACCUUCUCUUUUCAAGCAUGUAAGCAGUCACACAAUCUUCCUUUACUAUUUGCCAGUUAAUCUUUUAUAAAACGGAGAUGCAACUUUCAUGAAUUUGUUAAAAACAACAUGGUCCAACAUAGAGAAAGGAUGCUUAUGUAUAAGAACCAUAUGAGCCACUAAUCUUGUACCUUAGCAUGAUGAUAGGAAAAAUUAGUAAUAGAAAUUAUACCAUUCGAGGGUCCUCCAGUGAAGGAUAAGACCUGCUGCCUCUUUCGGUUUCUAAGAGCCAACUUCUUCUGUAGACAAUUUUUCAGGUGACGCUUGUGCUAAGAAGUGGCUCCAGAUGCACUCUUGGCAAACAGCUUCUUGCAGUGAUUGCACUGCACUUUCAAUAUUUCAUCGGCCUGCUUUACUAUUGUCAUAUCCUCCCAUAUUGUUGACUUCUUUUUCCUUGCUUUUUCUUCAAAUAGUUUUGCACCUUCAUCGGAACAUUUUUGGUCUGUUUCUGCUUCUUCAUUCGACUAUUCUAAGAUAUCUAAAUCCAGCUCUUCUUCGCUCAUCUUAUCAGCAUUUUCCUCCGCCUCAAGUUUUUGAUCUACAACUUCAUUUCCUACCUCCAUAACGGGACUUGAUGAUGAUCCUUAGUGUGAAUGAAAUGAAGGACAGUGAACAUUUAUGAAAUUCCACAAAAUGAGUGGAAGGAGCAUAACGAACAGCAAAAUCCUAUACAAAAUACCAAAUGAGCUCAGCUUCUUGGUUCAUAGUUAGAGUGUUGAUCAAUUGUUGACUCAAACUUAUGCUUCAAGUGUCCGAAAUAGACAAACAAACAAGUAUAUGGAAAUAGACACCUUAAGGAUAUAACAUAUUUAUGUUGGAGCACUUUCUAAAUCCAAAAUGCCUGAAACAGUUGAAGGCCAGACUGACUCCAAUAGCUAGACAUUAGCAUUGAUAAACCGUUUGACACAAGUGGUACAAAAUUAUAGGCUUUAAACAAAACGGGACAAAUUUGAGUCCAAUCCAAUUUGAAAACUUUAGGUUAUUAAUAACUUAUUAUAUAAGCCAUCAGCAUAUAUAUGAAAAAACACUAGAUUUAGAUUAGUUAUGUCAUAUAAUUUAUUUAUACAAAUUGUUCAUUAACACUCAAUGAGAGAGUCCGAAAAUUUUAUGUCUUAUUUAAAAUUUAGUGUAUGCUACAUUUUUUCCCUUUGUUAUUGAUUGAUUUAUAUGUUCAAAUGUUCCAUUUAAUAAACAAAAUGAAUCGCUACACUUUAGGAUAAAUUGUAUCCUUUAUACCAUAAAAUAUUAGUAUUAGUUAGAAUUUGUUGUGGUGGCAGAAUGAUUAAAAAAAGAGAGAGAAACCAAACGAAAAUAAGCAUGAAUGACACUUGUCCUCACCACCUGCCCAAGUACAUGCAAAUUCAUUACUCAUCACUAAUGAAAGAAUCAGAAAUAGUACUUUAAGUUACAGUCGGUUGAGUGGAAACUAGAAAGAAACCAUUUGUUGUUUUCAUUUCCUUUGCUUACUAAGAACCGAUAGAGAGUUAGCGUAGGAAAACUAAAAGAAUCAGCCGCCACCACCUUGUUCUUCCUACUCAUCCAAAGUUGAGAGUAAAGCCAAAGGACCAGCAGCUUCCGUUCUUUCUCUGCAAAUUUUGAACUUUAAUUAGGCCACAAGGAACACUAGCCCAGUUAGUUAAAACAGCGGGUAGAAGCUGAGGAUUUGUUUCAGCCAAGAAACCGUGAGAAACUAGAGGUGAGCAUCACUAAGUUUCUACUGAUUUUUUUUUUCUAUUUCAGAUGAAUGAAGUUUUGGCUUGAAAUAAUAGUAAGAAAACAAGAAUUUAGUAGAGAAAAGGAUCUUUAAAGCUGGAAACAUAUGUUCAUGCAUAAAACCUGAGACGAAACUGCAAAUUUGCGACUGUUUCAUCCUCAAAUCAUGACGGAUUGUGUCUGCAUGCACUCCAUUUAGACUCUAACUCCUUUAUCUACACAUGCAUGUAGAGUUUUACUAGAAAAUGGGAGAAUCAAGUGUUGAUUUGAAGAAAGACUGCACUGAAAAUUCUGUUAAGAAUGUUGUUUACUGCUGAUAUCGUUGAGUUGCAAGUUUCAGUUGUUUUCCUUUUCAAACUUGUAAGAUGAUGCUCGCAUACACUAUAUAUGCUUCUCACUUCCCUAAUCUCGGUGUGCAUGUAGCCUUUGAUUUGAAUCAAGCAUGAAAGGGGCAAGUUGUAGGAUAACCAUUGCUGGAAAUAUGGUUUUAAAACUGCAUGCUAGCCGAUGGCAUAUAGCUGGAAAUUUUCAACUUUCCUUCCAAAUGUUUUGCUGAGUAUUAGUUAAAAUUUACUCUGUGUCCUUCCUUACCUUAACCUAAUCAUACAUGUAAUAUUUGAGAAGUUAAAAUUAGGAAAGAUCAACUUUUAAAGCAAUAACAAAACUAGAAUUUCUAGACAGCAAACAAAAGGGGAAAAGCUGCAGUUUUGGUUCUUUCUUCAAAAAUUUUGAUAGAUUAUAAGUGGAAUUCAUGCUUUAUGUCUUUAUAAUGUUUAUAGGGUGAUGCAGGUGAACUUCUGUGGUGAAAACUUGAGUUUUAUGGCUGGUUUCUUGCUGGGAUUUCCAGCAUUAACCAAGAGGAAAGAAAGCUUGGUUUUCCAACCUUUCCUACGAAAUUUCUAAGAGUUUAAGCUAGGAAACUCCUACUAUAUUUCAGUACCAUUUUUAUUUAGUGUUGCAUGCUAGUUUUACUUAGUGGAAAUUCGUUUAAUGGGGCUGGAGUGACUAUACAAGGAUUGUAUGCUGUGAGACUAUUGUUAGUUGCCCGAUUGGGAAUUUAGCUGCAAAUUUUUUUUAAAUAGAGAUUUUUGGAAAGUUUUGAUGGAUUUUCGAAGCUGCAUGUUUUAAUUUCAGUGUUUAGGUCAUUGCAUGUUGGAUUUGGAUAAUAACUUGGUAUAUUGAAUGAAAAUCUUGGAAGAUACAUGGCUGGAAUUUCAGUUUUAAAACCCGAAUGACUGGUUAUGCUCUCUCAAGCUUAACUUCCAUUUUGUGAAUUGAAGUUUAUGCGAAUAUUGGUUAAAAAUUAUCCUAUAGUACUCUGUUUUUGUUUGAGUAUUAUGACUACUUUGAUUUAGGAAGAAAUAUUGAGUCUUUGGGAAAGAAAACCGGAGCUUGUUGAGCUUACAAGACUAUUUUAGAUAGAUUGGAAUAGUUGAGGAGUUCAAACAGUUUUCUGAAAUUUUAGAGGAUUUCAAUCAAACCUUGAACUAAGAACCACCUAUUAAGUAUAACAGUAAAACACAUGUUGAAUUUUAGGAGAUUUGAACAAAGGAAAUAGUGAACUUUGGGCCAAAAACAUAAAGCAUGUCCUGCUAAAAUCCAUUUUGAACAAUCCUAACUUAGUACCUAGAUUCUAGGUUUUCACUGUGUUCCUAAGUUGGAAAUGAACCAAAACUGAUCAAAAUCUCUUUAAACUACCUUAUAAAAGUUUUACUUAUAAAAUUCAUCCAAAAUUUAGGAUAAAAUCCAGGAACUUCAUAAGAUCCCUAAAUUGCCAAAUUCUAGAAAACUUACUUUGAACCUUGAUUAUAAAUAAUCCUUAGAAUCUAAAUCCUAACUUUUAUUGCCAAAUAACCACCUUACCUGACUUUGUUAAAACAUGGAAUGUUAGGGUUUAAAAAAUUAAAAUUGCCUAGACUUUGAACCUAUGAUGUACUAGAAUUAGAUAAGUAUUAAGAUCAUCUUAAAACUCCCUAUAUAUAUAUAUAUAUAUAUGUAUAUAUACAUAUUUAAACAUCUUGGAUUAUAUAUACACAUAUAUACGCUUUAGUCAAAAUAAUCAUGUGAGCCUUAACUUCACCACUUGGAAAAAUAAUGAGUAGACUAAUAAGUUUAUAAAUAUCUCAAGACCCGAGGGAGAUCGGAGGAGGGUCCAAGCACUGAGGAGUAAACUCAAAAUACUUUGGAUGAGUGUUUCCACAUUUGUGUAUUUAAAUUGCUUAUGUGUUACUUAAACGAUGUUUAUAUGAUUAUACUAGUUCUUUAUUGUGAAGUGUUUUCAAUUAUCCCUCGCUUUCUAAGUCGAGAGUGUACUUUAUCGCACUCGACUUAACUUGAGUUUGAAGGUUGAUAAUUGACCUAAUUUGAGUUUGAAGAUUGAUAAUUGACCAAGUGUUAUUGUAAGUAUGCAUGACUAUAAGCCGUAUACAUACUUUAUUAAACUGGCUGAAUUGGGCCCCAAAACCCUUUGUUCAAUUGACUAUUCGAGCCAGCAAAAGGGAUUGGUUAAAUGGGACGAUAGCUUUGGGUAAGUGUUUCAAUAUGCUCGAGUAUUACCACAGAAUAGCAGAUUACUGAACUGAUAUGGUUAUCUAAGUGAGGGAAGCGUUUACUAUUUUGAAGGUUAUAAGGAGGAGUUCAGUGGAGUGUGUAGUGUAUUGAAAUGGCCUUAAUGCAAGCACUGUAUUCGUUUGAAAGUGAUUAUUCAAUGAAGUGUUCUUUAUUUUAUUCAAUGAAUUGUUUUUUUCUUGCUUAAUUUUGAUUAUGCGUUAAGUGUUUGAUGAUUAUUGCUUGCUUGGGAAACCUCACUGGGUUUUGCUCAAUUCAUUAGUUUGUUUUCCUUUUAGAAAGGGAAGAUAGAAGUACGAAGUAGCCAAGAGUUAAGCCGAGACCUAAAAUUUUACUUGGAAGAUUGCUUUUGUACUUAAUGAAUUGAUUGAAUAACUUGUAUUUUGAUCCAUUUAGUUGUACAUAUAAUUAUGGAUGAUUUGGAAUAUUGGAUGGUUUGUAAUAUUUAAUUGUAGCGUUUUAAUGCUUACCUUGGAUUUAAUGCUAUUGAUUGGAAGAUUUUGAGUGAGUCCUGAUGAAAGCAAGGCAGGCGGUCCACUUAAGCCCUAUGGUUCACCCUAAGGUCCAGCUGGGUCGUCACACUCAAAGCACCAUUGUAACAAAAAAUUCUACUUACUAGAAAUCACUGUGGUUUCGUGAAACUAACCAAAUUGGACUGGUCAAUGGUUGCUACAGUGGGUGGAAUGACAGCUAGUCCACUGGUCUUGGUCGUGAAAAUAGAGGAGCUUUCGUUGGUGGUGGUUGACCGUGAGAAAUUGAAAAGUUCCUUGUUCCUUGCAGUGGUUUUGGUGGAGACUAGAGAGCAGAGAUGGCUGGAGGUCCAAGGUUGUGGUAACUGGUCUUGGCCGUGAAAAAUGGAGUUUGCAGUAGUGGUGGUUGACUGUGACAAAUGGCUUGAAUCCUUGGUUCCUUGCAGUUGUUUUUCGUGGAGAGAAGAGAUGGCUGGAUGUCCAAGGUUGUGGUGAUGGCUAGAGGUAGCUGCGACUGGUGGUUCAGUGGUGGUACGAAUUGUAGGUGGCUGUGGCCUGUGGUGUAUAGCGGAGAUGCAGAGACGGAGUGAAAUAUCGAAGAAGAAAGAACAAUGAAAAAUAACCCUAAUUUCAUGUUUCUAUUCCUCUAAAUUAUAAAAUGACAUAUGUGCCUUUCCUUAUUGAACCCAAAUGAGCUACUCGAAUAAUAAACGAUUCAAGCUUGCUCGGCUCGUUAAUUAAAUAAGUAUAUUUCUAACUUGAACUUGACUCGUUUACUAAAAUUGACAAGUUAAGUUCGAGUAUUAUUGAGUCGAGCCUAUUCGAAUUUUCGACCUACUCGUUCCAUUUAACAGCACUAAGUAGGACUUUCAGCACACAAAUCUGGUUGUGUCUCGGCUUGAUUGGGAUUGUUACUGCUUCCAGUAGACAUGGCUGAAAUAAUUUGGAUAAUCAUGCAAAAAAUCAUGUCAAAUGUGUGGUCAAUCAUACAAAAAAUCUCAGCUUUGCAACUUUAUGUUCCUUCCCUUAUUAUGAAUAAUGCAAAAGCUCUUGUGGUCAACAAUGCAAAAUCUCAUCUUUGUGCCUAUAUGUGUACAAAAAAUUAUUACUCAAGUCAACAAUCAAUUCAUAUUUCAGCUUCACAAAAUAGGCAAGAUGAAGAUAUCAAAACUAUUGAGUUAAGUAGACAAGUAAAAUGAACUAUUUACAUUAUUAUUCCAACCCUUAAUAGCAAACAUUUAAAGCAAGAGUCAUAUAUUAAAGGGAUAGUUUAGGGAUAUAUGAACUUACCUAAGCGAACCAGCAAGGCAGUAAACCCAGAGAUGAGUAGCGAUUGGCACUUUGGCAGCGGUGAAGAGAUGGAGUAAGAAUGGAGGUCAGCAACGAUUCCGCUGCGGAGUGAGGUGGGCUAAGGUGAAGUGAGAACUGAGGUGGAGUGAGGUGGAGAGGAGAUUAGGAGAAGAAGAAGUGGCUGAAGGUAGAGAGGAGGAGAAGAAGAAGGCUUAGGCUGCGACUAGCGUAUUUUUUUCAGAUUGAUUUAGGAAUUGUGAUUUGGGAGUGGGACAAUCAGACCAAGUAUCGAACACUAUUUGACUACAUGAGUGAUUUUUUUAAUUUUUAAUUUGCGAUCUGAGGCUCUAAAUUGUUGUACAUUCAUUAUGCUCCUCAUAGUAAAAUUUUUAUUCCUGAUUUGAUAUCCAAAAUUAUUCAUAAUUUAACACAUUAGUCCUAUUCUAACCAUUUGGAAAAUUAGUUCGUAUUCAUUUGAUCACCUAUGACUAGUUAUAUCUUGAAUCCUUGAUCAAUGAUUUAAGGAACAAAUAAAAAGUGAUUAAUUUAAGCCAAAAUACAACUUAAACUGUACAAUGAUUAGCGAUAAUUUGCAAAAUUAUAAUUUAUAAUGAUUAGUGAUAAGUAAUAUUAUUUACAAACUUACAAAUUAGGAUGAUAAGUGAUAAGUGAUAUUAGUUACAAACUUAUCAUUUACAAUAAUUAGUGAUAAGUGACUAAUUUACAAAAUUAUAAUUUGUUUUAAAUCAAAAUGCAACUUACUUAUGUUAUUGUGGACUUGUAUGCACAAAAUCACUUGUUCACUUACAAAUUACAAAUUAUGUAAUGCAUUAAACUUACAUUUAUUCUUAUUUCUUAUAUAGCUUAUUUUUUUGAAAAUUCCCAAAUGACUUAAUUGCUUUCAAUGUUGAAAGCUAAUACACUAAUAUGUUGACAGGCAAUAAUGUACCAAAGUACCAAUAUCUAAAUUCUAAUUACUAAUUAUGAUUAAUAUUUAGUACUAUACUUAUGCUGAUUAAUUAUUAUCUAAUUCUAGUCAUGUAUAAAAGAAUAAGUAUUAUACUUAUGUUAUGUAUUAUUGUAUAUUUAUAUUAUUAUAGUCAUAUAACAAAUACUAAAAUAGUAUAUUGUACAUCAUUAUAUAUUAUUAUUAUCAUAAGUACUUGAUAAUACUAUAUACUAACUCUUAUUAAUAGCAUUUACCUGUAUAAUAUAAUAAUACAUUAAUAGUAUAUACCAAUACUGUAUAGAAUUUACCUAUAUAUUAUAUAAAUUUAUAAACUAAUUUGGUAUUCAAAUGCGGUAAUACAAUACUCUAUUUCAUUUUGCCGAAUUUGAAUUUGAAAUCGGUUAUUAUCAAAUCGAUAAUCUUAUUACCUAUUUCAUAUCAUAUUAGAAUUUGAUAAAUUUGAUAAUACCGUUUUUGUACCAAAUACCAAAUAUCCGAUUUCAAAUUGCCAAAUUAAAUUUGAAAUCGAAUACACAUUCGGUACGUACGAAAUUUGUUCACCCCUAUUCCCAACACACAUAGAGAUGGCUUAGACUUCUGAAAUUAUGGGCAAAAAUCAUGCCGUUGAUUCUAUUGGACAAUUUGUAUACGAAGGGCAUUGUUGUCCAAGUGCCGAAGUGGCUUUCUCUGAUUGGAACUCACGGUUAACUAACAACAGAGGUAGAUUAUUCUUCUCAGUCCAAGGUGUAGAUUCCUUUCAUUCGAGGUUGCAAAGUGCAAGUCAACUCCACUUCUAGGUGGCACAGUGCAAUUAACCCAUUUUAUAAUUCUGCACAUGCAAUUAAAAGUAUUUUGUUAUUGAGUCCAAAACAGCAUCUGAAACUUUAUAUUCAGGUUCAAUUGACCACGUCUCAUUGGAAUUCACCACGGCUCAGAAGUUGGGAAUAGAAUAUUACCGAUGUUUGAAAUUCGGACAGUUAAUUGAAUUAAUAAGGUAUUCGGUUCAAAAUUCAACCAGUUGGAUCGGUUAAACUCUAGUUUAAUGAAUUUGUUUAAAAAAUAAUUUAUAUAAAUAUAUAUGCACAAAAUAAGACAUGCAUUGGACUAAUUUAAAACUUUAUAUGAUAAAGAAUUUAAUAUUUUCAAAGAACUUGGAUUUUCACAAAUAAAUUUUUUAAAUUAUAAGUUGAAUUGUAUCUACCAAAAAAAUAAUCUUAAAUCUAACCCAAAAAUACCACAUAUUCUGAAGUUGUUCAAAAUUCAUGUUUAUGGGAAUUAGGCAUUGGGUGUGUUUGGAUUACAAGAUUUUCAAAAAAAAAUUUCAAAUUUUGUUUGGCAUGUAUCAUACAUACAAUUUUCAACCACUUUUUUAUUUCAUAUACAUCACAUUACAAAAAGUGCUACAAUAAAUAUUUCAAAUAACCUCUUAUCCAAACAAACCCAUUGUGAAUUUAAAUUUUAAUUCAAGUUUUUAGGAUUUAAAGAUUGCAACCUAAAAAAAAAGAAGUUUAGAGUUUGAAGGAAGUCAGGAAAAUAGAAAAUAGAAAUGCAAACCUAAUAAGAGGCAAAAAAUGAGAAGAAAGUAAGUGGAUGUAGCAUUUAAUAAUUAAUCUUUAGGGUUAAGGAAAAUUUAUUCUUUUUUUUUUCAAUUGAAUAGACCAAAAAAAAAAAAAAACUGCCUGUUCAAUCCAAUUCGCACGAUCCACCAGUUUUUAACUCCAAUCAACCCAAAAUAUGAAUCGGAUCGUAGGUAUGAUCAGUUCGCGGUCCAAUCGGUCAAACCGACCAAUUCGGUCCAGUUUUCAAAACAAUGAAUAUUACACGUACUUUUGUUUUCCUUUAUAGUAAUAUGGUAACGAGAUUUAUGAAACUUUUGACCUUUUUCUUGGUUUCUUUUGGGGGGAGUGGGAGAAUGUGGCUUUACAUGUAAUUAUUUGGUGUAAGAUCUUUUCUUUUGGGUGCAAAUCAGUAAUUGUACUGUUAAAGCUGUUAGUUGCUUCCUGGUCUUACAUCCCAAGGAUGGGUAACCAGUUGCUUUGCUUAAUUUUGCCUAGUUUUCUUCAACUUACAUACUAUCCUCUUUCAUAUACCAUUUUUUCUGAGCAAAUAAUAAAAACUUUUAUUGAUCAGCAACGAAAGUUUGUACACAUGGCAGUCUCCUCUCAUCCACCAACUAACUACUACACCAUUCUCUUUCUAUAUUGGCAAACAUUUCCAGUCCACUCCCUGCUCCAGUACAAUCUCCCAAUUUUGACGUGUUUUAGGAAAGCCUGACCAAUUACUAACUACAAAACAAACUGCUUCAAUAAUAGACUUCAGAUGUUUGUCAUGUGUCAUAGGUUUCAACUGAAAAAUCACUUCUUACCUCUGUUGUUUCUUUCCUUCGUUUAGGCCAUCUCCACUUUCCAUUCACUAUAAUUAAUGAUACAGAGGCAACUGGUUUGCAUCCAAAGCUACAAAGCAGGUUGCCUGUGAAGCUUUUAUACAAUGACCCAAGGGGAUGCCAUGUAUCAAACCAGAAAUUGGUUUUGGUUCCAUCCCCCACGAUGUGUCUGAUGAUGGGUUGAGCCAACUGUCUAAUCUAUAAUAUUUUCCUCUAAACCUAGGAUGCAUUUAUUGGUAUCUUAAUAGCCCAUAGUGACUGAUUCUUUAAGAGGAUGCUAUGUACCCAUAUUACCGAUCAUGUGUCCUUCUUACUACUAAUAUUCCAUAUUAACUUCACAAUCAGAUAUUUGUUCUAUAUCUCAGUACUAUAUAAUCCAAAGCCACCUUCCUGUUUUGGUGCACAUGCCUCCUUCCAUCUAACUUUAGCACCAUACAUUUGCUUAAUCUCUCCUGCCCAAAGGAAUGAAGCCAGUAAAAUAUUCACUUUUUUUUUUAUCGCUGCUUUAGGCAAAAUAAAUACACCGCACCAGUGUAGAUAACACUGCUUGAAUCAAUUGCAACCGACCUCCAAAACUCAAUUUUUUGUUUGCCCACCCCUUGAUGUUUUGCUCCAGUUUAUUAAAAAUAGGCCGACAGUCUUUGUAUGAUAGCUUAGAACUGAUUACUGGUAGAUCCAGGCAUUUUACAGGUAGCACACCCCUUGACAUCUUCAUCAUAUCACAUAGACCAGUGGCAUCCUGUACAUUCAAACCAGCUGUAUACACCUGACACUUCUGCAGAUUUGGCCCUUUCCUGUAUUUAUGUUGCGUGGUACUAGUUAAAGCAAAUUAUCCGGUUAUCCAGCAAGCAUUUGAAACGGCAUAAUUUUGACCAUUCAGCUUUUAAGAGUAUGAAUUAAUGUUGGCAUAUUAAAUCAAAACUCAAAAUUAAAAAUUUUCAUAUUAUGAUUUAGUAGUGUUUUAGUUAAGUUAGGGUUUUAGUAAUUCUAUUAGAGUCAAGUUAUGCUAGUUUUAUUGUUUAGAAAUUAGUAUCUUAUUAGGAAAUUUCUUAUGGUGUAAGAUUUGUUUAUCAAGUCCUCUAGUUUAUAAAGAGGGGGUCAUAUUAUUGUGUUUAGUUGAGAAAAAUGAAGGAUUGAGAGUUUUGUUCUUAUGAUGUGAUUAAUAAAUUAUUAUUGGUAUUAUUCCUCUUCUCCCACACAUAUUCUUAUAUGUGUAAAUUGCCUCCCCAUAUAUUUUAAUUUUAUCAAAUAUAUCUCCCGUAGUUUUCUAUUUGAAUUUUUUAGUUUUACAUCUGGUAUCAGAGCCUGAGGUUCUACAUGCUGGGGUUCCUGUACACAUUGAAAAAUUGACCCGAUUAUGACGGUUAAUUGUGGGUGUUUUUUUCGCUGUCAGAGUUAGAGUAUAAAAAUUGCUGCGAGGAAAUUAAUUGAUCGAGUUAGACCAUAAGGUUGAUUAUGGAAUGUCUAAUUUGUGAGGAUUGGACCAUAGUACUGGUUCGGAAAAAUUGUCAAAUUGGUUGUGGUUGUGAAAACAGAGAUCGGAGAAGAAACAUGUUAGUUGAAUUAUGAUUAUUAAAAUCAUAAAAUGAAUUGUCAAUAAGUUGACAUCAAAUUGGGCAACGAAAACAGUCUAUCUAGAAGCAUGGAUUAUUUUCACAAGUGAAAAAUAAGUUGAGCAAUGAGAUAAAUUUGUCCAGGUACAUGGAAUAUUGCAGCAGCAAAAAUCAAAGGAGAUUAUUGAUUGUGAUGGUGGUGAACCAGAUCUAAGAGAGAGUUUGAUUUGAGGGAGGCAAUGUUGGCAUAUUAAAUCAAGACUCAAAAUUAAAAAUUUUCAUAUUAUUAUUUAGUAGUGUUUUAGUUAAAUUAGGAUUUUAGUAAUUCUAUUGGAGUCAAGUUAUGUUAGUUUUAUUGUUUAGGAAUUAGUAUCUUAUUAGGGAAUUUCUUGUGGUGAAAGACUUGUUUAUCAAGUCAUCUAGUUUAUAAAUAAAGAGUCAUAUUAUUGUGUUUAGUUGAGAAGAGUGAAGGAUUGAGAGUUUUGUUCUUAUGAUGUGAUUAAUAACUUAUUAUUGGUGUUUUUCCUCUUCUCCCACACAUAUUCUUAUGUGUGUAAAUUGCCUCCCCACCUAUAAAAACUGUUUGUCAUAAACCCAAUAUUUACUCAAGUAAAAACAAAAAAGAUAAAAAGAGCACUAAAGAAUAGUCUCUAGACUCUUACCAGCAAAGGCUGAUGCGGUAGCAGAAGUGUAUAAUAAGGAUUUGUUUCACCAACGAAAUCUAUAGAAAGAACAAAGGAAAAGAAUUACAUUCUAACCCCUAAAUAUGAAUCAAAUAUUCGAGAAUAAAGAGAGAAAAUUCUCAACAAUUGGAAUAACCAAUUAGGAAUUUCAGAAACGGUUGAUGGAGGAAGAAUAAUUACAAAGAUUCUAGAUAUGCCUAUUUAUAGAGCUACUUAUAGUAAAGACAUAAUAGGAAUAGGAAACUUAUAAAAUAAGGUAACUUCUGAACUAGGAAAGCUCCAAAAUACCUAAUUAGAGCAUGAAACGAACUAAUACUAAACUCUAGGAAAAUACAUCGAAAAAUAGGAAACAAUAAAACCAUGAAAAUAACAUAAAUUUGAAUUUUAAAUAAUUUAUUUUGAUGGGGACAAACAGUCCCUGAGUUCAGGGGGCAACUCGUUCUACAUCAAACUCCCUCGCUUGAAAAGAACUCACCCUCGAGUUCCACGAGGGAGCUUGACACACAAUCUAUGAGAAACUACAGCAAUCACUCUCCUACAAAUCUUGUAAGGAUGAUACUUGUGAUGGAAUCUAAGCACCCAUUCAUGCUUAUAAGAAACUCCAUGCGAUCCUAGGAACCGUAUGGAAAGAUCAACUCCUAUAAUUUCACCAGCUUUCAUUGUUCAUACAAAUUUUAUGAUAUUUUCCCGAUUGAUAAGGAACUCAAAUAUCUAGGUCUUCACAGGAAAAUAUUCUUCAAUUGGAGAAAAUUUGUCAAAAAUAAUUUCCUUACCAAAAGUAAAAUUCUCAAGAUCCAGGACAGCAACUGGCUAAGCAAAUUUAGCUAAUAGCUCUUUUAAGUCAUUGGCCUUCAUGGUUGAAGAAUCAUGAACGCUUGCAUCUGUUGUCGAAGAGCUAAAUUAUUUUCGGCUUCCAAAAUCUCAGUGUCUUUACUUGGGGUUCUUCAAUCAGGAACCUUUGCCAAGACGCGGCACUAUCAACUCCCUUUAUACCUGUAGUUACUUCACAAUUUUCAUGCACAUUAUUGAGCAAUUUAUUUUGAACUGAAGUAGGGGACUUAGGCUGCAAACUCAGCAUCAACGGCAUAAAAAUAACGCCAUGGUCACAUUCACUAUGUGUUGUUGCAUUCACUAUAUAUAUAUAUAUUGUCACAUUCACUGUGUGUUGCAUCGACAUCAUACUGCCAUGGUCUACCAGCAAUAUGUGACAAGUGUCUAUAUCCACAACAUCACGUAGAAUUUCAUCAAUAUAUUUAUUAAUUGAAAAUGAAACACGACAUCUUAAAUUUACCUCAACAAAUUCAACCCCUUUUAUCCAACCAACCGAUAAGGUUUUGGAUGCUCUUUGAUAGACAAUUUUAAUUUAUCAACCAAUUCCUUAGAAACCAUAUUUGAAAAACUACCGACAUCAAUUAUCAAAUAGAAUUCCUACAUCUGGUUCAGAAUAAUUGAUUUCUCUGGGUCUCUUCUUCCUUUGGUGAAAGAUUGGGAGCCAUAUACAUGGACUGCUGGAUGAUUGGUUUAGAUUUUCCUACAAUUAUUGGUGUUAUAGUUUCACAGAUCAAAUGCUGACAAUGAGUGAUCCCGCAAACGCGAUCUUCAUAGAUUUGAUAACUAUGAGAACUCAAUCAGAUUGCACGAAUACUAGGCUCAUCAAGAGCAAUUCUCCCAACCGGACGACAGUGAUGUACAGGUCUCUUGGAGUAAUUGUUUGCUUCAAACUCUACGUAUAGCUCAUGAAGAAGACGUUCCAUUCGGUCUAUUCGUGCUUCACCAUGAUUUAAGGUAGUCUCGAAACGAUCCAAACUACUAUGGAAUGAAUCAGGAUUCAUCACAAGCGAAUCUUGCUCUGAUACCACAUGAUGCGGAACCAUGUUUAAGGAAUUGUUUCACAAAUGAAAUCCAUAAAUAGAAAGAACAAAGGGAAUGAAUCAUGUUCUAAUCCCAAAACACGAAACAAAGAUUCAACAAUAAUGAGAAAAAACUAUCAAAAAUUGGAAAGACCAAUUAGGAAUUCAUUAAUUAAUAGUUGAUGAAGGAAGAAUAAUUACAAACAUCCUAGAUAUGCCUAUUUAUAGAGCUACUUCUAGUAAAGUCAUAAUAGGGAUAGGAAACCUAGAUAAGGUAGCUUUUGAACUAAGAAAGCUCCUAAAUACCUAAUUAGAAUGGGAAACCAACUAAUACUAAUUCGUAAGAAAAUACAACGAAAAAUAGGAAACAACAAUAGAACCAUGAAAAUAACCUAAAUUUGAAUUCUAAAUAACUUAUUUCAAUAGGGAUGAGGGAUCCCUGAACUCAGGGGCAACUCGUUCCACAACAGAGGCAUACUAAACCGUCAAACAAAUUUGUUGUAAAUAUAACAAAAGGAUUGUGUGGACUAGUAAGCACAAAGAAUCCUCAAGAACAAAAAUGGUUAGAUGAAAUUUUUUUUAAAAAAAAAACUCUGAACCAUAGAGAAUGAUUUUUCCAAAUCAAAAUUCACGUGAGGCGUAAUUUUUUAGUUUGGAUUUGAGCAAUGGACACAAUAAAGAAAAACUCUCAAAGGAAAAUCCUAGAGGAGAAAACUUUGACUAUAAAAUUUAGGAGAGAAGAAACUUUUAUUAGAAAAUCUCAAAAGAAAAAAUAUUUAUUAUCAAAACUUACAAGAGAAAUUUAUUCAAACAAACAAGUAAAAAAAUACUAUUAUACUUCCCAAGAAGGAAGAAGAAGUUGUUUUGCAAGCAAAAAGAACUCAAGCAAUACAUUCUUAAUUUCAAUUAGUCAUGAUUACAUAAACAACCGAAACAUGGACUCUUAAUAAUUUAGUGGCCUAAAACUGCCCGAUGAAUAAAAAUUAAUUAACUUUGGAUUAAGUUUUCUUUUAUUGUAUAUAAUAAAAAGGAGCAUCUUGAGUACAUAGUGUUUAAAGCUAUGCAAAUGAUAGUUGAUAAAAGAAACCUGGAAGCCUUAUAAAGUAUUUUUAGAAGGUUAAAAUAUGAGACUUUUCUAGGUAUUAGUUUUGAAGUUGAUUACUAUAUUAGGCUUUUCCAAAUGUAACCAAGCAUUCCUACACAUUUUUUCUUCAUUUAGUUUAGUUUAACAAGUUAAUACACUAAAAACUGGUAGGAACAUUAAUCGGUAAAUUUAUGGGUUCCUAAAUACAACUCUCAAAUCCUUUCCUUUCUCCCUUUGUCUUGUAAUAAGGUUGGGAGUCUUCCUUAGACCAAAAAAUUUUUUAAAAAAUCUUUUUUUAAAAAAAGGAUAUUAAUACCUUAAGAAAUGUGCAUGUGGGUAUUAGGUGAUGGAACCUUUAAAAUUUUUUCACAAAUAAACAAGAAAUUAGAAGCAAUUAGACAUGAAAAGACCAUAUGUAAAAAGUUUCAUAAGGUUGUUCAAUUUAGGGUAGAGUUAAAUCCACACCCUCUCAAUUUAAAUCCACACACUUAGCAUUAAGGUUAUAAUAUACCCCAUACCAUUUGUGAGGGUAUGAUAGAAACUUUUUUUCUAUACAAAAACUUGCAUUUCAUAAAAGAGUACUUGUUUGGAAAGAUAAUAACAAAAUUUAAUUAAUUGAAGCUCUUUGAUACUGUCAUCCUAAUUAUCAGCAGCCAGUGCUUUUUAAGUAUAUACUUUAAUCAACUUUUAAGUGCAAUAUACGACAAAAGUAAAACAAUUUUCCCAACACAAUUUAGAUAAGAGAAAGAAAAAAAAAUCUCAUCUUCCCUUACAUAAUAAGAAGAGGUAAAAAUAUUCUCCCUAUCAAACAAGAGGAAAAAAUAAAUGCCAUCAAAGUGAAUGAAUUUGAAAAAAUUCAUAAUGAUGUAAAAUAUAAAUCCAAAUUAGCACCAUCAAUUUUCACAGCAGAAAAACUGAUUUUUGGCAUUGAGAAAGUUUCUACAAAAUACCAUAAAUGCUAUAAGCUUUUCUGUCGUUUUGGUUCUAGGGGUGAGGAUUUCAAUUGUAGAUGUGUGGAUUUAACCCGAUCAAAAUUAAAGAAUUUUAUCAUAAUUAAAUCGUAGGCAAACGUCAUUCUGCAUGUUGAUGGUGCUAAUGUUAUUAACAAGGUGGCUGGCGCCGAAGGUUUAUUUCGAAGUCCCUCUUUGUGCUGAGCUAUGUGCUUUGAGACUUGGUUUAUCGAUUGCUAUUGCCAAUAAAAUCUCCUGUUCACUAAUUUACUCUGAUGCUAAAUGUGCUGUGGGCAGCUUAGCCAAGCAUCAACAAGCAAGGCUGCUGAACAUGGAUCCCCUGAUAGAGGAUUGCCAAAAGCUAAUGGAACAGAUCUGGAAUUCUGCCCCCGAGAGUUCAAUCAAGCAGCUGAUAGUCUGUCUAAAAUUCUCUUUUGAUGAACAUAAAUGAUGGCUGGCUGUAGAUAUUAUCCAAUUCCCUCUCCACCCCCCUUAUCUUAUGUCGAUUUGGAUCUCUGAUCAGCUGCAACCAUUGGCCUCUCCUGGCUCUUUUGUGUAUCCUUGUCUUUUCUUCAAACCAAAAAUAUUAAAUCGUAGGCCAACUUUGCAAUUCUGACUUCUCUAAUAAAAUACAUUUUCUUCCCUCUAUAAUAUGAUCUAAUCAGUAAAAAGUGCAGCAUGCGGAUUGGUUUAUGGGAAAGCAUGAAGAAUCUGGCUGUUUCUCACUUCGGGCAUAUAAAUUUACAUACAUCAAAGGCGCAAAUUUGGCUGGCUAUCAAUUUUUUUUGGUUAAAAAAAAUAAAUCUUCAGACAUGCUACUUACUAUUACUAUAUUAAUUCAAUAAACAAUCUGUUAAUUUUACUCAAAUUUACUGUUUUCGUUAUUCCUUUAUUAUGAUUGUUGCUAUCUAUCUAUACCAUAUAUGCAUGUAGCGCCUAAAAAUAUUUUUUUAAUAACUUCCAUCUUUUUUUUUCCUUACAAAGUUUUCUUUUUAUCAAUAUGAUAAGACCUCCAUUAACUUUGAAUGACUUCCAUAAUUUUUUGCUGUAAUGUUCUUUUAUUUACACACACUUAGGGUGUGUUUAAACCACAAGUUAUUGUUGUUGUUGAUUUUUUUUUUUGUUAAUAUCAUUAUUUUCUAUUUUCUAGUCCUCCGUCUCUCGCAUUCGAUUACAUAUUUCGCUUCUUAGAAGUAUGGGAAAUCACUCUGCAAUCUUCACAAUCUUCAAAACCUCCUUUCCCAGCACAUUUUCUUCUGCCUAAGUCAGAAAUAUCUUCCAUUUUCUUCCCAAGUCUCCUAUGUUCUUUUCAACUUGAAACUCCCACAGCAAGUUUUGUCUACGUUGUCUAGCUCUAGCGGUUAAGUUGGCUUUUCUUUUGUUGGGGUACAAGGGUGUAAAUAUAAGUUUAUAUCAUUAUUAUAUAAAAAGUAUGAAUCUUGGCAUUAAAAAGUGUAAGCACUUUUUUAUUUUAGUUUUUAUUAUUUCUAAAUUAUGCUCAUGUAUUUUAAUUAGAAUUAUAGCAUUUCAAUGUGCCACCAAUUAAAAGAAAUAAAGCACUCCAAUUGAUUACAUCUCAAUAAUAUUAGUAAUUACAAUUAAAAAUUGCCCAUUAAAAACUAUUUACCUAUUCUUGGACUCUGUCUCCAAUUAUUAUAUGUAUCAAAAUUUCUUAAUCGAAGUAUGAAAAUUUUCUCAUCAGCCAUUAUUAUCAAUAUCAAAAUAUAGAUAUUCUCUAGAAAAAAAAAGAGAACACACAAGGAGAAAAGAUCCCUUAUUUAUUUGCAUAUCUUCAUAAAAAUAGUAAGAGCAAAUUUCACAAUUAUGUACUUUUACCAAUAUGAAAAAAUAAAAAAAAACCAAAAGCAAAAUAGAAAACCCCAACUAUUUCAAACAAAUGAAUAUUAACUGACAACUAAAUAACCUAUCUAAAAUGGUUGAGCAUUGUGAAUCAUUACAUUCUUUAUUAACAACAAAAGCACUUAGAUAAAAUGCAAAUAGUCCAAAUUCAAUAAAUGAUGUUACACUUCACUUUAUCUCAUUCAAAUUCAUAUAAAAAUUGAAAAGUAAAAUGACUAACAAGACAUAAAAGAGAGCAGUUAAACAUUCAUGCAACUAACAAACAUGCAAACAAUUUAGUUUUAACUGAAAUGACAGUUCAUGUCACCCAAAUCCAAGCAAACAACAAAAGAUUUUCUUAUAUUUUACCUAUGAUCAACUAAACUGAUUUUGAUAUUGUAAUUAGAGCUUUUUGUCUUAGACAAAAGGGAGAAAAAUCCAUGGAUUAAUUUAAAUGCAUCCAUAUGAAACAUGACAUUUAUCAAAUUAGUAGGAAAAAGGAAUAAUUGUUGUUUGUGCUUUAUGUUGCAUUGUCUCCAAACAAAAUUAUAAAAAUAGUAGAAGAAAAAUGAAAAAGAGAAUAUCCAACUACAUCUGUCAAUGAAAUCUUAAUUGAUGACAACGAACAUUCAAACAAAAAUAAUUAAAUAUGAUGGAUUAAAAAUUCCCUUGUGAAUUAAAUAAUUACAAAGAGUUCACAUACAAAAACUAUGUAUGUAAACAAUUUUCAAAAUGGUGUCAAAAUAUUAAAAAAAUAGCUCAACUCACUUCUUACAAAAGAACUUCGUAAAAAAGCUAAUUCAUUGAAUUCAUAUAAUAUGAUAAAUAAUAAUUGUCUUCCCUACAAAGAAUUAGGUUUUAUGUGAGACGAAAAUUGUAGAAAACUUGAAUCUAAAUAAAAAAGAAAUACCAUUCAAGCACUUUAUUCUUGAAUAAUCAACCGAUUCUAAUUCUACAAUUAAAUAAUCAGUAUUCAUAAACAUUGAUGUUGCAAAUAAUAUUUAGGAAGUGUUUAAUAAUUUAACAAAAUCUUAGUUUUUUAAUUAUUAAAUUCUGAUAAUUUUACUAGAAAGUCCAUCAUAGAUUUUAUUUUCAAUUGGAAAAAGACAUAUUGAACACCAACUGAUAAAUGAGCUUGCGAACACAUGGGGGAGGAAAGUAGAUGCAUAAUUCAAUAAUUAGAAUGAUCAAGAUCAAACAAAUCAAUUUAUGUUGUAUUCUAAUGCCCAUUUUAAAAUUUUAGUAGCACUUGCAAAUUAGAUUUGCUUCUCAUAUGCAUACUUGGUAUAUGCAUGUAUAUAUAUAUGUAUAUAUAUUUCCUUCUCAACAACAUUAUUUUGAACUGUACAAAAGGUACAAUUUUAUAAUUUAAGGGGAAUCACAACACCUUUGGUAAAACAUGAUAAUAUUAACAAUUGUUAUAAAGUUCAACCCAAAUUUAAUCAAUAAAAGCUCAAAAAAGGUUCUAAUAGCUUUAGGUCAAAGAGUUCAAAUUUGAAUAAUAUUUACAACCAAAACUGGUUAAAGAAAUUGAAAAGCAUGCAUAAUUAUACUAUGAGGUAGAUAGUCAAAACUUUACAACAAAUUUAAAUAGCUACAAAAGUAUUAUAUUUGGAUUAUUAUAUUCACAUGAUUAUAUUAUAAGGUAGGUACUCAAAACUUCACAAAAAAUUUUAGUAGCUAUCAAAAUAUAUUUGAAUUAUUAUAGUCACGUGCAGUAUUUGCUAGUUGGAUUAAAUGUGCUAAAGGAUUUGGUAAACAAGUUAAUUUUGUUGAAGAUAGACUUCUGAUUACAACGGGGAAGACACGUACUGGAGGACUUGGGAGUAGGGGUGGCAAUCCGGGUCCAAAUCAGGUUGGCGGGUUGGGUUCGGGUCAACCCGUCAGAAAAUCUGUUGACCCGAAUCCGACCCACCAACCCGUGAUAGGUCAGGUAUGCUGACCCGAAUCCGAAAAUUUCAGGUUGACGGGUCAACCCAAAAUGACCCGAAACUAAAAAAAUCAAUUUCUCACAAAACUAAUUACAUAAUCAAGUAAUAAAAAUUUAAAUAAAUAAUUCCAAACCAAAUCUAAAAUAAAUUAAACACCAUAAAAGUGUUUUAUCCCAAACAAAAUAUAAAAUAAAUUAAAACAGUAUAAAAGUAAAAAAUAAUAUAAUAUAUUAUUUGUCCAAAUAUAAUAAUUUCAACUUCACACAAAUUAAAUAAAUUCAUUUAGGAUUAAGUAAUUAAUGCCUUUGAAAAAAAGAAUAACUUAGUUUAGUUAGAUAGAAUUAUUUUUAUGUUUAUUAAAUUAUUUUUUAAUUCGUAAACGGGUCAUAUCGGAUCAUAUCAGGUCAUCACGGGUUAACCCGAAAUCGACCUGUUUUCUUUUCGAAUUCAUCGGGUCCAACCCGAUUCUAACCCGAAUUCCCGAAACCUCAACCCAAACCCAUUAAUUUCGUGUUAGAUUCGUGUCGUGUUUUCAGGUCGUGUCAAAAAUUGCCACCCCUACUUGGGAGUGUAGUAUGCUACUGCACUCUUGAUUUUUGCUUGCUUUCCUACUGACGGAUUAUAGAUUCAUUUAUAACUUCAACUAUUCACCCUAGCAUCCGCUAGUAAUCUAGGCGAGUUAUUACUGGCUUUUUACAAUGUUUAUCUUAGAUAUUUUGAAACAACAACCUUAUCUUUUCUAGAUAAUUCUACGAUCACAAAUAAUGUCACGUCUUUCUCUGUUGUGCCCUCUAUCUCAAUCUAUAACUCAUUCAACCAUCCCAUUUCUUCUCAAUUCUCCUCCCUCUUUCUUGCCAGUACUAGUUUUUGGCAGCUGGCUCUUAGAGCUCGUUUCAGCAACUUCCCAUGGAAUCUUUUGGAAAACUUAUUAAGAGCGAGAAUCCAACUUGCACUGGUGUUGUUGAUUCUCUCUUGGCCGAGCUGGAUAUCCGGAAAAGGCUGUUAUUGUCAGGUCAGCCGGAUGAUAAUCAUCAAAUUGGGAUCCUCAUAGCGGAAGUGAGACUCUGGAGAAUGCUUCUGAUCUACGUCGCAUAUUUGAGUGACGCUGACAUGAAGUUUGGUGUUGGUCGGGAGUUGGGGUCGAUGGACCGGGACCUUGAUGCUGCUUUGAAAGAGGCAACUAAUGAUUUUCGAGUUGCUUCCAAGAAAGAAGGUGUCGGUAAAAUAAGCAGCGAUUUUGGAGCUGAUCCUAAGAAAUACGAGUCCAUGGUUCACAAAGGUCUUACAAGGGGUGAUUAUGGAGUUGCAAUGUCUAAGUUGCAACAAAAGCUUAUGCUUUUCAGGCCUCAGAUGAAGGCAGCUUAUGAACGCAUUGCAUCCAACCAUUCAUUUCAAUCGCACCAUCCCCUAAGCCGUUCUGGUGUCUGCAGUCUCUUCUGCCAAAAUCUACAGCAGGUUGUCCGGGUGCUUUAUUGUGGGAAAUGCAAGAUGUUAGAAUAUAUGCACCUAAAAGUCGAAACCAUGUCCAAGAUGCUUAAACGUCUCCAAACCUUCAUCAGCACUAUGGUAAGAUUUUCUCUUGAUCUAGACAGAGAUUUCUUGACUCAUUUUGGAGCUUUACUGGUCCGCACUGCACAUUUUUGUUGCUUGUGCUGGAUUGACCAAAUGGAAGAAGACAAGACCGAGGAGCUGUCGAUUAUGCUUCAUGAUCUGCUGAAGGCAUUCAAGCUGGAUACUACAGAAGUUGUACAGCUGUUUCUGAAAUUAUUCAGGCCUUAUUCCUUGGUGAAAACCUGGACAUCAAUCCCUACUCCAGUUGAAACAUUUGUCGAUUUUCUCUUUCCUGAGAAGGAUCCUCAACUUGAAACCUUCUUCAAAGGGCUUGAACACCUGAUAAUGUUCGUCCUUGAAGUUGGAGAACCAGAGAAAUCUGAUCUAAAGCUGCUUAUAAUGGACAUUACAGCAGCUAUUUCCAGGCUUGGAUAUUUUGGUGACUUGUUUAAUGAGAUAGGAGAGUCAACAGGAUACAUAUUUAGCACAAAUGUAUCUGCAUUUUUUAGGUUGCUUGAAAAGAUUGAGCUUCUCAGAGUGGAAGUAUUCCUGGAUGAGCUACUAAAGAAAAGGAUCAGUUUGGAGCUCCUUGAGAAUCGUAUUGAUUCUUUCCAUGAGGGACUCUUCUAUUUGGAAAGUUAUCAAAGAUAUGCAUCCAAAUGGAAAAGCAAAGCUCCUAAGCUGGUCUGGUUGCAUAUCAAACCUGUGGCUGGGAAGGCUGUCUCUGUUUAUAAAUCGUUCCAUGCCAAGUCAGUCACUGAAGACAAGUUCAAACAUGAGCUAACUAUGUUGCACUGCAAGAUUCAACUUUUGAAGACUGAGAUACUUUUGGAAGAGCUUCUCGAUGGAAACCCAGAUCUCAUAAUCAAUGGCCGGCUACGUUUGGAAGAGCUUCUUGAUGGACAUCCAAAUCUCACCGUCAAUGUGAAGAACCAAAUGGAAAGCCUCGAUCUGGGGCUGAUAGUCCUUAGAACUUAUUUGAUGGGUCCGCUGGAGGAUGAUGAGAAACUAAUCUUAACAGAUGCAGAGUCAGUAGCAAGGGUUGCUUCUCUUUUUUAUUACUCUCUUCUCAAAAAUGAUAUUGCAGAACAUGCGGUGGGGAAUUUCAGUCAUGUGCUUCCUAAGUUAGUAAGAAAGAUGGACCUUGUUAAUGCAAAGAUCAAAGAGAUUUAUAUGCCUGUUCGAAGGUCAUCAAAAUCCCAUUUCCCUAAGACAGAAGGAUUUGGCUUCAUUGAUUGUCUUUUAGGAGAUCUCAGCGAGCUGCUAAACUCUGAAGCGGGAUUUCUUGUUUCCUUGAGGCAUCAAGUUCAUGCUGUUCACAGAGACUUAGAGUUCUUGAGAUCCUUCCUCAGUGAUAUUAAAGAGCAGUAUAAUGACCGUCCGGAUUUGAAAAGUUUUGUUUCGUCCAUUAUCCAAGUAUCACUUGAGGCAGAAUAUCUCAUUGAAACGUUUGUGGUUGGCAAUUGUUUGCGAUGGUAUCAUCCAUUAUGGCUUUCUGAUCUCCUGGAAGAUCUCAACCUUUUUAAGGUUCAGGCCACAGAAAUCUGUACGAAUGAACAUACCAUCAGCAUCCAUGAUGUUCCCACCUCUUCAAUGAAUAUGGUAUCACCAGCGAAGAUUCCCAUGAUUGAUGAAGUUGUGAUUGAUCUCACCGAUGAAAAAAAAUUGAUCAUUGAUAGGCUUACAGCUGGAUUACCACAGCUAGAUGUUGUUUCAAUUGUUGGCAUGCCUGGACUCGGCAAGACAACUUUAGCCUUGAAGGCGUAUAAUGAUCCUUCAGUUACCUAUCAGUUCCACGCUCGUGCAUGGUGUUAUGUCUCCCACACAUAUCGAAGAAGAGAAUUGCUUCUUCAGAUUUUAGGUGAAAUUGUGGAACUUAAGGAUGAUAUCCUUGAAAUGAGUGAUGAAGAUUUAGAGAUGAAGUUGUACCAAUGCCUAAAGGGGAAAAGGUACCUCAUUGUUAUGGACGAUAUUUGGAGCACUGAGGCAUGGUACGAUUUCCAACGAUCAUUUCCAAAUGACAACAAUGGAAGCAGAAUACUGAUCACGAGUCGGCACUUUGAUGUGGCGGUAAAAUUGAAAGCGGAUAGUACUCCUCACCCCCUUCGGCUACUGUCUGAUGAUGAAAGCUGGACGCUGUUGCAAAAGAAGUUGUUUUACACGAAAAAGUGCCCCAAUGAAUUAGUGAUAGUCGGAAAGAAAAUUGCAGAAAGCUGUAGAGGACUUCCUCUUGCAGUUGUUGCAAUAUCUGGUCUCCUUGAAAGGACAGACAUGAUACCAGACUGGUGGAAACAAGUUUCAGAAAGCAUUUGCUCACACAUUGUGGAUGAUCCUGUGACGGGGUGCAUGGACAUACUAGAGCUAAGCUACAGAUAUUUGCCUAACCAUUUGAAGCCUUGCUUUCUAUAUACUGGAGUAUUUUUGGAGGAUAAAAACAUUCCAGUUAGGAAGUUGACAUGGUUGUGGAUAGCUGAAGGAUUUAUACCCAAUAAUGGGCUGGACAGCAAGGAAGAUGUUGCAGAGGGAUACUUGAGGGAUCUAAUUGGAAGAAGCCUAGUAACAGCUUCCAAAAGGCGAUCGCUUGGAGGUGUCAAAACAUGUCAUGUUCAUGACAUGUUGCGAACCUUAUGCCUGCAAAAAUGUGAAGAAGAAAACUUCUUGCAAUGGAAAAAUGGGUAUGAUGAGCUUUUUCCUUCUUCUCAUAUGGAUUUAGACUACGGUGUUGACCCCAAUUAUUUUUGUCCACCAAUUUCCCAAAAAUAUGAGAAACGUAGGGUGUCUAUUUGUUCCAAGAGGAAUCAUUUUGUCAUGUCAAGGCCUUCUGGGCCACAUGUCCAGUCUCUACUGUACUUUGCCACCAGUGAUUUGUAUCCUAGAUGUCCCUACGACAUCACCUUCAUUUUUGACAAUUUUAAACUCCUUAAAGUGCUAGAUUUGGAAUCCAUCAAUAUGGGGAGUUCUUUCCCCACUGAAGUACAAUUGUUGGUCCGUUUGAGAUUUUUAGCUCUUUGUGGUGAUAUAGACACUAUUCCAGCAUCAAUAUCCAAUCUCCGGGUUCUUGAAAGCUUGCUCGUGAAGGGAUUGAAAGGUAAAGUUCUACUACCUUAUACUCUUUGGAGCAUGGAAAAGUUGAGACACGUCCAUGUAAAUAAUUAUGCUGCCAUCGCCUUGCAAGACAGCGAAAGCACAUCUUCUUCUCAAGCACUUAAUCUGGUCAGUCUUUCCUGCCCAUACCUCCUUUGUGGAAAAGGUACAGAGGAUAUCAUGAGGAAAUUACUUAAACUUCAGAAACUAAGCUGUGUAUUUUCUGAAUUACGGGAUGAUAGUGGGAAGUGCAAUCAUUUUCCAGUGCUGAACUUUCUGACAGAGCUCGAGUCCCUCAAUGUACUCUAUUCUGGUAGGAUUGCUCUUCCUUGUAAGUUUGAGUUCCCAUUGAAUCUCAAGAAGUUGACACUGUCAAAAUUCCGCCUACCGUGGGAUUCAAUUUCGGAGAUUGGGAGAUUGCCUAACCUUGAGGUUCUCAAAUUACUUUCAAGAGCCUUUGAGGGGAAAGUGUGGGAAAUGAAAGGAGGAGAGUUCCUUAAACUGAAAUUUUUGAAGCUCGACAGCCUAAACGUUGCUCAAUGGAAUGCCUCUAGUGAUCACCUGCCACAGCUUCAACACCUAAUUCUGCGAAGUUGCAGGCAGCUUAAGGAGGUUCCUUCUGGUUUUGCGGAGAGCUGUACUCUGGAAAUGAUUGAGGUGCAACUGUGUACACACACUGUUGAAGAGUCAGUGAAAUCACUUCAAGAUGAACAACUUGGAAUGGGAUAUGAAUUGAAGGUCCUCAUUGACCAUUCAGACAUGGAUUUCUGAUCACUGCAUAAUUUCUGGUUAGAAUUUGGGCCUACUAUUCUAUUUGCAUUUGAGUAAAUUAUGAUUUUGUCUGUGUUCACCUAACAUGACGUUUUAUGUACUUUUAUCUAUUAUCAAUUUAUAAAAUCCUCUGCUCGGUGUUGCUUCUUGUCACCACUCAAAUAAUGAUCAUUUUACUGAUGAGUUGUUACUUCAUAGAUUUGAAUAUUGGAGCUAUGUAUUUAAAGGUCUGGUUCUGCUUUCCUAAACGUACGCUACUCUGAUAGAUAUAUAAUGUGCAAUUCACAUUUCCUCUUUUCUAAAGGAAAGCGUUCUUUAGUUGAAUGUGAAUGGAUUUAGUUACUUAUAAUUAGUUAAGGACAGCAUGUAGGAUUUGUUGAUCAUAUUUUUUGUUGUUAUACAGGCUGUCUAGUUGAAGAAAAGAAUUGCACUAAAUGCUAUAUAAGCAGACAAAGGCACAAGUUUUCUAGUAUAUGCUAAUUAGUAUGAAUACUUACAAUAUCAACUGCAUCAGGAUCUGUUUUUUUAGUUUCGCUAGCAAAUGCAAAAGCCUAAUUUCAAUCCCUGUGGUUGGUUGAAGUAACAUGCUGUUCUUUGUUUCAGUUUACCCUCUGGAAAGGGCAAGUGGACCUCUCUUCAAGGUGAAGAAAAUGAAAGUCGCGGCAGUCAAUAGAUGUUGGUUUGGAAUCUGGAUAAUCUUAUUCCUAGGAGAUCUGAGUUCUGACAAUGGUGGCUUCAAAUGUCUGUGAAGUAAAAAUCAUUGGAUAAUUUAAUCUAAGUGAAUGGAACUUGGACAUUUUGUCUAUUAUUGCUUCCACCAAAGUUGAAACCCCAUGUUUGUAAGACUUUCAAGUUUCCCUUCUUUCAUUAGUAUGACUUGAUUUAUGUUAACUUUCUGUUUCUCUAGCGAUCUGAGAAUGGAUAUUGCAAUUAUUUUGAUCUUGUUAUCAUUUUUAUGAGUGAGAAUUGAAUGACAGAAUUUUACGGAGGGAGGAAGUCCCCCUUGGUCAUGCUACAUGCUGCGUACAAUCUGGUUCUAUGUUGGCCAACUGGACCAUGUUGUCCGAGGCAAACUAGUCCUUCGCUGAAAUACAAUUUCUUGUAUUUUCCAUUGCUAAUUGUUUCUGUUUUGCUUUUUAUCAUCUGAUGAUAUAUAAGGACCUUUUUAUUGAUACAACAUUGCGUCAACUAAGACAAGUAGGAAAAAGGUACGGAAGCCAUGUCCGUUUGCUCUUAUAGUCUUAUGGUUCUAAACUACUGAGAUGAUUGUCAUAGGAUGAUUGUAGGAUGCCUGUAUAACUUGAUUCCAAGAGAAGCUGAUAGAGAUAUAUCUUUAGUUCCCUGUGUUGAAUUUUUAAUCCAACAUUGGACUUAUAUGUGAAUAAUUUUGCAUUGUAGACUGUUAUAUAAAAUUAAAUCCAAUUAAAGUGAUGAAUUAUAGUUUGAACUUUUACCUAUAAGUAGAGUUAUGGUUCUCGGGUGACACGUAUUAUUUUGUUGUUUAGUAUCACAAAAUAGUUCUUUCUUGAUAUUCCAUCAGCAAGAAAGAUACUAAAGAAAAACUAAAAGACUCUCUCAGGCCCCUUUGGUUCAUGGACCGGAUGAAAUGAGAUGACUCAUUUUCGGAUUAUUAAUCCUAGGCUGAGUCAUUCCAGGAUAAAUUAUCCAAAUUAUCUAGUGUUUGGUUGAUUCUGAGAUGGAUAAGAUAUGUUGAAAAAUAAUUCUAUCAUGUGUUUGGUUGGAGAUUGGAUGAGGUAAGAUUACUAUUUUAAUGACCAAAAUACCCCUUAAUUUGUAGAUUUUUUAAAUAAAAUAAUUUAAUAUUUUAUUAAAUAUUAAUAAACUAACUUAAUUUUUUAACAAAAUAAUUUAAUAUUUAUAGCUUUUAUUAAAACAGAGUAGUUUGAAACUUUAGAAUUAUAAAGUAAAUCAAGGGUUUUGAGACCUUAAAAAUAGAUUUUGACCAAGUUUUUGAACAUAACUUUGAAAUUCAAUUAAAUAAUAGGUGCCGAACUCAAGCUACUAUAGUAGAUUUGUGAGGACGUGCAAAUUCUUUAUAUUUUUCUUAAAAAUGCCCUUUUAUUUGAGAAAUAUUACUGUAUAAUAGUCUUACUACUCAAUCACCCCACAAUAAGUGUAAAUGAACAUAGAAUUAAGGGUUUUUCUUUUGUUUUCAAGAUAGUGCGAAUUAGGGUUUUUUUACACCUAUCCGUAGUGUGAUUAUCCGAUACGGAGUGUGGAUCAAAUUUGGUGAUUGAGAGUGAGUUUUAGAUGAUAUUAAGUGUGUGAUUAGAAGUGAUAAUAAUAAGUUAGUAAAUUAUAAGUUAAAACCCUCGUAUAUGCGAUUUAAGAAAAAUCGGCCAAACCGACGGGUAUCGCUCACUACUGAUUGAACACUCCACUUGACUACCACUUCCCUACCAUUACAUAUCCUUGAUAUUGUUGCAAAAUAUCUCUCUCAUCCUCAGCUCCCUUGGCCGAAAAUGUUGACCCAAAAAUACAAGGAAAAGAAAAUAAAUUGAAAUGGAUUUUGGUGGCGACAAGUGGCGGCCAUCCAUGGAUUCUUGCCUAACUAAUUUUCCUCCAUAUUUAUCAUCACAAAACACACAAUUUCUCCUCAUUUUCCUCCUACCAGCCGUGAGCAAGAGAGAGAGAGAGAGCAAGAGAAAACAACUUCAAUUCAUCUUGAGUUUGAGCCAUUUGAGUGGAAAAAACAAGAUUAAAUCUUUCUUUGAGUACUUGGAAAGCUUGGUGUGCAAGAGGUUUACAAGAGGAGGUGGUGGAUAACUCUUAUAAGCAUCUUUGAGAGGUAUAUGGGCUGACCAUUACAUUUAUUUCUCUUAGUCUUGUCUAAGUUGAGUAGUAACUUGUAAUCUUGCUUGUGAUGCUUAAUUCAUGUGAUUUUGGAUGAUUGUAGUGAUGAAUUUUGAGUUAGGCUUUGAAUGGUUCACUUGAAAUUUCUAUUAUUUGGAUGGUAUAUGGUAUAUGCAAGCUUGUACAAGAGGUUGUGGUAGUGAUUUAAGCAAGAAAUGAAGAGAUUUCCCUUUGAAACCCUAAAUUCCAGAUUUCAGUUUUUCACUUCCCCUGUUCUGAUUGGUUUUGUUUGACUAGGUUGGAGGCCGAAUUAGGCUUAGCAUAAAACAUAAAAGUUGUAGAUAAUGAUGUUUUAUAGCUGCCUAUAAAAUUUCAGUUCAAUCCGAGCACUGUACCAUGUGAAAAGACAAAAAUACCCCUGACUGCCAUAGGUAGCACUUUAGGGACAGUUUUGACAUUUCACCAAUCUGACCUCGUCUGUUCACCCUGAUGCGUACUGACUUAGCGUUUGGUCAAAACAUAUAAGUUGUAGUGCUACGUCUUAGCUUUCCAACGCCCUUAAAAACGCCUCAAUCGGACUUCGGUAUCCUGAAUUAUUAUCGUUUAACCAUAGUGCGGUUCGCUAACCUGUUUGUGAGAUUCUGGUUUUGUACAUGAAAAUUUUGACCUAGCUACACUACGAACUGGACUGAGUAGUCUUCAUCAAAAUUGUAGGCCUUUGUCUUAGCUUCGAAACGGUAUGAAUUUCAUACCAAUCCGAUAAGCGUAGCUUAGGUUGUGUCUGUUCCGUAAAACAACGUCAAAUCUGUCUUUUGUUUCUUAAAUCAAACUUCAUUUCCGCACAUGUUCCUAACUUGGUUUGGUACUUGUAUGACGUUGAGUCUAUUGAACGGCUAUUGAAAUGAGAUUAUUUUGUGUGUGACUUUGGGACUAAUUGAGGAAAUGAAUGAAGUCAUAAAUGGCUGGAAAAUAAGUAAAUAUAAAGGGCGUGCUGCCCAAAUUUACGCUUGAAGACUAGGUAGAAACACUUGCGACUUGAGUAAGGCUUGAGAACGAAUACCACUUGAACCAUCUAAGAUAUUCGCGUCUUCUUUUAUCGAGGUAUAUAAGUUAGAACUUGACCGAACUUGUACCCUUGGGAAAAUGAAAUAACGACUACUAGAAAUACGUUUUCCUCAUUCUUUCAACUCAAAUGGUAUUUCCAAGUAUAAUUGCUACAAAAUGUCCCAGUUUGAAAAGCGAGUAAGUAUUUCACGAAUAUUCUCCAAACUAAUUUCAAUUACUUGAUUCUUAUUGAAUGAAACGUUGAAGUUUCGAACCUUAGUUGCUUUUCAAAGUUCUUAAACAAGGUUUUAUCGCAGAUUUGGACUCCAAACCCGAAGUACAACCCAAACGGGAUCACUGAGGCACUACAUUUUGGUGAGUGCUUCCAAAUAUCUAAUUGGACUUGACAUUUGUGUCCUAUAUUUGACCAAUAUGAUUAUAUGAUAUAGAUAUAAGUGAAUUGAUGGGGCAAUGGUGUACUUUAUCACAUUUGCCCUAAUGUUAUUUGUUCUCGUUCAUCAAUUGCAAUUGAAUUGCUAUACAUGCUUAUGAAUUGUAUCUUGCCUGGAAUUCCAGAAACCCUGUGACUAAUUUGUCGAGUCGAGCCGGCAAGGGUCUGGUCGAUUAGCUAACGAACCCUGGGUAGUUAGUGAUAUCGAGUGGAGUGUUAUCUUCUCGACUAAUCGGUAUACUCGAGUAUUACCACCAGUGUUUAUUGUGGAGUUCGGGCCCAGUAAGCGGUUUGAUCAGUGGACGGAUAAUGGAGUUAAGUGGUGUUCUACGGGACUAGUUUCUGACUUGAAAGUUGACAGAGUGUCAACUACCAAUCGAUCAAGCUAUGGUGGCGUCGAUAUAUGAGCAACUGUAUCCUUAUAUGUGAAAUGUGAAAAAUUUAGUGUUUGGCUAUAUGAAGUGUUGUUAUUCAUUUCUUGACUUAUUUUGCUUGCUAUUGCACUAUUAUGCUACUUUUGUUUAUUUGAUGGACAAUUUGAUAUUUGGAACUGUCGCGCCCCAUUUUUCGCGAUAAAAAAAUAAAAAUGAAAGGUAUUUAUAAAAGAUAUGAUUUUCAUUUAAAAAUAAGUGAAAAGGACCUAAAAUGGGACUUUAAAAAAUGCGACAAUUUGGGUCCAAAAUUUAGUCUAAAAGGGUUUUUAAGAAAGAAAAAAAAAAAAGGAGUUGCCACUUGGUAUUGAGUUUGGGUGUACCAAGUCACCUCAAAGAAAAUAUUUUUUGACAAAAAUAAAAAUAAAAUAAAACAAAACCCAUUUUAACAACUCCAGGUCUUUGAAAAACAAGAGAAAAUGGAUUCGAGAGUCACGAUUGAACAAAGGGAAGGCAAAAGUUCGAUCAACUCAAACCUAAGGCACCCUUUCAAUCUAGUCUAAGCUAGUUGCGAGGUUUAGUCAAAAUUUUCCUAAUCUAACCCUUAAUUUUAUCAUGUUUGGAUGUUUCCUACAUGGAUGCAAAUCUAAAUUUAUAAAAAUAUCGCAAGGGACAAAAUGCCCAUUCAAGGGUUUAACUGAACCAAUCGCAUUAAUUGCAAAGAUCAAAAUAAUUCCUUGAAUGUGUCACGAGUAUGCGAAUGAUGAAAUUAAAAGAAAAGAAAUUAUAUUAUAUUAUAUACAUAGAUAUAAGUGAUCAAAGAAAAAGGGAAUGCAACAUAAAGGGUACGGGAGGCAAAAACUCGUGACAAUAAUUUUCUUAUACAGGGAUUAAUGGGAUAUUUAAACUAAAAAGUUAUAAUCACUCAUUUCCCAUGUUUGAAAAAUAAUUCUCCUAAUAUGCACAAGCAAAUGAGCUAACUUAUUAUACAAUGUUCUAAAUGAAAUCAAUUCUAAAUGACAUGAUUAACACAUAUAGAGGAUAGGGGAUAAUAUAAUAGGAAAUAUCAUACAAAUGGAAAAAGAUCCGAAAAAUGAAAAUAUGCGUGAAAAUAUAAUGAAUAUCACACAAAAAUGAGUCUAAUGCACGAACGAUCUAAGGGUCUAGCGUUGGACUAACCCAUUUCAAAAAAUCUUUCCUAGCGUUGGACUAGCAAGUAAGCGGAGGGAGAAGCCACAACUAGUGUUGGACUAGUGUGGUGACGUUAUGCAUUAACAAUUCAUAGUAAAACAAAUAAGGUAUAAAUUAAAACAAAUAAAUAUGUAAGAGCACGUAGCACAUAAUACAUAAGCAUAAUAUCUAAAUACAAAAAUUCUAAGGAAAGCGGGUAAAAUAUAUAACACAUAAGCCACAUAAACACACAACCUACCUAUUACAUCGGGGAGCCUAACUACAAUCUAAAACGGGAAAAUAAGAAAAUCCUAUCUACCCUAUCUAUUACAACAGGGGACCUAACUACAAUCUAAAAAGGAAAAAUAUAAUAAAAACAAAUCUAAUUAUCCUAUCUAUUACAUUUAUAAAGUAAUUAAAUGCCUCUCGAAUAAUUAUAAGAAUUAACUAAACAAAUAUAAGAAAAUUCGAAUGAACAUUUAAAUCAAAAAAACAAAACAUAUGAAAAUAUAUAAACACAUAGGAACACGUAGGAGCACAUAAGAGCAUAUAAUUGACAUUGAAAUAAUAAUAAUAGGGUACCUCCCUUUUGAAGUGGUGACUAAACGGAGUCAAAUUGCCCUAUUUAUAUUCAAAAUGAACAAAAGAAUCAUGACACCAAUUUAAUUGAAAAGUAAUAAUAAUAAUGAAAAUUCACCUUAAUAUAUCAAACGUAAAUAAAUUUAAGAAUAUCUAAAAAUUACAAGUUAAACAUACUCAAAAGUAACAUAAUUAGCUAUUAAAGAAAAGAAGCAAUCAUAAUAAAGAGAGUCAAAAUUCACCAGGGAUUGAGUUGCAAAAAUUGAAAAACUUUUGGGGACAAAAAUUAUAUUUUUCCAAAGUUCAGAGGUCAAAAUUAAUUGAAAGAUAAAGUUCAAGAACCAAAGUGCAAUUAAUUUAAGGACCUAGGUGAAAGAAAUUUAAAAUGUUCUGGGCCACAAUAAAAUUACUCCAAAGAUUAGGGGCCAAAGUGCAAAUCAUAAUCAGAUCUUCUUAAGAAAACAGGCCACUGGGCCAUUAUUUAUUUCUUUGGGUCGAAAACUACCUAAGCCCAGCCGAAAGUCCAGGCCAAAACACACAGGCCAGCCCGUCUUCUAUCACUCAAACCCAACCAAAAAUAAAGCAUGGGUCUAACCUUCUAGCCCAACCCAAAAUGAGAAACAAGCCCACUCAAAAUAAAAUAAAAUUAGCUCAAACCACUUUCCUUUUUCUUUUCUUUUUCUUCUUCUCUUUUCUUUCUUUCCUCUUCCUCCACUUCCAGCCGUUUCCUUCCCUUCUUCUUCGGCCAGCUGAAGCUUCUUCGGCCGGCCCGCGCGCGCCACCGCCAAAUAAGGGUGGGCAAAAAAAUCUGAAAACUCGAAAAUCCGAAAAAUUCGACCCGAUCCGCACCGUAAAAUAGGAUAUCCGAUCCGAUUUCUAUCAGCGGAUCAGAUAGGGUGGGGUACCCUAACUAUUCGAAUUUGGAUACGGAUAGUAAAAGUAAAAACCCGCGGGUACCCAACCCGGGGGGUAUAAUAUAUAAAUAUUAAAAAUAUAGGGGUAAUUGUAUAAUAUUUUAAAUUACUAUUAACCCUAACCUAAAUCAAUCCAUUGGUCUUCAGAUUACAGCCGACACUUCCUCUCCCUCAGUUCAUUUUCUCCUUCUCCUUCUCUUCAACCUUCAGCCGACAAUCGACAUCUCCUUUCUCUAUCUCUUCAAUUUUGUCAAGUUGAACUCAAGCCUGCAAGCCUCAAGCCUCAAGCAGAUGAUUCAACAGGGACUUUCGAUUUCGAUUUCUCAAGCCAACGCCGACCUUCAGGCUUCAUCUGCAGGUUUUUUUUUUUUUUUGGAGAAUGCCGAUUGAGCAAAUAUUGGAGCAACUAAUAAUUAGACAUCCCUUUAGGGAAAAAAAAUAAGAAAAUUCAACCUAAAACAAGGUUGUAGGCAGAAUGGCAGAUUACCGAAUAUCUAAACUAAGAAAACCAAAGAUGUGCCCACCACCCAAACAUUAUCGACCUUAUCUAUUUUUAGCAUCGCAUUUUGAUGCUUUGUAUUUAGGCAUAUUGUAUAAUAUUGAUUUAGAUUUGGGCAAUGUGAGAUUGUGAGGUAUCAAGUUUUCUCCUAAUUUCAUAUUGCUAAGGGUUGAUUCCGUGAGGUAUUUAGACUUUGGAUUGUGAUUGUAUUAUCUGUGGGCAUUGUGAUUCCGUGGGCACUGUGAAUUUUUUUCUCCUUUUUAGUGUAAAUUAAUUUGUGUGCUCUUCAUUUGCUCUUGUUGUCUUGCUCAAUUCCUUUUAUUGCUUUUGUUGUGCUUUUCUUACUCUGAUUGGUUGCUGAUGCAAAGGAAUGUUGAAUACAUUUGUAACUGAUGAUUUAGUAAUGAAUUUAAGUUGGAGUCUAAAAAAAAAAAAAGAUGUCCAAGUGAGCUUUUUUUUUGGGUAGGGGCGGGUACCCUAUGACCCACCCCUAUUUUUCGGGUAUCCGAUUUUCGGAUACCCGAGGAUAAUCGGAGCGGAUUAGGAUCAAAAAAUUAGUGACCCGACAUGUUAGGGUCGGGUCAGCCAAUUGUCGUUCGGGGCGGGUACCCGACCCGUGCCCACCCCUACCGCCAGACCGCCGGUCGCCGGCAACCUCUCCGAUUGCCAAAAUUUCUUAAAAUACACCUCCCCACUCCAUUUUUCGCGUAGAUUCCAUUUCCGGAUUUAGUUUUAACAAAAAUUGACCCUAAAGUGGCCAAAAAGCCAAGAAAUCAGUCCAGUUUUUAUUUUCUUAAAACCUUUAAACCUCCAUCAUCAUAAAAAUUAUGCCAAAACCCUCCUUAUAACUUCUACAUUACAACUAUAAUCUUAGUUUGACAGGUAAACAACAACAAAAUGAUGCAUUAAGUCAAAACAGCCCCAAAAAUGAAGAAAAUAUUUCAAUGCCUUUAAAGCUCAAAACUCCAAAAAAUUUAGAUAAGCAAACAUUUCCAGGCCUGGUGCUAGCAAACGGUCAUCAGUUUUGACAACAACAUGCACAAUAUUCAGCUUUUAAAUCCAUUUUUCCAUUUCGGCAUUUUAUCAAGCAUUUGGCAUGCAUUCACAGCACCGUUUCUUUUUUCUUAAUUUUUAUACAGGCUUGUCCCAAAAAACUUCAACAACAUCACAAUAGCAACAAAAAUCAGUGAAAGGAAGAGACAAAUAGGUAGCCAAACAUGCAUUUAAUCUAAUUAAUUAAAAAAGGAAAAGCUGGAAAAAAAUACCUCAAUGAGGUUGUGAUCCCUUGACUAAAAUUUUGAGGAAGUUCCAAGCUCUUUGUCCAACCGGCGGCUGCCUCCUUGUGUCUGAAUAGUGUGUGGGUGUGUUGUGUGAAGUGAGCAAAGAGAGGGAUAUGGCCGAGAGAGUGAGGGAGCUUUCUUUCUUUUUUUGUUCUGUUUUCUUUCUUCUGCCCAGUCCGAGAGAGGGAGAGAGUUGGGAAGUGCUUUUUUCUUUCUUCCGUCUGUUUCCGUUUUUUCUUGUCCUCUCUGCUGUGUGAGGGAGAGAGCCGAGAGAUGUAUUUUUUGAGCCAAAAGUGGAGUUUGAGUGUUAGGUUCACCAAAAUGAUUUUCUCCAUCUAAUGAAAAGAAAGGUGCAUGGAGAUUUUGAGUGCAAAAAUGGAUCAAUAGUGCAUUUGGUGAAAGAGCAAUAAUUAGGAGAAGAUUUUUGAUUUCUUGAUUUUCUCUCUUUUUUUUGUUUUGUUUUUUUUUUUCUAAAACAAACUUGCAAAAAAUGAGAAAAAUACACAUUAAAAUGUAAGAAAGUAAAUAACUCAUCAAAUAGAAAAAAUUCACUAAAAUAUUAAAAAUUGACAAAAAUUUGGUAUCUACAGGAACUUCACUAAACUUUAGCUCAUUCCUUUAGUUUUGUUUUCCUUACAGGGGUACGAGUAAGGCGUGAGACGUGUACAGACUAACAUAGACUAGUUGUUUGACUUUUGAUUUGUGCUCGCGCUAUCAUUCCCUUAGGAUAUUUUGUACUUGGAUUGUAUACACUUUGAAGUACUUUGGAUGUAUAGAGGCUUUGUAUCUGGAUUUGUGCAUCGAUGUAUAUUAUAAGUUUGAAUUGCGAUGUUAAUUCUUGUCUAUGGAUGUAUGCGUGAGAUACGAGUGAGUGAGUCCUGGCGAGAGUUGGGCAGGCGGUCCGCCGAACCCUCUGGUAUGCCUUAGGGGGAGGUGGGGUUGUCACAAGAUUUUUCUUUGGAUAGGGUUUGAGCUUAUUGAAAUCCUUAUUCACAAAGUCCAAUUGAUAAGAUUAUGUAUUUAUAUAGAAUUUGGUUUAGAAAAUAAGUUUAGUAAGGGUAAUUUAGUCCAAGGGCAAUAUAGUCCUUCUAUUAUGAUGUUACUAUGGCAAAUUACAUAAAUUAAUUAAAAGCGGUAAAUCAAAAUUUUUAAAAUAAUAAAUAGGAGCAAAUUAGUAAAAAAUUUUAAUAUAAUUAGUGGGGGCUAAUUAGUCCAUUUCUUAUCAUGUUAUUAUGUGAGAAUAUGAUUAUAUAAUAGUCAAUAUGAAUUUGAAUCAUUCAUAAGGGUAAAUUAGUCCAAAUAUUAUUACGUUGGUAGUAGAGGCAAAUUAGUCCAUUCAUAUUAUAUUAUCAUGUGGGAAUAGGGUUAUAUAAUUAUAAGAGUAUAAAUUUGUAUUUUUUAUAAAGAUAAAUUAACCUAAAAUUUUAUCAUCCUAUCUAUUAGUCAUUCCAGAAUGACUAAUACCACU
This 109098-nucleotide long non-coding RNA is filed under the name Coffea arabica (coffee). RNAcentral describes it as "long non-coding RNA (CARA_LNC007360)". The record is from RNAcentral. Lineage: Eukaryota; Viridiplantae; Streptophyta; Magnoliopsida; Gentianales; Rubiaceae.